This 122564-nucleotide long non-coding RNA is filed under the name Citrus maxima (pomelo). RNAcentral describes it as "long non-coding RNA (CMAX_LNC003103)". The record is from RNAcentral. Lineage: Eukaryota; Viridiplantae; Streptophyta; Magnoliopsida; Sapindales; Rutaceae.
CGAUCCAUAACAAAUACGAGUCUGCUUCACCUAACCAAAACACACACAUACUCCAUCUCUAAAUGCUUUGAAGAUAAACAAAUCAACCGUAAUCCUGCAACUUUAGCUCAGAGAAUCGGAUAAGAAAAGAACAGGUGAUGAAUCAAGGGUAAUGGCGCCGAGUGAGUGUCGCCUGCGGUCGGCGUUAGAGGCGACUGUCACUCAAUCGCGUACAAGGUUAGUCUUUGAAAAAACUCUUUGCACGUUAGAAAUCAGUGAUUGGGCAUUAUUUUGUUGUUUAAAAAUGAAAAUGGGUUUAUUAGUUUGUCGAAGAAUCUGCUCUGUUGCCGGUGUUGUUUGUUGAUUAAAAUGAAAAUGGGUUUGUUGAUGUGUUGAAGAAGUUGCUCUACUGCUGGUGUUUUUUUAUUAAUUAAAAUGAAAAUGGGUUUGUUAAUUUAUUGAAGCAGCUGCUGGCAUUGUUAUUGUGACUUUAUUUAUCCAAUUGAUGAGCUUAUGAGCUAAUAGUAUUGUUUGAUCAAGCUUGUGUUCUUAAUAGUGGAGUUGAUAUUCUUAAAAAUGAAUUUAUGAUUAUGAGAAUAUGAAAAUUGAAUGGCAUCAUAGAGAUCUAGAUUAAUCACCAUCGUAUAUGUUUCUAAAUAAAGGAAUAAGCAGCAACUGAUUUGAAACUUAAGACUUUAGGGAUAUGUAUGUGCAACUGAAUGAAUCAUCAGUUGCUAUCUUGUAAGUCAAUACUAGCAUAUUACUUAAUGGCAAGUGAAACUAUUUUAUGUGUAUUGCUGCCUAUCAAAAUGUUUAUGUUUGAAGUUAUCUCCUUUUAGGAAAUUGAAUGCUUCUGUGAGUUCUCUGGUAAGGGCUAUACAACUAGUUCUAAUAGAUUCCUUCAUGUGCAUUAAUUAGCUUAGUAGUUUAUUGACCUAUAUCCAAUGUCUAUUCCCCUUUUCUGUAGCCGUCUAGUUUUAUGAGCAUGUGAAGUGAACUUUUGUUUUAUGUUUCAGGACUUGGGAUUAGAGUGUAUAACAUUCAAUAUCUUUUUAUCAAAGAACUGAUAUAUGUCAAUGUAGUGCGAUCUGGUCUUUAUUAGCUUCUUGAUUUGCCAGGAUGUUUGACAACCAUCUUUGACCAUGAUUGCCAACAUAUAAGCUGCUACAUAGUGUCUCAGGAAUCACAGCAAAUUAUUAUCAUAAUAUGGUGAUUUUGAAUCCAAAACUUGGUAGUGUCAAGAAAAUAGACCCCUGUUUAUUUAUCUUCAUGUUUUGUAUGCGGCUGCAAUAGACUAUUAUAAGUUACUUUUAGUUUUAUCAAGUUUUUUUUCCUUAAAUUUCAUCGAGUCUUGGAGUCUUUGUAAUAUAGAGUCUAAGUGAAGAAUACUUGGGUGAAAUCUUGUAUUCUCUCUUCCAGUAAUAUAAUCAUCCUUUGUGUUUUUAUCUUUUUAUUUUGGAAUCAGAGCAUACUUUAUUAUAGAAGGACUUAGACUCUAUAUUACAAAGACUCAGCGGUUUCUUUUAACUGAGUUAAUAGUGUUGUUAGGUUAAACUAAGUUUGGCUUCAUAAGAUUCAUAGUAGAGUGUAGAACUGGGUACAAUGUUGGGUUAGACAAGUCAAAAGUCUUAUCAAGUAAUUGUUCUGCUUACUGAUUUGGUAAUUGCAACAUUGCUAAAUAGUUCAAUUUGUCCUUUUAUUUUGUUGAAUUUAUUGUAUGUCAUAUUACUUCAUUUAAUUAUUUUCUCAGAUCUUGUAGGUGAAAAUUUCAGCUUCAAAGGCCAAGCUAAUCAUCCAGCAAUUCAGUGAAACCAAGACACAGUGGCUCAUAAAUUGUUGUUGGUGAUCCAGCCAUUCGGGUGCUUGCCAGUCCUAGACGAGAAAACUUUCAACGCGGCGCAUAAAUUGUUGUUGAUCUACUUUAUAUAUUUUGACCUUUGUGAUUUGUGAAUACAUGGUUUGAUUCCAGUGUUUACAACUUUGAUACUGUGUAUAACUUAAAAAGCAAAUGAAACAAGUAGGAAAUGUGUUUUUAUUUUUUUUAUUCGAUCUAUCUAUUUAUUUUUUGUUUGGAAAUGUAACAAUUUAUAGCUGGCAAAGUACUAGAGUUGUAUACUUGUAUUUAAUUCAUUAUUAUUAUUUUUUUAAUGACUCAGUAAUGUCAUUGUCCAUGGUGUUCUGUCAUUUCGAAAGUACUUGACCCUUCCACGCUAAGGCACAUUACAGUAGCCGAAAUUUUGAGCUUUCAGUUCUUGAUUUUAGCGUGAGGGGUAUCUUUGUCUUUUCAGUUGUCAACAAACAAUUGGGGGGGGGGGGGGGGGCGGUGGUGGAGAUACGCUGAUACUUUCUAUCAUACUGGAGAUACACCUAACCUCAGGGAAGGAAACUGAAAUUUCACCUUUACGACGGGUGGACUUGGGUCAAACUUUCAUAUUUUAAUCAAGUAGGUCGAUCACGAUUCAAGCUUCAGUCAUAAGCCUUUCGUUAUGAUUGAUAUUAUUCUUUCUUGAUAGUAUCAUGGAAAAUGCAAACGAAAAGUCAGCAUCUUUGAGUUUUGUCUCAUCAUAUCCGACUUGUUGGUCUACUAAUCAAUCGACAGGCCCUUUUGAUCUUGAUAAUUUGAACUUAAGGAGGCAAAGCAGCAAUCCUGAAGAGCCAUUGCUUGAUGCUGAGAUCGUUGUUGACGGCAAAUCAGUGGCAGUUAAUCGCAGCAUAUUGUCUGCACGCAGUCGUUUUUUUCAUUGGCUUUUUCAUUUGAGCAGUGAUGGUUCUGUGAGUGAGGGGAAACCCAAGUAUCUUAUGACUGAUUUGGUGCCUUAUAGGAAGGUUGGAUAUGAAGCUUUUAAUGAUAUCUUGCAUUAUCUUUACACUGGAAUGCGUAAGGCACCUCCUUCAGAAGUGUUCACGUGUGUUGAUGAUACUUCUGUCUGUAGGCUUCAUAGAUUUGUUCAAGCCUUCAAGGAUGUCUAGCUGUUACUUACCGCCCAACAAUGGUGCUACAUUUCUAGUGAAUGAUAUGUUAUUCUACAUCUGUAUAUUGCGACUUUGACAAACUUCGCCUUUCCUUUGUUGAUUCACUCGUCUCACUUUUUUUAAAUUGCCCGAUUAUGAAAUGGUCUAUUGGAGACUAGCAUUGGAAGGUUUCUUCUGGAAAAAAAAUUUUACUUGACCACCAAUUUUCAUUUAGGUGGGUGUCAGUUCAUUCUCUGGCUUGACUGUUCUGUUAUUUAGGUUGUUUUAUCCGUAUUUCCUCACUCACUUGAUACUGAGUUUUCUCAUGCUUUCAAGCUCAACAGUGAAUGCGAAUGCGAGAGAUUCUCUUUCUUCCCGUCCAGGCUACAACGUAGCAAAUUGUUAAUGCUGUAGAAUAACAUCUUGUGUAGGCGAGCUUAUGUCUCUGUGAACAUUGGUCCAUCGGCAUUUAGGUUCAAUAAGCAUGGCACUGAUUUUCCCCCUCAUUAUUAUUUUCCUGAACAGGUUAUCCCCUUUAAGUAUUUGAAUUUUGAAUAUAUUAUUCUGAAUCAAAACUCUAUCUGUCCGUGUAGCAUUUUAUAUAUGCUUUAUGAUGUUUACCAAUAUUUACCCACUAUGGGGUAUUUGAAUUUUGAAUAUAUUAUUCUGAAUCAAAACUCUAUCUGUCCAUGUAGGAUUUGUUUCUGAACAAGGCUGAGGAUGCUCUUGUGGAAGAUGUAAUCCCAAUUCUCGUGGCUGCCUUCCAUUGCCAAUUGAACAAGCUUCGUUUUUUCUGCAUCCAGAGAAUUGCAAGGUCAAAUCUUGACAAUGUUUGUCUUGAGAAAGAGCUUCCUGAUGAAGUUUCAAGAGAAAUCAAAUCACUCCGUGUCAAAUCUAACCAGGAGUCUGAAGCUACUAUAGCAGAAGUGGAUCCUAUGCAUGCAAAAAUAGUCAGAAGAAUCCACAAGGCGCUGGACUCUGAUGACGUUGAACUGUUGAAGCUUCUUCUGGAUGUAUCUAACGUCACUCUGGAUGAUGCUUACGCUCUGCACUAUGCUGCUGCCUACUGCAGCCCUAAGGUUUUUAAGGAAGUUCUCAAUAUGGGCUUGGCUGAUCUCAAUCUUAAGGAUGCAAGAGGACGUAUGGUGCUUCAUGUAGCUGCAAGGCAUAAGGAGCCAGCAGUGAUGGUGGCCCUGCUGAGCAAGGGAGCAUGCGCAUCAGAAACUACAUCAGAUGGGCAAACAGCUUUAGCAAUCUGUCGAAGAAUGACAAGGUGAAAGGAUUAUAUUGAAGCUACAAAGCAGGGACAGGAAACUAACAAAGACCGGUUAUGAAUUGAUGUCCUUGAGAGAGAGAUGAGAAGGAACUCCAUGUCUGGGAACUUGGCAAUGUCAGCAGAAGUGAUGGAUGAUGAUUUCCAAAGGAAGCUGGACUAUAUGGAAAAUAUAGGUGAUAUUUUUUUACUGGUAUUAGUUCAUCACCUUCUCAGAGUUUGUGCAUAGCACACUUCUUUCUACUGUUUUUUUGUCCCUUCAUCUGGAAAAUAAAGGUGAUAUUCCUUUGCUGGUAUUAGUAAAUCAUCUUCUCAGAGUUUGUGAGUCCCUUCAUCAUAGGAUCUCAAACACACAUGGGCUUCUCAGAGUUUGUGAGUCCCUUCAUCAUAGGAUCUCAAACACACAUGGGCUCAUUGCUUGGAGCACACUGUUGGCCAGUCGUGUGAUUUGAUCCCUUUUUUGGAAUAGACAACUCUGAAUCCAUCUGAUCUAAGCUUGGCGGUUUGCACUGAACUGGUUUUUGAUGAAUAAUUGCACAAGACUUUGUCAUCAAAACUUUCAUUUUUUGGUUUUUUUGCCCCAAAAGUAAUGAGGUACAAAAAAAUCUAUGCCUAUCCUGGAUGAGUGCCAUAACAGCUUCUUAAUAUUUCGCAGUGGCUUGUGUACGGUUGUUUCCUUCUGAAGCUAGAGUAGCUAUGGAAAUAGCAGGUGCAGAUACAACCACUGGCCUUUCAGCAUUUGGUCGGAAAGGACUUAGUGGGAACUUAAAGGAGGUUGAUUUGAAUGAAAUGCCCUCUAUGCAAGCCAAAAGAUGCCAAUUGAGACUGCUCACUCUGCUUAAAACAGGUAUUUAUAUACUUUAUUCACUUUUGCACCUUUCUAUUUACUGAUUAUCUUUAUAAUUAAAUAAUACAUGUAUCCAGGUUUCUCCUUCCAUUUCAUUAGAAGUAAAAUUGGAAUCUCUUUAUAGUGCUCUGUUAGGUGUAAUCAGAUGUAUCAAAAGAGAAAGGGUAAUUGUUAGUACAUUGAUAACUCAACAAAAUGGUAGAACCUUUCUUUAUACCACUAAAGACAUUUGUUGCAGGUGUGCCUACAUAAUCGGUGUCCUUUAAAACUUUCAAGGAGUUAGCAAUGCCUAACCCUUGAAACACUAAAUCUCACGGGAUCAACUCUUUACCUCUAGACCGAAGGUGUGACACCCAGACCCAAUUAGGGCUUAGAACACAUAUCGAAUCUGAGCGAAACUAAAUGCUUGUAAAUCCAAAUCUCCAAAAUAUCAAAAGGUCGUCUACUUUCUCUUUUCAUGAAUUUCACAAAAUUUUGAAAAAUUUAUUCUCAAUCAUAAACUAUGCGCAGCUAAUUAAUCAGUAUAUCAGUAUACAACAAUACUUCCUCGUAAGCAAAUAAAUCUUACAAUCCUUCUUACAUGAUUUUUUUUAAAAAAAUACUUCUAUAAGUCUUCUAAAUACAAACAUAAACUGAACUCAACUGCUAAAACUAUGCCAAAAUACAAGCUUCAAUCAGUAAUACACGUGAAUAUUUAUUAAAAACAUCUAGCUACAAACCUUAUGAAAGCUCAAUCCUUCCGAAGCAUUCUUAGAAUUAAUAAUUUCUACUAUCUGUGAAAAAUAAUUGACAGGGGUCAGCUGUUAACUCAAUCCGUAGAAACAUUCAUAACGAACAAAAAGAAUUCUUUGUGCAAUAUUUUCAGAAAAUUCAUUUAACCUUUCAAAUGAAACAGAGUAAUUUUUCAAACACAGUCAGGAUUUAUAUAAAACAUAAACGUUUCAGACAAGCUUUUUGGAACGUAAAUUUUGCUUCUUUGAACAGAAAGUUAUACAUUAGUUUGAUUUUAAAGGGAGGUUAUUGGCAAGUUAAAAUUGGCAGUUGUGGUAAAAGGGUAAUAGCAGUUAUAAAAUCUCUUUUAAAACAAAUUCAAAUCAGGUUUUAAAUUUUAGGAGUACUUAAUUCAAUAAAAUAUAGAAUAAAUAAAGCUUUCAAUGAAACAAAACUAAGUAAAUUCAUUUAAAGCAAAACAGGAUGCGAGCAUUACCUAAGGGUUCUUGACCAUACUAUGUUUACCCGCAGUCACAUAUCUGGGACCUUGUUAUUUGGAGACAAGACUUGAUUGUGCCAUGUUUUCCGCAGCCAGAUAUCUUUUACUUCAUUAUUUCCUAGACAUCUGUGGAUAACAGAACCCUAAGCCUAUUGAGAAUAAAUUCUGUAAUCCAAGACUCUUCAGUCCUUUCAUUUGUGGCUAAUUAGUUAUAAAAUUUGUGAAUUUCAUGCCCCACGCCCCUUGCAAAAUGUAUUUUAUAUCCUUAAGAUGCCGGUGGAUGAACUGAAAUAAUAAAAAAUGGAAAACAGACUUAAUGUUGAUAGCAUUUCUUAAGAAAAACUUGGGAUGUUUAUAAUUUUCUUAGAGCAUUUGCUGAACUUUCUGUGAUCGCAGUCGAGACGGGUCAACGCUACUUCCCUAAUUGCUCAGAAGUGGUUGAGAAGUUUAUGUUUUUCAACCCCGCUAAUUGCUCAGAAUUGGUUGAUGAGUUUUUGGAUUGUGAUUCGGCCGAUGCUUCCCUCCUAGAAAAGGGUACUCCUGAAGUGCAGAAACUCCAAAGGGCAUGCUUCAUGAAACUUAAAGUAGAGAUGCCGGAGGCAGUCUGCAAGGACGUGGCUUAUCACCGUCGCUCAGGGCUGCCAUCAUCCUGGUCGGCAUUUUACAAGUACAUGGCUGAGAGCAAUCGUUCAGGUAUGCCGGCAUCCUCGGCAUCGAGCAAUUAAGCAUCACCUUUCCCUAAAAGAUAUAUUUGACACCUGGGACACUAAAAGAGUUUAGUGAGCUCGAUUGGUACUUGUGGAGAUACCCAGAGCCUAUGUUACGGCUAUGUAUUGUCAAGUAGCAGAGAAAUUUUAAUGAAUGAUGGAUGAUUUUCUUGUGACUCUUUUGGUAACAAUCAUGUAACGAUUUCAGUAAUGUUAACAUUAUCGCAAUUUUCUUUUUCUUCAAGUAAUCUGGCAUUUAUCAAUUAGGUUGUAGAAUUUAUUAUAUUGUCUGGAGUCACACGAGGGAAAACUUUAGGUGCAACUGUGGUACCGUGCAACAGUAGCAUCCAGCCGUUAGAUGUCAGUGGACCCCAUCAAUCUAAGUGCAUCCAAUCGCUAGAUGCAACUGUGGCACGGUGCCACAGUUGCACCGUAGCCUGUGUCACACGAACGCAUAACAUUGAUGGAAUGGAUCACGUUAUCAUGAACGUAUAAUUAACAUCAGUUGCUGAACAAACUUUGCCUUUCAAUUUUGUAGACAUUACUAUCUCAAAUUUUCUAUUAUCAUAAAUGAGAUUUUAGGUAAUCUUUAAAAAAAAAAAACUAGAGAUUUCUUUUAUUUUUCCUUAAAAAAUGAAGAAAAAUUUAGAAAGUAGUGAGAGACGGAGAAUUAAAGCAAUUUUAUUCACAAAUGUAAUGUGCUUGGAGUAGCAAUACAAACUAACAAAUUAUAAUUUAUGAGAUUAGUUUACAAAAUCUUAUAUAUAAAAUUAUAUCCUCUAAAUAAAAAUAUUCUCACCUCUUUGGACUUAUCAUUUAUGAUGCGUUUGAGAUUGAGGUGCUGUAACUUUUAAACUACAGUUGCUGUGGAAAAAAUAUUAUAAUUAUGAAAUAAAAGUUAGUAAUAUUUAAUAAAUAUAAAUUUAAAUAGUAAUUUUGACAAAUUUAUUAAAGAUAUAAUAGAUUUUCUAUCAUACAAGUGAAAAAUCAUAUCAGCAUAGCUUCCAAGUUACAACAAUUAGUGUUUACCAAACAUUUUAGUACUGUAGUUUAAAGUUGCCCAACCUCAAUUCCAAACACACCCUUAGAUGCCCUUUCUACAAUCUCUCUAGCGAUAAACACAUUUUUAUAAAAUAAAACAAAAAAAAUUAUAUAUAAUUGUCAAGAGGAAUCUUACUAAAAUGGUCUCUCAUAAAUUUUUCUCUAAUUUGAGAGAUAGUGGGGAGUGGGGUUAAAGUGCAUCAACAUAGAAUUAAAAUUUUUUUUUUAAUUUUUUUAACUAUUUUAAUUAAAAGUAGCAGUUAUUCUUUUUAUUAUUGUUAUUCCAAUUAUCUAAAAAUCAAGUAACUGGGGAUCAAAUUAAGUAGUUCAUUAAAUUUUUUAAAUGACGUAUGAUAUGGUGUAUGGAGUUUUUAUACAUCUAUUUAAAUAGUAAAAUAUUUAAUUUUGCUUGUCGUAAAAUUUUAAUUUACGUGGGUUAAAAAAGAAAAAAAGAAAAAAAGAAAAAAGAAAUUGACUUAACAAUUAUUGAAAGACUAAAUAGAAAAUUGUAGUUGCGUGGGAAAACUCUGGGGAAAAGGGCUCCUGAUUUCCUUUCCCUGGCUUCGUGCGUCUCCUUUUGCCCUUUCGAGCACGAUUGCACGAAUUCGAAUCCAAUUCUUGAUAAUAAAGAUAUAAUAUUAUUAUAAUGCUAAUAAUUAACAUUAAAAUAUUAAAAAAUAAGGGAAAAAAAAUCCAAAUUUUUACUGGUAUAUAACUCAGAGCCAAAGCGAUGGCGAAACAUCAAAUUGUUUUUGUUUCAACCUUCGCGCAACUUCCGGUGACAUAAUCUCUGUCUGUUUCAGGUAAAUACCCAAAACUAAACUUUGCAUGUAUUAUUAUUGUAUUUUUGUUAUUCAUUCACAUAUUCUUCUUUUCUUUUCUUUUUUUCUUUUGCUGUAAGUUUUUAUGAGACACUCUGUUUCAGUUCUGUUUCUGGUUUUGUUUCAGUUUAACAUUAUUGGUUCCGUUCGGUUCUGUUCUGCUCUGUUCUCUGUUGUAUGUAUAUAUGUAUAUAUUUUUGGCCUCGAAUUGCUUUGAUCACCGGUUUUGUUAUUCAUUUAUCCUGAAUUUUAGAUACCCGUAAAGCUUGUUUGGCCAUGUGUUCACUUGAUUGUUACAUUCAGCUGUCAUUUUCAUGGUGGGUUUGUAAGAUAGUCUCUGACUAACAUAUGGCAUUGAUUAUGAAUGACGGUUUUUGUUAAAAGUCAUGGCUGGCACCGGCCAUCUAGAUGGCCGGUGCCAACCAUUCAACCAUUCAACACGGCCCGCCAUUAUUGGUGGUGCCGUGUUGACUUAUUCUAUAAAAAAAAAAAAAAUAAGCCAAAAUUUUGGCUAUAUAAAGAGGGCUUCCCACCCUCAUUUUUCAUCCAAUUCCAUUGAGAGAGAAGCAUUGCUUUCUUUGAGUGUUGAGAGUUUUAAGAGUUUAAUAAACUCUUGAGUGUUUAGUGUUUUGAGAGUUUGGGUGUAUUGGGAUUUUGGGAAGUGAGCUAAAAUACUACAAUACUUGUAACUCCUUUUCACUAGUAAAAUAUUUCCUUCUGUCUUCGCCCGUGGACGUAGGCUAAAAGCCGAACCACGUAAUUUUCUGGUAUUCUCUUUUAUGCUUUUUCUUUAUUUUUCUUCUAAUUUUACUUUAGCUGUGUGUCUGCUUCACCCACCAAUUUCCUAACAGUUUUUUGAGAUACAUCACACCGCCGUUAACUCUUUUUAAUGUGUACUUAUGUACUUACUUCAUUCAAAAGAUUAGUGUUUUUCUCUUUUUUUUUUUUAAAAUGAAAUGCCCCUUUUCGCAUUUUAUAGGUGAAAGGAAGAAACAUAAUAUCGCAGAACUAGAAUAAAGGAGCCUAUUCCGGUACCUAUUGUCCAAGGAAACUUCUGUAUAUUCUGUAGGAACUACCGAACUACCAUGGAAGUCAAAUCUUACCAGAGCCAGGCGGAGUCGUUGCUGAAGGAAUAUAUAUUAGCAGAUCCAUUUGUCCCUUACAGUUCAAUUGCUGGUAGCAUUUUUGCAUGCAAGACAGUAUGUUUUUCAUCGUUACUGCAUGGUGUUAUUUACUAGAAAAUAUUUUGAAUGCGUAGUUUUUAUGUAAUUAGUUAUAAAUUUUUAUAUACCUUUUUUUUUUAUAAGAAUGUGUUCCUUUUCAGGUCUAUGAUCUUGCCCAAUUGAUUAGUGCUGUCCACUUUAAAUGUUAUUCCAGUUUCUCCAGCAUACAGCGGGUUGAGUGGAGUAACAGGUGAUUGAAUAUUUUCAUUUAGUUCAAUUGUCAUUUCUUUUUCAAUCGGUAAAGUUUAAUCAUUUUUCUUAAAUCGACAACUUAUGCAGGGCCAUAUCAACCGUCCAUGCCAUUUUUGUUUCAGCUAUGUCUUUGUACUGUGUGUUUUGGUCGAAUAUAAGAGUUUGUACAUAGCACACUUGUUGUUUGUUUGUCCCUUCAUAGACAUUUCGAUAAACUGUUAUUUUUGUUUGUCGGAAUUGAAUAUUUUCCACAACUAGAACUCCGAAGUAUCUGGAAUGAUCCAUUUUAUCAUUCUCAAUACCUAUAAAAGAAGGACAUAGAAAACAGUUUCCAAAGCAAGUUGCCUAUGUUUUGAAUUUGUCUUUGGAAGCCACUAAUUGCUUGGAGCACACUGUUAGCCAGUCGUGGUUCCAUCCACUUAUUUGGAUAGACAAUUGUGCAUCCACAUGAUCUGGAAUAAACUAGUUUUUAAUAAAUAAUUGCCCAAGGAUUUAGUCUCAGUGUUACAGCCCAGUCUUUGUUGUCAAUACUCUUUCCCCUGUCGUGGAUGAGCGUCAUAACAGCUUCUUAAUGUGCAGUGGCUUUUGCACGGUUGUUUUUUUUCCUGCUGAAGCUAGAGUAGCUAUGGAUAUAGCAGAUGCAGAUGCCAUCAAUUUUUAUACUGGCCUUUCAGCAUCAAAAUCAAAAGGAUCAAGUGGGAACUUAAAGGAGGUUGAUUUCAAUGAAACACCCUCUAAGCAAGCCAAGAGACUCCAAUUAAGCCUGCAAGCUCUGCUUAAAACAGGUAUUUAUAUACCUUAUUAGUUUUUGUACCUUUACAAUUAGCGAUUUUUAUAUCAAACGAGAGAGGUUAAUCUUAGUACAUUGAUAUCUCAACAAAAUGUUAGAACCUUUGGAGCACUAGAGACAUUUUCUUAGAGCAUUUACUGAAGUUUCUAUGAUUGCAGUGGAGACAGGUCGACGCUACUUCCCUCAUUGCUUAGAAGUGGUUGAUAAGUUUUAGGAUUGUGAUUGGUCCGACGCUUCCCUCCUAGAAAAGGGUACUCCUGAAGAGCAGAAACUCAAAAGGGCACGCUACAUGGUUGAGAAAAAUCGCUCAGAUUUGUCGUCAUCCUCGUCGUCGUCAUCUUCUCCAAAGGAAGGAGUAAAGUGUAAGGGUAGGAAAAUGUGUUGCUUAGCUGCCUGUCUUUGUAUCCAUUUAUAGGCAACUAAAAGAGUUUUAGUGAGUUUGAUUGUUACUUGCAGAGAGAUACUCUUCGAGCCUAUGUUAUGGCUAUGUUGCAUAAUAGCAACAGAACUUCAAGCUUGCGUUGUUGUAUUUUCCCAGAUAUUUGGCAUGUAAUACACUAAAUGACAAAUAAUUUUCUAAUUUUAGAGGGGAAAGUUAUGUCAGUUAAUUAUUUAUUUAUUUUGUCUGUUUAAUUCAGUUUAUUUUUUCUCCAAAAAAAUCUUCAUAUCUCCAUCUGCAAUUUAAGUCAUUUGUAACUUCUUUCAGGGAGGAAGGAAAAGGGAAAAAAGAAGAAGCCUUUGUAAGUAUAUUUUACAGUACUGAUUUUCCUAUAGAAAUUGGUUAAGGUGACAUUAAUGUUCUUAGUAACAGAUGGAUAUGCAGAAUUUUCGUCGAAAUUGAAAUUAGAAAUGGAUGGAUAUGAAUGACAUAUAUUCAGAAUUUUUUAGUAGAAUGUUUAAACAAAAUUUUUUAGCUCAUUACUCUCUAAAAGGAAAAUAAAUUUUUUAUUGUAAAUAUUAAAUAUUAAAUUUAUAAUAUAAUAAAUGUGUGACUUAAGGUGCACAAUACCUAUAUAAUAAUAAUAAUUAAGACAAGAAAAAUCAAAUUUUGUAAAUUACCAAAUUUCCCUUGGAAUUUGAUAUUCUAUAUGAACGUAGGUGUUGCAUCCACUGGGUGAGUACAACUGAAAGAAACUAACUAAAGUAAAACAAAAUAUCAGAAAAAUAUGGCGAGCUUCUCAUAUUUUUUAAGUGAAAAAAAAAAAAGAAAACUGAAAUUAAUUAUUUUUAUACCCAAAUUCUCAUGCUCGAAGGCCGCUGGAAUUGGCCAUUGUAAUUUUGUCAUCCUCGUUAUUCACUGGCCAUCGCAGCCUUCCUCCCUUAAAAUGAGAGUCGUUUUUUGGACCACGACAUAAUAAAAAUAGUAUUGAUUAAUACUAAUAAAUUUCUUUUUGAUUAUUUUGCAGUGUGAUAGUCUAGUGCGUGCCAGUGCCCAGCAUAUCACUUGAACAUGUGGUAAAAUUCUGCGAGUCUUUGUAAAAUAAUUUUUAAAUUGUGUAUUAACCAAAUAGCUCAAUGAAGAGUAUCGCUCAUUAUUUUAUUUUGUAUAUAUUUAUGAUAAUUGUUGAAAAGAAAAAUGUAAAGUGAGAUUCAUGAACAUUUAUGAAUGUGGAAAUUAACACAACCAGAAUUUAUGAUGAAAUAAUUUUAAGUCAAACGAGUGUAAGUUUGUAUAUAUAUUUUUUUGAAUUGUCAUAUAUAUACAAGUUUGUCACUAACAGUAAAUUAAAUUAUGAAUAAUUUAAUAAUUCAAAAUCUCAUUUAACCAUCAGUGUUUAUAGGGUGCGUUUGGCACAUUGUAUUGUAUUAUAUUGUAUUAUAUUAUUUUAAUGCAUGUGUAUUAUAUUAUAUUGUAUUACAUUAACAUUGUGUUAUAAUAAUACUAUACAAUGUUUGGUACUACAUUGUAUUAAUUUUUAAUAAAUAUAUAAUAUUACACUGUAUUAUAUUAAUUUUUUAAUAAGUAUUUUAAAUUAUAUAUUUAGAAAAUAACAUUUAUUAGUCGUUAAAAAAUACUAAAUAUCAAAUUCUUAAAUUUUAGAAAUUUAAUAUUAUCUUUCUGGUAUAAACGUUGAAAAAAAAUCAUAAUUUUCGGAAAGAUCGAAAUAAAUAAUUCAAUCAAGUAACCUUCAAUUUUUUUGUUUUAUUCUUAGAACUUCAUAGUUCUUUUGUUUUUUCUUUUUCUUUUUCUUUGCCUCUAUUUUCUUUUUCUUUGCCCUUUUUUUUUUCUUCAUAGUUCUUUUGGCUUCAUAAGUUUCUUUUAACUGAGUUAAUAGGGUCGUUAGGUUAAACUAAGUUUGGCUUCAUAAGCUUCAUGGUAGAGUGUAGAAUUGGGCACAAUUUUGGAUUAGACAAGUCAAAGGUCUUAUCAAGUAAUUGUUCUGCUUACUGAUUUGGUAAUUGCAACAUUGCUAAAUAGUUCAAUUUGUCCUUUUUAUUUUGUUGAAUUUAUUGUAUGUCAUAUUACUUGAUUUAAUUAUUUUCUCAGAUCUUGUAGGUGAAAAUUUCAGCUUCAAAGACCAAAGCUAAUCAUCCAGCAAUUCAGUGAAACCAAGACACAGUAGGUGCGUUUGGGAUUGAGGUGCUGUAGCUUUUAAGCUACAACUGCUGUAAAAAAAAAGUUGUAAUUAUGAAACAAAAGUUAAUAAUAUAUAGUAAAUAUAAAUUUUAAAUAAUAAUUUUGAUAAAGUUAUUAAAGAUAUAAUAGAUUUUGUAUUAUACAAGUGAAAAAUCAUAUCAAUAUAACUUAAAAGCUACAGCAGCUAGUGUUUACUAAACAUUUUAGUGCUGUAGCUUUUAAGCUACAGCUGCCCAAUCUCAAUUCCAAACGCACCCAGUGGCUCAUAAAUUGUUGUUGGUUAUUGAUCCCAGCCAUUCGGGUGCUCGCCAGUCCUAGAUGAGAAAACUUUCAACGCGGCGCAUAAAUUGCUGUUGAUCUGCUUUAUAUAUUUUGACGUUUGUGAUUUGUGAAUACAUGGUCUGAUUCCAGUGUUUACAACUUUGAAAUUCAAUUAAAAGUUGAGCUGUGAAAGAGUGUGUUGUAUAACUUGAGAAGCAAAUGAAACAAACAGAAAAUGUGUUUUUAUUUUUUUAAUCUAUCUAUCUAUUUAUUUUUGGUUUGGAAAUGUAACAAUUUAUAGCUGACAAAGUAAUAGAGUUGUAUACUUUUACUUGUAUUUAAUUUAUUGUUAUUAUUAUUUUUUUUUAAUGACUCGGUAAUGUCAUCGUCCGUGGUGUUUUGUCAUUUCGAAAGUACUUAACCCUUCCACGAUAAGUUUGAGCUUUCAGUUCUUGAUUUAGCGUGUGGGGUAUCUUUGUCUUUUCAGUAGUCAACACACGGUCAACAAAACAGUCUACAAACAAUCGACCUGUGAACUUGGGUCAAAGCUUUCAUCUUUAAAUCACAUAGGUAGAUCAUGAUUCAAGCUUCAGUUAUAAGCAUUUCGUUGUGAUUGAUAGUAUUCUUUCUUUGAUAUAUAUAUAUAUAGAUUCAGUUUGAAUAUGGUUCUUGAUGGUAUCAUGGAAAAUGCGAACGAAAAGUCAGCAUCUUUGAGUUUUGUCUCAUCAUAUCAAACUUGUUGGUCCACUAAUCAAUCAACAGGCACUUGUGAUCUUGAUAAUUUGAACUUAAGGAAGCAAAGCACCAAUCCCAAAGAGACAUGGCUUGAAGCUGAGAUUGUUGUUGAGGGCAAAUCAGUGGCGGUUAAUCGCAGCAUAUUGUCUGAGCGCAGUCAAUUUUUUCGUCGGCUUUUUAAUUUGAGAAAUGAUGGUUCUGUCAGUGAGGGGAAACCCAAGUAUCUUUUGACUGAUUUGGUGCCUCAUGGGAAGGUUGGAUAUGAAGCUUUCAAUGAUACCUUGCAUUUUCUUUACACUGGGAAGCUUAAGCCAUCUCCUCUAGAAGUUUCCACGUGUGUUGAUGACGCUUGUGCUCAUGGUGCUUGCCCUCCUGCUAUCAAUUUUGCUAUUGAGAUGAUGUAUGCUUCUGCUGCUUUCCAGAUGGAACAACUCGUUGUUUUGGAGGUAAUUGUGCUUCCCUACUAUUUGUAUUGAAUAAACUUAUGCUUCUUGGUAUAGUUUUAGCAUAUAUGGGAUUGAAAUCAAUUUCAGUUGUGAAGCAACUUCGGUGGUUCCCAAUAUUAGGCAUUGUAGUAGAUCCAAAAUUAGCUUGUUAAGAAGUGUAGAUACCGGAGAGCCCAAAACUUCGUCUUAUCUUGCAAGAGUCUGUUGUUUUAUUUUCAAAGAGACAAAAGUGAUGAUGAUGGGCAGCGAACUCUAGGAAUCAAUGCUUGCUGACACUGACUCCCAAGAAUGAUAAAAACUAACCAAAAAGGUAUAGAUUACAUGAGUCUGAAUUUGAUAAGUGCGCCUAUCCUAUCACAAAAGCUUUUGCGUUGAGUUUCUAACCAAGGAAAAUUGUCACUUCUUUCUGUAGGCUUCAUAGAUUUGUUCAAGCCUUCAAGGAUGUCUAGCUGUUACUUACUGUCCAACAAUGGUGCUACAUUUCUAGUGAAUGAUAUGUUAUUCUACAUCUGUAUAUUGCAACUUUGACAAACUUGGCCUUUCCUUUGUUGAUUCACUCGUCUCACUUUUAUUAAAUUGCCCGAUUAUGAAAUGGUCUAUUGGAGACUAGCAUUGGAAGGUUUCUUCUGGAAAAAAUUUUACUUGACCGCCAAUUUUCAUUUGGGUGGGUGUCAGUUCAUGCUCUGGCUUGACUGUUCUGUUAUUUAGGUUGUUUUAUCCGUAUUUUCUUCACUUACUUGAUGGUUAGUUCUCUCAUGCUUUCAAGCUCUCAACAGUGAAUGCGAGAGAUUCUAUUUUUCCCGUCCAGUCUAUAACCUAGCAAAUCAUUAAUGCUGUAGAAUAACAUCUUGUGUAGGUGAGCUUAUGUCUCUGAACAUUGGUCCAUCGGCAUUUAGGUUCAAUAAGCAUGACACUGAUUUCCCCCCAAUUAUUAUUUUCCUGCACAGAUUAUCCCCUUUAAGUAUUUGAAUUUUGAAUAUAUUAUUAUGCAUCAAAACUGUAUCUAUCCGUGUAGCAUUUAAAUCUGCUUUAUGAUGUUUACCAAUAAUUACCCAUUAUGGGGUAUUUGAAUUUUGAAUAUAUUAUUCUGGACCAAAACUCUAUCUGUCCGUGUAGGAUUGGCUUCUGUGCUUGGCUGAGGAUGCUCCUGUGGAAGAUGUAAUCCCAAUUCUCGUGGCUGCCUUCCAUUGCCAACUGAACAUGCUCCGUUCUUACUGCAUCCAGAGAAUUGCAGGGUCAAAUCUUGACAAUCUUUGUCUCGAGAAAGAGCUUCCUGAUGAAGUUUCAAGAGAAAUCAAAUCACUCCGUGUCAAAUCUAACCAGGAGUCUGAAGCUAAUAUAGCAGAAGUGGAUCAUAAUCAUGCAAUAAUAGUCAGAAGAAUCCACAAGGCGCUGGACUCUGAUGACGUUGAACUGUUGAAGCUUCUUCUGGAUGUAUCUAAUGUCACUCUGGAUGAUGCUUACGCUCUGCACUAUGCUGCUGCCUACUGCAACCCCAAGGUUUUUAAGGAAGUGCUCAAUAUGGACUUGGCUGAUCUCAAUCUUAAGGAUGCAAGGGGACGUACAGUGCUUCAUGUGGCUGCAAGGCGUAAUGAGCCAGAAGUGAUGGUGACUCUGCUGAGCAAGGGAGCAUGCGCAUCAGAAACUAUAUCAGAUGGCCAAACAGCUGUAGAAAUCUGUCGGAGAAUGACAAGGCGAAAGGAUUAUCUUGAAGCUACAAAGCAGGGGCAGGGAACUAACAAAGACCAGUUAUGCAUUGAUGUCCUUGAGAGAGAGAUGAGAAGGAAGUCCAUGUCUGGGAACUUGGCAAUGCCAUCAGAGGUGAUGGAUGAUGAUUUCCAAGCGAAGCUGGACUAUCUGGAAAAUAGAGGUGAUAUUUCUUUACUGGUAUUAGUUCAUCACCUUCUCAGAGUUUGUGCUAUGCACACUUCUUUCUACUGUUUGUUUGUCCCUUCAUAUGGAAAAUAGAGGUGAUAUUCCUUUACUGGUAUUAGUAAAUCAUCUUCUCAAGAGUUUGUGAGUCCCUUCAUUUUAGCAUCUCAAACACACAUGGGCUCAUUGCUUGGGGCACACUGUUGGCCAGUCAUGUGAUUUGAUCCCCUUUUUUGGAAUAGACAAUUCUGAAUCCAUCUGAUCUAGGCUUGGUGGUUUGCACCGAACUGGUUUUUGAUAAAUAAUUGUACAAGACUUUGUCAUCAAAAACUUUUUUUUUUGUUUUUUUGUUUUUUGUUUUCCAAAAGUAAUGAGGUACAAAACAAUUUAUGCCUAUCCUGGAUGAGUGUCAUAACAGCUUCUUAAUAUUUUGCAGUGGCUUUUGUACGGUUGUUUCCUUCUGAAGCUAGAGUAGCUAUGGAAAUAGCAGGUACCGCCACUGGCCUUUCAGCAUUAGGUCAGAAAGGACUAAGUGGGAACUUAAAGGAGAUUGAUUUGAAUGAAACGCCCUCUAUGCAAGCCAAGAGCCGCCAAUUGAGACUGCUAACUCUGCUUAAAACAGGUAUUUAUAUACUUUAUUAACUUUUGCACCCUUCUAUACAUGUAUUAGUUAAUUAUAAAGAUAUUUAUAUACUUUAUUAACUUUUGCACCCUUCUAUUUACUGAUUAUCUUUAUAAUUAACUAAUACAUGUAUCCAGGUUUCUCCUUCCAAUUGGAAUUCCUUUAUAGUGCUCUGUUAGGUGUAAUCAGAUGUAUCAAAAGAGAAAGGGUAAUUGUUAGUACAUUGAUAUCUCAACAAAAUGGUAGAACCUUUCUUUAUACCACUAAGACAUUUGUCGCAGAUAUGCCUACAUAAUCAGUGUCCUUCAAAACUUUCAAGGAGUUAGCAAUGCCUAACCCCUGAAACACUAAAUCUCACGGGAUCAACUCUUUACAUCUAGACCGAAGGUGUGACACCCAGACCCAAUUAGGGCUUAGAACACAUAUUGAAUCUGAGUGAAACUAAAUGCCUGUAAAUCCAAAUCUCCAAAAUAUCAAAAAGUCAUCUACUUUCUCUUUUCAUGUAUUUCACAAAAUUUUGAAAAAUUCAUUCUCAAUCAUAAACUAUGCACAGCUAAUUAUUCAGCAUAUCAGUAUAGAGCAAUACUUCCUCAUAAGCAAAUAAAUCUUACAAUCCUUCUUACAUGAUUUUAAAAAAAAUACUAAUAGAAGUCUUCUAGAUACAAACAUAAACAGAAUUCAACUGUUUAAAACUAUGCCAAAACACAAGCUUCAAUCAGUAAUACAUACGACUAAUUAUUAAAAACAUCUAGGCAGAAACCUUACGAAAGCUCAAUCUUUCUGAAGCAUUCUUCAAAUUAAAAAUUGCUACCAUCUGUGAAAAAUAAUUGACAAGGAGUCAGCUGUGAACUCAAUCAGUAGAAACAUUCGUAAUGAACAAAAAGAAUUCUUUGUGCAAUAUUUUCAGAAAAUUCAUUUAACCUUUCAAAUGAAACAGAGUAAUUUUUCUAACACAGUCAGGAUUUAUAUAAAACACAAACGUUUCAGACAAAAGCUGUGCGGAAUGUAAAUUUUGCUUCUUUAAACAGAAAGUUAUAUAUUAGUUUGAUUUUAAAGGGAGGUUAUUGGGAAGUUAAAAUUGGCAGUUGUGGGAAAAGGGUAAUAGCAGUUAUAAAAUCUGUUUUAAAGCAAAUUCAAAUCAAGUUUCAAAUUUUAGGAGUACUUAAUUCAAUAAAAUAAGGAAUAAAUAAAGCUUUCAUUGAAACAAAACUAAGUAAAUUCAUUUAAAGCAAAAAAGGAUGGGAGCAUUACUAUGGGUUCUUAUGUUUACCCGCAGUCAGACAUCUGGGGACCUUGUUAUUUGGAGACAAGACUUGAUUGUGCCAUGUUUUCCGCAGCUAGACAUCUGUGGAUAAGAGAACCCUAAGCCUAUUUAGAAUAAAUUCUGUAAUCCAAGACUCUUCAGUUCUUUCAUUUGUGGCUAAUUAGUUAUAAAAUUUGUGAAUUUCAUGCCCCAUGCCCCUUGCAAAAUGCCAGUUGUUGAACUGAAAUAAUAAAAAAUGGAAAACAGACUUAAUGCCGAUAGCAUUUCUUAAGAAAAACUUGGGAUGUUUAUAAUUUUCUUAGAGCAUUUGCUGAACUUUCUGUGAUCGCAGUCGAGACGCGUGACCUCUACUUCCCUCAUUGCUCAGAAGUGGUUGAUCGCUUUUUGGAUUUGAACAAUCCUGCCACCCCAGAAAUGGACGACGAGAAACUUAAAGCAGACAUGCAGGAGGCAUUCUGCAAGGACGUGGCUUAUCACCGUCGUUUAGGGCUGCCAUCAUCCCGGCCGGCAUUUUACCAGUACACGGCUAGGAGCAAUCAGUCGGCAUUUUACAAGUACAUGGCUGAGAGCAAUCAGUCGGCCAAGUACGUGGCUGAGAGCAAUGGCUCAGGAAUGUCGACAUCCUCGGCAGCGCGCAAUCUAAAAGUUAUAUUUGACACCUGGAAAACUAAAGGAGUUGAGUGAGAUCGAUUGGUAUUUGUAGUUUCUUUUUUUUUUUCCUCAAGUGAUCUGGCGGCAUAAUUAAAAGUUAUAUUUGUUUGUCUUCAAAGUUAUUGUAUUGUCUCAAGUCCGGUAAGAUGCGCGAACUUAUAGCAUGGAUCCAUAUGAUCUGGACUAAACUAGUUUCUAAUAAAUAAGUAUAUUUUACAGUACUGAUUUUCCUACAGAAAUUGGUUAAGGUGACAUUAAUGUUCUUUAUGAUAGACGGAUAUACAGAUUUUUCGUCGAAAUUGAAAUUAGAAAUGGAUGGAUAUGCAGAAUUUUUUAAUAGAAUUUUUAUACAAAAAUUUGUAGCUCAUUACCCUCUAAAAGGAAAAAAAUAAAUUUUUGAUUUUAAAUAUUAAAUAUUAAAUUUAUAAUAUAAUAACUUUGUGAGUUAAGGUGCACAAUACCCAUAUAUUAAUAAUUAAGAAAAGAAAAAAAUUAAAAUUUGUAAAUUACCAAUUUUUUCUUGAAAUUUGAUAUUCUAUAUUAACGUAGGUGUUGCAUGGACUGGGUUAGUACAAUUGAAAGAAACUAACUAAAGUAAAACAAAAUAUCAUUAAAAUAUGGCAAGCUUCUCAUAUUUUUUAAGUGAAAAAGAGAAGAAAACUAAAAUUAAUUAUUUUUAUACCCAAAUUCUAGUGCUUGAAGGCCGCUGGAAUUGACCAUUGUAGUUUUGUCAUCCUCAUUAUUCACCGGCCAUCGUGGCCUUCCUCCAUUAAAAAAAUAAAUGACCAUUUUUUUGGACCACAACAUAUUAAAAAUAGUAUUGAUUAAUACUAAUAAAUCUCUUUUUUGAUUAUUUUGCAGUGUGAUAGUCGAGUGAGGGCAGUGCCCAUCGUAGCACUUGAACAUGUGGUAAAUUUAUGCCAGUCUUUGUAAAAUAAUUUUUAAAUUAUGUAUUAACCAGAUAGCUCAAUGAAAACUAUCGCUCACUAAAUUAUUACUUUAUUUUGUAUAUAUUUAUGAUAAUUGUUGAAAAGAAAAAUGUAAAGUGAGAUUAACGAACGUUUAUGAAUGUGGAAAUUAACACAACCAAGAUUUAUGAUGAAAUAAUUUUAAGUCAAAUGAGCAUAAAUUUGUAUAAAUAUUUUUUGAAUUGUCAUAUAUAUACAAGUUUGUCACUAAUAGUAAACUUAAUUAUGAGUAUUUUAAUAAUUCAAAAUUUUAUUUAACCAUCGGUGUAUAUAGUGUUUUUCAUAAUACAAAAUUAUAAAAAGUCUCAUCCUGAAUAGUAUAAUGCCAAACCUUUUCAAAAAUUUAUUCUAUUAUAGUCGUCUUAGUCAGUUAUAUUUAUUUCUAAAUUGAAGAUAAAAACAGUACUUCAUAUAUCAUCCAUUACUUCAUACAUUACUUAAAGUUUUUUUUUUUUUCAAUCAAAUUAUGAGCAAGUGAAAGGAUGCAAUAAAUUACGACUAAAAUUGUAAAAUUUACCAAUGGCUAUAUACAAAGUCUGAUUCUCAUGAGCUUAAAAGAUGGGCUUUGAAUGAUGUAUGGUUCUCAAAACUCUACUUUUAUUAAUAUGAUUGCCCUGCUUCCUUCAUGACGGGUAAUUUUUAGUUUCGUCCCCUGAAGUUUGGUUUAUCUCCAUUUUAAUAGGAAAUAUUAGCGUAUCUCCCACUUUUCUCCCCUGCCGUUUGUAUACCGUUUCAUAUUGUUAAUGGACGAAGCUACAAGUCUUCUCUUUCAUCAAAUCGAUCCAUAACAAAUACGAGUCUGCUUCACCUAACCAAAACACACACAUACUCCAUCUCUAAAUGCUUUGAAGAUAAACAAAUCAACCGUAAUCCUGCAACUUUAGCUCAGAGAAUCGGAUAAGAAAAGAACAGGUGAUGAAUCAAGGGUAAUGGCGCCGAGUGAGUGUCGCCUGCGGUCGGCGUUAGAGGCGACUGUCACUCAAUCGCGUACAAGGUUAGUCUUUGAAAAAACUCUUUGCAUGUUAGAAAUCAGUGAUUAGGCAUUAUUUUGUUAUUUAAAAAUGAAAAUGGGUUUAUUAGUUUGUCGAAGAAUCUGCUCUGUUGCCGGUGUUGUUUGUUGAUUAAAAUGAAAAUGGGUUUGUUGAUGUGUUGAAGAAGUUGCUCUCCUGCUGGUGUUUUUUUAUUAAUUAAAAUGAAAAUGGGUUUGUUAAUUUAUUGAAGCAGCUGCUGGCAUUGUUAUUGUGACUUUAUUUAUCCAAUUGAUGAGCUUAUGAGCUAAUAGUAUUGUUUGAUCAAGCUUGUGUUCUUAAUAGUGGAGUUGAUAUUCUUAAAAUGAAUUUAUGAUUAUGAGAAUAUGAAAAUUGAAUGGCAUCGUAGAGAUCUGGAUUAAUCACCAUCGUAUAUGUUUCUAAAUAAAGGAAUAAGCAGCAACCGAUUUGAAAGUUAAGACUUUAGGGAUAUGUAUGUGCAACUGAAUGAAUCAUCAGUUGCUAUCUUGUAAGUCAGUGCUAGCAUAUUACCUAAUGGCAAGUGAAGCUAUUUUAUGUGUAUUGCUGCCUAUCAAAAUGUUUAUGUUUGAAGUUUUCUCCUUUUGGGAAAUUGAAUGCUUCUGUGAGUUCUCUGGUAAGGGCUAUACAACUAUCUCUAAUAGAUUCCUUCAUGUGCAUUAAUUAGCUUAGUAGUUUAUUGACCUAUAUCCAAUGUCUAUUCUCCUUUUCUGUAGCCGUCUAGUUUUAUGAGUGUGUGAAGUGAACUUUUGUUUUAUGUUUCAGGACUUGGGAUUAGAGUGUAUAACAUUCAAUAUCUUUAUAUCAAAGAACUGAUAUAUGUCAAUGUAGUGCGAUCUGGUCUUUAUUAGCUUCUUGAUUUGCCAGGAUGUUUGACAACCAUCUUUGACCAUGAUUGCCAACAUAUAAGCUGCUACAUAGUGUCUCAGGAAUCACAGCAAAUUAUUAUCAUAAUAUGGUGAUUUUGAAUCCAAAACUUGGUAGUGUCAAGAAAAUAGACCCAUGUUUAUUUAUCUUCAUGUUUUGUAUGCGCCUGCAAUAGACUAUUAUAAGUUACUUUUAGUUUUAUCAAGUUUUUUUUUCCUUAAAUUUCAUCGAGUCUUGGAGUCUUUGUAAUAUAGAGUCUAAGUGAAGAAUACUUGGGUGAAAUCUUGUAUUCUCUCUUCCAGUAAUAUAAUCAUCCUUUGUGUUUUUAUCUUUUUAUUUUGGUAUCAGAGCAUACUUUAUUAUAGAAGGACUUAGACUCUAUAUUACAAAGACUCAGCGGUUUCUUUUAACUGAGUUAAUAGUGUUGUUAGGUUAAACUAAGUUUGGCUUCAUAAGAUUCAUAGUAGAGUGUAGAACUGGGUACAAUUUUGGGUUAGACAAGUCAAAAGUCUUCUCAAGUAAUUGUUCUGCUUACUGAUUUGGUAAUUGCAACAUUGCUAAAUAGUUCAAUUUGUCCUUUUAUUUUGUUGAAUUUAUUGUAUGUCAUAUUACUUCAUUUAAUUAUUUUCUCAGAUCUUGUAGGUGAAAAUUUCAGCUUCAAAGGCCAAGCUAAUCAUCCAGCAAUUCAGUGAAACCAAGACACAGUGGCUCAUAAAUUGUUGUUGGUGAUCCAGCCAUUCGGGUGCUUGCCAGUCCUAGACGAGAAAACUUUCAACGCGGCGCAUAAAUUGUUGUUGAUCUACUUUAUAUAUUUUGACCUUUGUGAUUUGUGAAUACAUGGUUUGAUUCCAGUGUUUACAACUUUGAUACUGUGUAUAACUUAAAAAGCAAAUGAAACAAAUAGGAAAUGUGUUUUUAUUUUUUUUAUUCUAUCUAUCUAUUUAUAUUUUGUUUGGAAAUGUAACAAUUUAUAGCUGGCAAAGUACUAGAGUUGUAUACUUGUAUUUAAUUCAUUAUUAUUAUUUUUUUAAUGAUGACUCAGUAAUGUCGUUGUCCAUGGUGUUUUGUCAUUUUGAGAGUACUUAACCCUUGGACGCUAAGGCACAUUACAGUAGCCGAAAUUUUGAGCUUUCAGUUCUUGAUUUUAGCGUGAGGGGUAUCUUUGUCGUUUCAGUUGUCAACAAACAAUUUGUUGGGGGGGGGGGGGGGGGGGUGGAGAUACGCUGAUACUUUCUAUCAUACUGGAGAUACACCUAACCUCAGGGAAGGAAACUGAAAUUUCACCUUUACGACGGGUGGACUUGGGUCAAACUUUCAUAUUCUAAUCAAGUAGGUCGAUCACGAUUCAAGCUUCAGUCAUAAGCCUUUCGUUAUGAUUGAUAUUAUUCUUUCUUGAUAGUAUCAUGGAAAAUGCAAACGAAAAGUCAGCAUCUUUGAGUUUUGUCUCAUCAUAUCCGACUUGUUGGUCUACUAAUCAAUCCACAGACCCUUGUGAUCUUGGUAAUUUGAACUUAAGGAGGCAAAGCAGCAAUCCUAAAGAGCCAUUGCUUGAUGCUGAGAUCGUUGUUGACGGCAAAUCAGUGGCAGUUAAUCGCAGCAUAUUGUCUGCACGCAGUCGUUUUUUUCAUUGGCUUUUUCAUUUGAGCAGUGAUGGUUCUGUGAGUGAGGGGAAACCCAAGUAUCUUAUGACUGAUUUGGUGCCUUAUAGGAAGGUUGGAUAUGAAGCUUUUAAUGAUAUCUUGCAUUAUCUUUACACUGGAAUGCGUAAGGCACCUCCUUCAGAAGUGUUCACGUGUGUUGAUGAUACUUGUGUUCAUCUUGUUUGCCCUCCUGCUAUUAAUUAUGUUAUUGAGUCGAUAUAUGCUUCUGCUGCUUUUAAGAUGACAGAGGUCGUUUCGGUUUAUGAGGUAGUUGCGCUUCCCCGCUACUUGUAUUGCUUAAAUUUAUGCUUAUUGGUAUAGUUUUAACAUAUGUGGGAUUGAAAUCAAUUUCAGUUGUGACUUGCAAAGAGCCAAAGAAUCUGUUGUUUUAUUUUGAAAGAGACAAAGAUGAUGAUGAUGGGCAGUGAACUCUAGGAAUCAAUGCUUGCUGACACUGACACCCAAGAAUGAUAAAAACUAACCAAAAAGGUAUAUAGAUUACAUGAGUCUGAAUUUGAUAAGUGCACCUAUCCUAUCACAAAAAGCUUUUGCGUUGAGUUUCGAACCAAGGAAAAUUGUCACUUCUGUCUGUAGGCUUCAUAGAUUUGUUCAAGCCUUCAAGGAUGUCUAGCUGUUACUUAGGGUCCAACAAUGGUGCUACAUUUCUAGUGGAUGAUAUGUUAUCUACAUCUGUAUAUUGGAACUUUGACAAACUUCGCCUUUCCUUUGUUGAUACACUCGUCUCACUUUUAUUAAAUUGCCUGAUUAUGAAAUGGUCUAUUGGAGACUAGCAAUGGAAGGUUUCUUCUGGAGAAAAUUUUACUUGCCACCAAUUUUCAUUUUGGUCGGUGUCAGUUCAUGCGCUGGCUUGAUUGUUCUGUUAUUUAGGUUGUUUUAUCCGUAUUUUCUCACUAUCUUGAUAGUUAGUUCUCUAAUGCUUUCAAGCUCAACAGCGAAUGCGAGAGAUUCUCUUUGUCCUGUCCAGGUUAUAACCUAGCAAAUCAUUAAUGCUGUAGAAUAACAUCUUGCGUAGAUGAGCUCGUGUCUCUGAACAUUGGUCCAUCGGCAUUUAGGUUCGAUAAGCAUGGCAUUGAUUUUCCCCCUCAUUGUUAUUUUCCUGCACAGAUUAUCCCCUUUAAGUAUUUGAAUUUUGAAUACAUUAUUCUGAAUCAAAACUCUAUACGUCCGUGUAGCAUUUUAUAUAUGCUUUAUGAUAUUUACCAAUAAUUACCCACUGCGAGGUAUUUGAAUUUUGAAUAUAUUAUAUAUUAUUAACUUUUGCACCCUUCUAUACAUGUAUUAGUUAAUUAUAAAGAUAUUUAUAUACUUUAUUAACUUUUGCACCCUUCUAUUUACUGAUUAUCUUUAUAAUUAACUAAUACAUGUAUCCAGGUUUCUCCUUCCAAUUGGAAUUCCUUUAUAGUGCUCUGUUAGGUGUAAUCAGAUGUAUCAAAAGAGAAAGGGUAAUUGUUAGUACAUUGAUAUCUCAACAAAAUGGUAGAACCUUUCUUUAUACCACUAAGACAUUUGUCGCAGAUAUGCCUACAUAAUCAGUGUCCUUCAAAACUUUCAAGGAGUUAGCAAUGCCUAACCCCUGAAACACUAAAUCUCACGGGAUCAACUCUUUACAUCUAGACCGAAGGUGUGACACCCAGACCCAAUUAGGGCUUAGAACACAUAUUGAAUCUGAGUGAAACUAAAUGCCUGUAAAUCCAAAUCUCCAAAAUAUCAAAAAGUCAUCUACUUUCUCUUUUCAUGUAUUUCACAAAAUUUUGAAAAAUUCAUUCUCAAUCAUAAACUAUGCACAGCUAAUUAUUCAGCAUAUCAGUAUAGAGCAAUACUUCCUCAUAAGCAAAUAAAUCUUACAAUCCUUCUUACAUGAUUUUAAAAAAAAUACUAAUAGAAGUCUUCUAGAUACAAACAUAAACAGAAUUCAACUGUUUAAAACUAUGCCAAAACACAAGCUUCAAUCAGUAAUACAUACGACUAAUUAUUAAAAACAUCUAGGCAGAAACCUUACGAAAGCUCAAUCUUUCUGAAGCAUUCUUCAAAUUAAAAAUUGCUACCAUCUGUGAAAAAUAAUUGACAAGGAGUCAGCUGUGAACUCAAUCAGUAGAAACAUUCGUAAUGAACAAAAAGAAUUCUUUGUGCAAUAUUUUCAGAAAAUUCAUUUAACCUUUCAAAUGAAACAGAGUAAUUUUUCUAACGCAGUCAGGAUUUAUAUAAAACACAAACGUUUCAGACAAAAGCUGUGCGGAAUUUAAAUUUUGCUUCUUUAAACAGAAAGUUAUAUAUUAGUUUGAUUUUAAAGGGAGGUUAUUGGGAAGUUAAAAUUGGCAGUUGUGGGAAAAGGGUAAUAGCAGUUAUAAAAUCUGUUUUAAAGCAAAUUCAAAUCAAGUUUCAAAUUUUAGGAGUACUUAAUUCAAUAAAAUAAGGAAUAAAUAAAGCUUUCAUUGAAACAAAACUAAGUAAAUUCAUUUAAAGCAAAAAAGGAUGGGAGCAUUACUAUGGGUUCUUAUGUUUACCCGCAGUCAGACAUCUGGGGACCUUGUUAUUUGGAGACAAGACUUGAUUGUGCCAUGUUUUCCGCAGCUAGACAUCUGUGGAUAAGAGAACCCUAAGCCUAUUUAGAAUAAAUUCUGUAAUCCAAGACUCUUCAGUUCUUUCAUUUGUGGCUAAUUAGUUAUAAAAUUUGUGAAUUUCAUGCCCCAUGCCCCUUGCAAAAUGCCAGUUGUUGAACUGAAAUAAUAAAAAAUGGAAAACAGACUUAAUGCCGAUAGCAUUUCUUAAGAAAAACUUGGGAUGUUUAUAAUUUUCUUAGAGCAUUUGCUGAACUUUCUGUGAUCGCAGUCGAGACGCGUGACCUCUACUUCCCUCAUUGCUCAGAAGUGGUUGAUCGCUUUUUGGAUUUGAACAAUCCUGCCACCCCAGAAAUGGACGACGAGAAACUUAAAGCAGACAUGCAGGAGGCAUUCUGCAAGGACGUGGCUUAUCACCGUCGUUUAGGGCUGCCAUCAUCCCGGCCGGCAUUUUACCAGUACACGGCUAGGAGCAAUCAGUCGGCAUUUUACAAGUACAUGGCUGAGAGCAAUCAGUCGGCCAAGUACGUGGCUGAGAGCAAUGGUUCAGGAAUGUCGACAUCCUCGGCAGCGCGCAAUCUAAAAGUUAUAUUUGACACCUGGAAAACUAAAGGAGUUGAGUGAGAUCGAUUGGUAUUUGUAGUUUCUUUUUUUUUUUCCUCAAGUGAUCUGGCAUAAUUAAAAGUUAUAUUUGUUUGUCUUAAAAGUUAUUGUAAUAUCUAAAGUCCGGUAAGAUGCGCGAACGUAUAGCAUGGAUCACAAACUCAUUUCAUAGAAUAUUUUUUUGUAUAAUUAUAUAAUUUAUAGGCUUUGCUUAAAAAAUUAAAAAAGAAUUGCAUUACAAUUGGUAUGAGGCAUGCAUGUGUGUGUCAUAUCAGUUGCUGAACAAACUUUGCCUUUUAGUUUUGUAGGCACUACCAUCUCAAAUUCUCUGUUAUCAUGAAUGAGUAUUUUUUUCUUUUUUCUUUUUUAAGAAAUCAUAAAUGAGAUUAAGAUAAUUUUUUUUAAAAAAAGAAAAAAAUGGAGAUUUCUUUUAUUUUUCCUUAAAAACUGAAGAAAAAUUUAGAUGGUAGUGUGAGACGGAGAAUUAAAGCAAUUUUACUAACAAAUGUAAUGUGUUUGGUGUCGCAAUACAAAUUAAUAAAUUAUAAUUUAUGAGACUAGUUUGCAUAAUCUUAUAUAUAAAAUUAUAUCCUCUGAAUAAAAAUCUUCUCACCUCUUUUGACUUUUCAUUUAAAUAUCCUCUCUAGAAUCUCUCUGACCAUAAACACAUUUUUACAAAACAAAACAGAAGAAAUUAUAUAUAAUUCUCACAAGGACUAUUUCAUUUGCACAUAGUACGCAAUUGGUCACUAAAGUUAUUUGAGGAGAAAAUUUACAUGAGAUGGGUACAUCCUAUUAUCAGUAUUUUAAUUUAAGUUUGAACAUACUAGAAUGGUCUCUCAUAAAUUUUUCUCCAAUUUGAGAGAUGGUGGGGAAGUGGGGUUAAAGUGCAUCUGCAUAGAAUUAAUUAUAAUUAAAUUUAUUUUUUAAAACUAUUUUAACUAGAAGUAGUAGUAAUUCUUUUUAUUAUUGUUAUUCCAAUUAUAUCAAAAUCUAGUGACUCGUGAUCAAAUUAAGUAGUUCAUUAAACUUUUUUAGGUGACGUAUGGUAUGGAGUUUUUAUAAAUCUAUAAAUAUAGUAAAAUAUUUAAUUUUGCUUGUCGUAAACUUUUAAUUUGCAUGGGUUAAAAAAGAAAAACUAGCGAAAAGUUUGUGCGCAGAGAGCCAGAGAAAACUAGCGGCCGCUGUUAAGCAAAAAGUUAAAAGUUGAACCCCAUGCAUGAAAGCUCCGAAAAUAUCGGACGUGGCGAAAACCCUAUUUUCGGAGGGACUUUUUCUCCGCCGUUUAGGGAGGCUAGAACAACCAAAAAGGCACGGUUUCGUGAUGAGGAAGUAGCUGGUGACAAUCCUAUGCAGGUUUCGUACAAAGAAACCCUGGUGAACUCUUCGCAAGCAAUGGAGAAUGGUUUUGGAGGCGGAGCAGUGGACUGGGAUUUUGAGGAAGGAGAUGUGAUCGAGAACAACGAUGGACCUAUGCCAUCAAUAGCUUUCUCGGCUAGGGUCCAUGAGAAGUUGAGUGAACCGCGGAAGAAUUCUGUCGUUGUGAAACUACUUGGCCGAACAAUAGGCUAUAGGGCUCUCUGCACAAGAUUGAAUGUAAUGUGGAAAACAACCAUGAGUUUCUCAGUGAUUGAUUUAGAGAAUAACUAUUUUUUGAUUCGCUUCCGCUCAAGUAGUGAUGUUGUUGAUGCUCUAACUAAUGGGCCUUGGCUUAUUAUGGGGCAUUACUUAACGGUACAACCAUGGACACCCAAUUUCGAUUUCACCAAAACGGCUAUUGAUCAAGUCACUGUAUGGAUUCGUUUACCUGGUCUUGCUGUCCACCUCUAUGAUCGGAAAAUGCUGCAAAAGCUUGGACAAUUGGUGGGUACGGUGAUCAAAAUUGAUGUGAAUACAGCCUCCUCUACACGGGGACGUUUUGCCCGAGUUGCAGUCACAAUCUCUUUGGCUAACCCGCUAGUGUCUCAGUUUGAACUGGAUGGGAAGGUCCAGAAGGUGGAAUAUGAGGGAUUGCCAGUGAUCUGCUUUAUGUGUGGAAGGUAUGGACAUAACAGAAAUACUUGCAAGGAAGCUGGUGCAGCGAAUGAAGCUGAAAAUGCCCCCCAGCCUACUAUGCAACGUCAGGAGGUCCCUGCUCAUCAGGAGUUUGGCUGUCAUGAUGCUAGUAUUGUAGAACCCUUUGGCACUUGGAUGAUCGUCACGAGAAAAGGCAGGAGAACUAACAAUGGCAUGGAGAAUAACAGUGAGCUAAACCGGAACCGCGAGCCUUUUGGGGCUAGCACUUCAAGAUUCCACAUUCUAGCUCAAGUCUCAGAUGAGCGUGAGGAUCAUGCCCCUGCAGUGGUUAAGGAUAUCCCCUCCACUUCACGUCAACCACUCAUGCCUACCCUGAACCCUACUUUUACCUCCCAUCAAGAGACCAUAACAAGGACCUCGGCAAGGCGUAAACCUCAUAAUAAGGCUGUGGUUACAAAACCUCGAGGUAGGAAACCGGCCACCUCAAUGAAUCCAUUCCAAAACCCCUUUCAGUCGAGUGUUUUUACCACAAGCAAGAAGGAUGUAAACUCCACACCCCAUGCAAACCUUAAUCCCACAUCAUUUGUAACUUCACAGUUUGAACCUGGUCAUCAACAAGUUUCCCACCUUGCUAACACCUUAGACCCAACGAAGCAUACUGUGGUCUUUUGCUCACCACAAACCUUUCCAUCGGGGAAUGUAAGGGAUGCGGCCAUUGAGCAUAGAGCUCGGCAGGGACCAGACCCUCAACAUACAUCUACUUGCCAGACGCUCGAAACACAUCAUGUGUUAAUGAAGUUGAGAAUGCCCAUACACACCCUGAGCAGCCUACGAGUGGAGUUGAUGAGGCUGGAAUGUUGGAUGAAGAAGAAUCAAUGGUUCAAGAAACGCUUAUGGCGUUGAUGGCUGAUAUUAAUGAUCAGCAAAACUAAGGUUUCUAUCAUCCCCUACUGAAAUUUUUUAUGUCAAUUAGCAUCAUGUAUUGGAAUGUUCAAGGGGUGGCCUUGACUACUUUUCGCCACUCUUUUAAGACUAUUGUUAAAAAUUAUAAUCCUUCUCUGGUGGUAUUGAUGGAACCUCGUAUUAGUGGGGGUAAAGCAGAUGAGUUUAUUAAGAAAAGUGGUUUUGACAACUCUCAUCGUGUGGAAGUAGUAGGCUUCUCUGGAGGAAUUUGGCUGCUCUGGCAGAAUGUUAUAGAGGUGGAGGUUCUUUUAAAUCACAAGCAAUUUAUUCAUUUCAGGAUUAGCAUGAAUAAGGUAUUUAUGUCUUGGGCAACGGCUGUCUAUGCUAGCCCAAAUCCAAUGUUGCGGAGAUAGUUAUGGAAUCAUAUGGAUAGCCUUGCUCUCUCUAUCCAAGGACCUUGGCUGAUUGGUGGGGAUUUCAAUUCUAUAUUGUACGCUUCUGAAAAACAGGGGGAGCUGCAGGGCAGUCAGGAGUGUGUGGCUUGUUUCGGCAGUGGUUUGAUGGACACCAAAUCUUUGAUUUAAAGUUCAAAGGCCCUCAAUCUACAUGGUCUCGUGGUUUUCUUUUCAAAAGGCUAGAUAAAGCCUUAUGCAAUAAUGAGUGGUUAUUAAAGUUUGCAGAUAACUCAGUUCUCCAUCUUCCGAAAGUUGCUUCGGAUCACAGACCGGUGCUAGUUCAGUUUGAGAGAGUUGUACGGAGACAUCAUGGUAAUAGGCCCUUUCGGUUUUUGGCUUAUUGGUUUACUAAUGAUCAUUUUAAUAAUUUUGUUAAGCAGACGUGGGAUCCUCAAGCUUCUUAUAGUGAUGCGGCAUCUAUUUUUGUCAAGGAGGUUCAAGUUUGGAAUCGGGAGGUUUUUGGGAAUAUUUUUCAGCGAAAACGUAUCUUAAUGGCUCGGAUUAAUGAGAUUCAAGCAACCUUGGAGAAAUCUAGUUCGAGGGGGUUAAUGCGCUUAGAGGCUUAGUUGCGGAAAGAUUUGGAGAUGGUGAUGGGGCAAGAGGACAUUCUUUGGUGGCAAAAAUCGAGAAAGGAUUGGAUUAUGCAUGGGGACAGAAAUAUUAGGUUCUUUCACCAAAAAACUAUUGUUCGCAGGCGGCGGAAUAGAAUUGAAGCCAUCCAGGACAAUUCGGGCAAUUGGUUGUACAAUGAGGAAGAAAUCCGAAAUCAUACAGUUGGGUAUUUUUCUGCCUUAUUCACAAGUGAGGCUGCAAGUCCCCAAGUUUAUCUUGUUCCGAAUUAUUUCCCAACUCUGGAUGCUUAUGAUAUCGAUUGUGUUGCCAACCCAGUUUUGGAAGCAGAAAUCAAGAAUGUCGUCUUUAGUAUGAAACCGCUAAAGGCUCCAGGUACGGAUGGGUUGCAUGCUAUUUUCUACCAGUCUCAAUGGGCAGUGGUUUGGCCUUCCUUCUGUAAGUUUAUUGCUGACAUUUUUAACUCUGGUAAGAUUCCUAAAGAGGUCAAUACUACUCUUCUGGUAUUGAUCCCUAAAGUGGAGCAUCCUACUAGCUUAAAAAUGUUCAGACCUAUCAGCUUAUGUAUAGUCGCCUAUAAAACAGUGACUAAAAUAAUUACUAACCGUUUGCAAGUCGUGCUGCCUAAAAUUAUAGGCCCUCAUCAGACGAGUUUUGUUCCUGGCCGCCACAUCAUAGAUAAUAUUGUUGUUGCCCAGGAAGUGGUCCAUACUAUGCAACGAAAAACAGGUAAGCGAGGGCUUAUGGCUAUCAAGGUAGAUCUCGAGAAGGCGUAUGAUCGGCUCAAUUGGUCUUUUAUCUUCGAUACUCUUCAGCUGACUGGCAUUCCGAUUCAAUUAUCUAGGCUCAUCAUGGAAUGUGUUACUACAGCUAAAAUGAGCAUUUUGUGGAAUGGAUAGGCUAUGGAGGAAUUUUCUCCGGGGAGAGGAAUCCGACAGGGAGAUCCCCUGUCUCCCUAUAUUUUUGUGCUUUGCAUUGAGCGGUUGAGCCAUGGUAUUUCCCAAGCUGUGAGGGAAGGCAGUUGGAAACCAAUCCGGUUGGCCAAACGGGGAACUCCCCUAACACAUUUAUUUGUUGCUGAUGACUUACUUUUAUUUGCAGAAGCCUCAAUUAAUCAAGCUUAUAUCAUUGACGCAGUUCUGGAGAAUUAUUGUCGGAGCUCUGAAACAAAGGUUAAUAAAUCAAAAACCAAAGUCUUUUUCUCUAAAAAUGUGUUAUCUAGAGAUGCCCAGCUUAUUAGUGACGCCUUGGGAUUUUCGGCUACUAAGGAUUUAGACUGUUACCUUGGCAUGCCUCUAAUCCAUUCGCGGGUGAAUAAAGCUACUUAUCAGUCCAUUCUGGAUAAGGUGGACAUGCGGCUUACUGGAUGGAAUGUGGCUAAUUUAUCCUUUGCUUGAAGAGUAACUUUGGCUCAAUCGGUGGUUCAAGCAAUGCCCAUUUAUGCAAUGCAAACAACUUUGCUUCCCCCCCGAUGCGUCAUAAAAUUGACACGACUUGUCAUCGGUUUAUUUGGGACGGGAAGUCGAAGAGGCACAAGAUGAGUAUGGUGGGCUGGGACAGAAUUUGUAUGCCAAAGAAUCAUGGGGGUCUGGGGUUUAAAAAGCUAGAUGUGUUGAACCAUGCACUGCUGAUGAAGCUGACCUGGGAAGUUGUAUCUAACUCGGACAAAUUAUGGGUGAAGGUGUUUUGUUCUAAAUAUGGGUUGGAUCCUGGAAACUUACCGCUCUCUCUCCUAGAUAAACAAUGGUCCCGUAUUUGGAUGGCUAUCAGGAAAACGUGGGCAGACACCAUGCAUGGAGCCCGCUGGUCAGUUUGUGAUGGUGUGAGAACUCGGUUUUGGCUUGACUGCUGGGUAACGAAGCAAGAACCUUUGAUAAAUUUUGCCCUCCAGCCGAUCUCUCACGAGAUUAUUAAUGCUACUGUGAGUGAGUUUAUAAACGAACACAGGGGCUGGAACUGGCUGAGAUUUGAACAUUUGCUGCCAAAUUACAUCCUCAUAUUGCAUCAGUUAGGCACUGACAAAAUUUACUGGAGUUUUGAUCCAAGAGGUGUGUUUACUGUCCGUUCAGCCUACGACUCCAUCUAUCGUCAAAACCUAGCCAUCCAAGAUGAAGCAUGGAGCUUAGCAUGGUCGUGGAAGGGACCCCAAUCUAUCCGCCUUUUUCUUUGGCAAAUUAUGCAUGGGAAGUUGAAGACUCAUGGUGAGCUGUCUCGGCGUCACAUUCCCGUGUCUAUGGCUUGUGAUAGGCGUGGGGCAUUGGUUGAGGACAUUCUACAUGCAUUGAGAGAUUGCCAUUGUAUUAAACGGGUUUGGCUGCGACUUGUUCCAGAGGGUGAUUAUCACUCUUUCUUUCACAUUAAUUUACGGGAUUGGAUUGUAGUUAAUCUUCAGAACAAGUUAAAGUUCGUUUCCCACAUUCAUUGGGAGUGUGUUUUUGGAGUGGCCGUUUGGAGAUUAUGGUUCUGGAGAAAUCAUUUCAUGGUCGAAGGAAAAUUGGUGGAUAGCUCAGCAAUUAAUAUGGAUAUUAUGGCCAGAGCAAAUGAAAUUCAUAGAGUGAAUAAUUCUCACAUGAGUCAGCAACCGAGGAGAAAAGAGAUGCUUAUCGGCUGUCAGCCUCCUCCAUGGCCUUGGUGUAAGUUAAAUACGGAUGGAUUUGUUAGAAAUUCAUGGGAUGUAGGGGCUGGUGGUGUUAUUCGUGAUUCAGUUGGUCACUGGAUUUCGGGAUUUUGUAUGAAUAUUGGGGAGUGUUCGGUGGUUAUGGCUGAGCUAUGGGGUCUAUAUCAAGGUUUAAUCCUGGCGUAGGAUGCUGGCAUAAAACGUCUUUUGGUGGAAGUGGACAGUCUGUGUGUUUCACAGAUGAUUUCUAAGCAGGUGGUCGUGCCUAAUGCUUUUUAUGCUCUAGUUGUUGCUAUCCCGAAACUUCUAAGCAGGAACUGGCAAGUUUCCCUCACUCACAUCUUUCGUGAAGCGAAUUCAACUGCGGAUUUCAUGGCUAAUAUGGCUUAUUCAGUCUCUCAUGGGUUACAUUUAUUUACUAGCCCGCCUGUGGUUAUUUAUUUAAUUAUAUUGCAAGACAUGUUUGGGGUUGCUCAACCCCGUAUUGUUCCGGUUUAGCUCGAAUUUGAGCCCAUUUUAAUCAAAAAAAGAAAAAGAAAAAAAGAAAUUGACUUAUUAAUUAAUUAACAAUUAUAGAAAGAAUAAAUAGAAAAUUAUAAUGGCGAACCUUGCUUGUUCUUUGCCUCUUGGGCUUAUGGUGUACCCUUGUCCCCCGCUGGGGGUUUCAUCCAUUCUUCUGUAUGAUUCUUACGGGGUUGCGACUCCUCGUUCGGUUGUUUUUUAGCUCUUAAUUGAGCCCCAGUUGAUCAAAAAAAAAAAAAAAAAAUUAUAGUUGCGUGAGAAAACUCUCGUGAAAAGGGCUCCGGAUUUCCUUUCCCUGGCUUCGUGCGUUUCCUUUUGCCCUUUCGAGCACGAAUUCGAAUCCAGUACUUUAUAAUAAAGAUAUAAUAUUAAAAAAUAAGAAAAAGAAUCCAAAUUUUUACUGGUAUAUAACGCAGAGCCAAAGCGAUAGCAAAACAUCAAAUUGUUUUUAUUUCAACCUUCGCGCAACUUCCGGUGACAUAAUUUUUAUCUGUUUCAGGUAUCGUUCUUGUUUUUUUGUUAUUCAUUCACAUAUCCUUCUUUUCUUUUCUUUUUUGCUGUAUUUUGUUUAUGAAACGCUCUGUUUCAGUUUUGUUUCUGGUUUUGUUUCAGUUUAACAUUAUUGGUUCGGUUCUGUUCUACGUCGUAUGUAUAUAUGUAUAUAUUUUUGGCCUCGAAUUGCUUUGAUCACCGGUUUUGUUAUUCAUUUAUCGUGAAUUUUAGAUGACUUGUUUGGCCAUGUAUUCACUUGAUUAUUACAUUCAGCUGCCAUUUUCAUGGUGGGUUUGUAAGAUAGUCUCUGACUAGCAUACGACAUUGAUCAUGAAUGAUGGUUUUGUUAGAUACAUCAUACGGAUGUUAACUCGUAUUAUUGUGUACUUACUUCAUUCAAAAGAUUAGUGUUUCUCUCUCUCUCAAUUUUUUUAAGAAAAAAAAUGAAAUGCCCCUUUUCGCAUUUUAUAGGUGAAAGGAAGAAACAUAAUAUCGCAGUGUCAAGGAAGCUCAUAAUGUAUGGAAGGAUGCAGCACACGUGUGAGAUGAAUACAGUCAGCUGAAGUUAGUUAGACACGUUAAGAUCAUAUUCAAUUAGCUUCUUUAUUUUCUGUUAAGUUGUAAACAGCUGAGUAUAAAUACAAGCAUCUUGUAAUCAUUUCGUUGUUAAGAAAAAUGAAAUAAAGCAUUUGAUUCAGAAGUCUUUUACAAAUUUUCUUAGCACUUUAAAUACAUUUUCUCAGUAACCAAACAGUCUGUUCAUUCAAGCUUUUAAGCUUUCAAACAUGGUAUCAGAGCCAUACAGAGCUAGUUCCAGUAAUCAACAGUCAAGCUUUCGUAAUCAAACAACAAACAACACAAAUCAAUCUACUCAAAUCAACUUCUCCUUUACUAAUCCUAUCAAGCUAGAUCGAUCAAAUUACUUACUCUGGCGCUUUCAAGUUUUAGCCUCAAUAAGAGGCAAUCGUUUGGAAGAUUUCGUCACAGGAGCCAAAUCAGUACCUGAUAAGUGUCUUCUGUUAACUGAAGUAGAUGGAUCUACACAACAAAUUGAAAAUCCAGAAUAUCAGAUCUGGAGAUCACAGGAUCAGACACUUCUUGGCUGGCUACUGUUGUCAUUAAGUGAAGGUAUCUUAAGUCUUGUUAUCAAUUGUGAAAGUUCAUUUGAUAUAUGGAAAACUUUGGAAAAGAAAUUUGGAGUUCAAUCUGAAGCUCGAGUUCUUCAGCUCAGAUAUGAACUAAACACUCUUAAAAAGGAAGCUCUUAGUGUUUAAGAUUAUUGUAUUAAAAUGAAAGCAAUAACUGAUAAGCUAGCCAGUGCUGGUAGUUCAAUUACAGAGAAGGAUCUUAUGUUAACUAUUCUUAAUGGAUUAGGACCAGGAUUUCGUGAUAUUGCUACAUUUAUAACUGGUUCACGAAUGGAAUUUGAUGAUGCUUAUGCACUGUUACUCACUCAUGAGACUAGAUUAGAGCAGGAGAAAGGUGACAGAAGUAUGUUUAAUGCAAACUAUGCAUAUACGAAUGCAUAUUAUCCUAGAGCUUAUUUUGCACAGCCUAGAGGAAGUUUUAAACGAGGAGGUUAUUCUGGUGGUAGAACUCCUUUCUUUGGCAGAGGAAAUAUGAAUUACUCUCCAAGAAUGUUUAAUGGAGGUGUUAGAAAUGGAUAUUGCAGAGGAUUUUUUCCUGGAAAUAACUCAACUGAUUUCAAUCAUUUUUCAGCUCCUAGGAAUCCAGUACCUAGGAACUCAUCCUUUCUAGCUAGAAAUGGUGCUAAUAUGAGUGGAUCACAAGGAAGCUUUAAUAAUGCUAGGGAGCUGGUAUGUCAGAUUUGCUUUAAGAAUGGUCAUACUGCUGAUGUCUGUUGGCACAGAUUUGUUGAAGACUUUGUACCUAUUCCAAGAGGUUUUGGCAGGGGAAAAACACCAAGAGCAGCAUAUUUCUCAAACUUUGAUGGCCCUACUUCUAAUCCAGAUUUUGGCUAUGAAAAUAAUAAUAUGUUUCCAGGUUAUGAUUCUAUAUCUGGCAAUAGUUACUAUUCUGGAAUGGAUGGAUACACUUCUGGAGCAGUUGGAACAGCUUUCAUGGCUAAUUUUGAAGGAACUGCUGAUGAUAGAUGGUAUCUGGAUAGUGUGGCAACUCACCAUUUAACCAACAAUAUGGAGAAUUUGCAGAUCAAUGAAGAGUUUAAAGGUACUGAUCAGCUUAUCAUUGGAAAUGGUCAAGGUUUGUCUAUUACUCAUGUUGGACAUGCAUUUCUGGUAUUAAGAGCUUCUAAAUCUUUAUCUAUACAUGCUAGAAUAACACUUAAAGAUGUGUUAUUUGUUCCUUCAAUUACCAAAAAUCUAUUAAGUAUUUCCAAACUCACAUCUGAUAAUCUUGUAUCUGUUGAAUUCUGUGGAAAUGUUUGUUUUGUAAAGGACAUGAAGGGUCAAGUUCUUCUGCAGGGUAUUGCUGAAAAAUGCCUUUACAAGCUGCUGCUGAAAUCUAAUUCUCUUUCUUCAUCACCUACAUCUUAUCUUUGUAAAUCCCAGCCAAAUAAACCAGUUUCUAUGUUAUCUGCUUUCAAACACUGUGAUAAUGGUACUCGAGCUUGCUAUCAAUCUGUUUUAAAUAAGUGUAAUGUCAAACCUGAUAUGAUAACUUUGUUACAUAGAAAGUUUGGUCAUCCAAGCUCAAUGACAUUGGUGCAUUUGCUCAAAUCAUGUAAACAGUUUAAAGUCUCUCCAAAAGACAUGUUAUCUUCUGCAAACACUUUAUGUGAAGCAUGUCAGCUAGGCAAAGUCCAUAAGCAACAUUUCUCAAUAACUGAAACAAAAACAAAAGGGGUAUUAGAAUUGAUUCAUACUGAUCUUUGGGGGCCUUCACCCACUGUGUCUAGAGAUGGAUACAAAUACUACAUUAGUUUUGUGGAUGAUUAUACUAGGUAUUCUUGGAUCUAUCCUCUUAAGCUCAAAUCACAAGCAUUUGAAGUUUUUAAAUUGUUCAAAACUCAAGUUGAGAAUCAGUUUGAUACCAAAAUUAAGAAGCUACAAUCUGACCUUGGGGGAGAGUUUAGAGCAUUUACUGAUUUUCUGAAUCAAAAUGGAAUAAUGUUUAGACACUCAUGUCCUUACACUCAUCACCAAAAUGGUUUUGUUGAGAGGAAACACAGGCAUAUAGUUGAGCUAGGCUUAACCCUCAUGGCUCAAGCAAACCUUCCUCUUCAAUUCUGGUGGGAACCUAUUCAUACAGUAGUGUAUCAUAUUAAUAGAUUGCCUACCCCUGUUCUGAAAUUCUUAUCUCUUUAUGAGAAACUUUUCAAACACAAACUAGAUUACACAUUCCUGAAGUGUUUUGGUUGUCUUUGCUACCCAUACUUGAGAGAUUUUAACAAACAUAAGUUUGAUUUUCACACCUCUAAAUGCAUUUUUAUUGGAUACAAUCCCUCUUAUAAAGGAUACAAGUGCUUAGCAAGUUCUGGCAAAGUCUAUGUUCUUAGACAUGUCAUUUUUGAUGAAAACACAUUCCCUUAUCCAAUAAACACUACAUCUCACACAUCAGAAAACUCCAUAUCUUCUGAAACCUCAGUGUCUAAUUUCUCUCAACAACAUAUCUAUCAUCUUUCUACAAUGGCCUUACCCAACAGCAGCUUUGAAGGUCUUCAAUCAGCAGGCUCAGCAAGAAGUGAACAAAUGUCCUCUGUUCCCACACAUACAGAUAUUCUGAAUCAACAAGAACAUCCAUCACACACAUCUUUAGAGUUAUCAUCCUCAACCUCACCAUCACCAAACACAUUACCAGUACAAUCAUCCAUUCUACAAUCAGAGGAAACUUCUAUUCCACAGAACAUAGACCAAAUUCAAACCAGAAAUCAUUCCCAACCAUCUUCUCAUCCAAUGAUUACCAGAUCAAAAUCUGGAAUCUUCAAACCAAAGGUCUAUACAGUCACCUUAGCCAACAAAGAACCUAGUACAGUUCAAGAAGCUCUUAGUAGUCAGAAUUGGCAUCAAGCCAUGGUAGAUGAGUAUGCAGCUUUGAUAAAGAAUGAGACUUGGUCACUGGUACCAUUUUCAAAUGCAUACAAAGUAGUUGACAAUAAAUGGGUGUUUAGACUUAAGCAAAAUACUGAUGGAAGCAUAGUUAAACACAAGGCCAGGUUGGUUGCCAAAGGUUUUCAGCAAACUGAAGGUGUGGAUUACUUUGAGACCUUUAGCCCAGUUGUAAAAGCUUCAACAGUAAGGAUUGUUCUGAGUUUAGCUGUGAUGCAUAAAUGGAAAAUAAGGCAAGUGGAUGUGAAUAAUGCAUUCUUGAAUGGAGACUUGACAGAGGAUGUCUAUAUGUAUCAGCCUGAAGGUUUUAUUGAUCAACAAAAACCCAAUCAUAUAUGUAAGCUGAAGAAGGCCUUGUAUGGCUUGAAGCAAGCUCCUAGAGCUUGGUAUGACAAGCUUAAGAAUUGUCUUAUUGCUAAUUGGAAAUUUCAGAAUUCAAAGGCUGAUACCUCUCUCUUCUUCAAAGAAGUGCAGGGUUCAAUGAUACUUAUCUUAAUCUAUGUUGAUGACAUUCUAAUAACAGGACCUGAUAAUGGUGAGCUGGAAAAAUUCAUCUCAGAAUUCAGUAAGACUUUUUCCUUAAAAGACUUAGGGAAUUCUGUCAUAUUUUCUGGGGAUAGAAGUUUCCUAUGCUGAAGACUGCAUCUAUUUAUCUCAGAAGAAAUAUAUCUUGGAUUUGUUAUCCAAAGCUGAUAUGCAAAAUUGUAAAGGCUGUGACACUCCCAUAGUUACUGGAACAAAGCUUCAGAAAGAAGUCAAAGGCUGUUUGGGUCAAUAUAUUGAGGAUGCAACAAGCUAUAGAAGCUUAGUUGGAGGUUUACAAUAUCUGGUAUUAACCAGACCAAAGAUAGCAUUUGCUGUGCAUAAGUUGAGCCAGUAUGUGACAGCUCCAACACUCCAGCAUGUUAUGGCUUGUAAAAGAGUUCUUAGAUACCUUAAGGAAACUGCAGAUCAUGGUUUGAAGUUUUCAGCAGGUGGAGAAAUGAAGAUCACAGGAUUUACAGAUGCAGAUUGGGCAUGUGAUGUUGAUGACAGAAAAUCAAUAGGAGCAUAUUGCAUUUAUUUUUGGAAACAAUCUAAUUUCAUGGUCAUCCAAGAAGCAGGCUAUGGUUACACGAUCCAGUGCAGAGAGUGAAUAUCGUGCUCUGGCUUCUGCAAGUGCAGAGAUAACAUGGAUCCAGUCAUUAUUCAGUGAACUCAACAUUAAGUGUACUUCAUUACCAACUAUCUGGUGUGAUAAUAUAAGUGCAACAGAGUUGGCCAAGAAUCCAGUUUAUCAUUCAAGGACAAAACACAUUGAACUGGAUAUGCACUUUAUUAGAGACAAAGUUUUGGCAAAGGAGUUGGAGAUUAACUAUAUUCCCAGCGAGGAGCAAAUUGCUGAUGCUUUGACAAAGCCUCUGACAUUCAUUCAUUUCAAUUAUUUCAGAGACAAACUCAAUGUGCAACCAUGCCCCUUGAGUUUGAGGGGGGCUGUCAAGGAAGCUCAUAAUGUAUGGAAGGAUGCAGCACACGUGUGAGAUGAAUACAGUCAGCUGAAGUUAGUUAGACACGUUAAGAUCAUAUUCAGUUAACUUCUUUAUUUUCUGUUAAGCUGUAAACAGCUGAGUAUAAAUACAAGCAUCUUGUAAUCAUUUCGUUGUUAAGAAAAAUGAAAUAAAGCAUUUGAUUCAGAAGUCUUUUACAAAUUUUCUUAGCACUUUAAAUACAUUUUCUCAGUAACCAAACAGUCUGUUCAUUCAAGCUUUUAAGCUUUCAAACACGCAGAACUAGAAUAAAGGAGCCUAUUCUGGUACCUAUUGUCCAAGAAAGCUUCUGUAUAUUCAGUAGGAACUACCAUGGAAGUCAAAUCUUACCAGAGCCAGGCGGAGUCGUUGCUGAAGGAAUAUAUAUUAGCAGAUCCAUUUCUCCCGUACACUUCAAUUGUUGGUAGCAUUUUUGCUUGCACGAUGGUAUGUUUGUCAUCGUUACUGCGUGGUGGUAUUUACUAGAAAAUAUUUUGAAUGCGUAGUUUUCAUCUAAUUAGUUAUAAAUUUUAUACCCUCUGUUUUCCAUAAGAAUGUGUUCCUUUUCAGGUCUAUGAUCUUGCCCAAUUGAUUAGUGUGCUGAUAACUUUAAAUCUGAUUCCAGUUUCUCCAACAUACAGCGGGUCGAGUGGAGUAACAGGUGAUUGAAAAUUUUCAUUUAGUCCAAUUGUCAUUUCUUUCUCAAUCGGUAAAAUUUAAUCAUUUUUCUUAAAUCGACAACUUAUGCCGGGCCAUAUCAACUGUCCAUGACAUUUUUAUUACAACGAUGUCUUUGUACUUUGUGUUUUGGUCGAAUCUCAGAGUUUGUGCAUAGCACACUUGGUUCUACUGUUUGUUUGUCCCUUCAUAGACAUUUUGAUAAACUGUUAUUUUUGUUCUUUGGAAGUGAAUAUUUUCAGCAACUAGAACUCCGAAGCAUCUGGAGUGAUCCAUUUUGUCAUUCGCAAUACCUAUAAAAGAAUGUCAUAGAAAACAGUUUCCAAAGCAAGUUGCAUGUGUUUUGAAUUUGUCUUUGCAAGCCACUAAUUGCUUGGAGCGCACUGUUAGCCUGUCGUGAUCCCAUCCACUUUUUUGGAUAGACAAUUGUGCAUCCAUAUGAUCUGGACUAAACUAGUUUCUAAUAAAUAAUUGCCCAAGGAUUUAGUCUCAGUGUUACAGCCCAGUCUUUGUUGUCAAUACUCUUUCCCCUGUCGUGGAUGAGCGCCAUAACAGCUUCUUAAUGUUUUGCAGUGGCUUUUGCACGGUUGUUGUUUCCUUCUGAAGCUAGAGUAGCUACGGAUAGAGCGGAUGCAGAUGCCACCAAUUUUUAUACUGGCCUUUCAGCAUCAAAAUCAAAAGGAUCAAGUGGGAACUUAAAGGAGGUUGAUUUGAAUGAAACACCCUCCAUGCAAGCCAAGAGACUCCAAUUAAGAUUGCAAGCUCUGCUUAAAACAAGUAUUCAUAUACCUUAUUAGUUUUUGUACCUUUACAAUUUGUGAUUUUUGUAUCAAAAGAGAGAGGUUAAUUUUUAGUACAUUGAUAUCUCGACAAACUGUUAGAACCUUUGCACCACUAGAGACAUUUUCUUAGAGCAUUUACUGAACCUUCUAUGAUUGCAGUGGAGAUAGGUCGACGCUACUUCCCUCGUUGCUCAGAAGUGGUUGAUAAAUUUUAGGAUUGUGAUUGGUCCGAUGCUUCCCUCCUAGAAAAAGGGUACUCCUAAAGAGCAGAGACUCAAAAGGGCACGCUUCAUGGAACUUAAAGAAGACGUGAAGAAGGCAUUUUACAAGGACAUGGCUGAGAAAAAAUGGCUCAGGUUUGUAGUCAUCCUCGUCAUCGUCAUCUUCUCCGAAGGACGGAGUAAAGUGUAAGGGUAGGAAAAUGUGAUGCUUAUCUGCUUGUCUUUGUUAUUCAUUUACAGGCAACUAAAAGAGUUUUAGUGAGUUGGAUUGUUACUUGUAGAGAGAUACUCUUCGAGCCUAUGUUAUGGCUUAUGUUGUAUAAUAGCAGAGGAACUUCAAGCUUGCGUUGUUGUAUUUUCCCUGGUAUUUGGCAUGUGAUGCACUAAAUGACAAAGAAUUUUCUAAUUUUAGAGGGGAAAGUUAUGUCAGUUAAUUAUUUAUUUAUUUUGUCUGUUUAAUUCAGUUUACACAGCGCUUUUUUUUUUCUAAAAAAAUCUUCAUAUCUCCAUCUGCAAUUUAAGUCAUUCUUAACUUGUUUCAGGAUGGGGAACAAAAAAAAAAAAGAGAAAAUGAAAAGAAGCAUUUGUAAGUAUAUUUUACAGUACUGAUUUUCCUAUAGAAAUUGGUUAAUGUGACAUUAAUGUUCUUUGAGAUAGACGGAUAUACAGAUUUUUCGUCGAAAUUGAAAUUAGAAAUGGAUGGAUAUGCAGAAUUUUUUAAUAGAAUUUUUAUACAAAAAUUUGUAGCUCAUUACUCUCUAAAAGGAAAAAAUAAAUUUUUGAUUGUAAAUAUUAAAUUUUAAAUUUAUAAUAUAAUAACUUUGUGAGUUAAGGUGCACAAUACCCAUAUAUUAAUAAUUAAGAAAAGAAAAAAAAAUUAAAAUUUGUAAAUUACCAAUUUUUUCUUGAAAUUUGAUAUUCUAUAUUAACGUAGGUGUUGCAUGGACUGGGUUAGUACAAUUGAAAGAAACUAACUAAAGUAAAACAAAAUAUCAUUAAAAAUAUGGCAAGCUUCUCAUAUUUUUUAAGUGAAAAAGAGAAGAAAACUAAAAUUAGUUAUUUUUAUACCCAAAUUCUAGUGCUUGAAGGCCGCUGGAAUUGACCAUUGCAGUUUUGUCAUCCUCAUUAUUCACCGGCCAUCGUGGCCUUCCUCCAUUAAAAAAAUAAAUGAUCAUUUUUUUGGACCACGACAUAUUAAAAAUAGUAUUGAUUAAUACUAAUAAAUCUCUUUUUUUAUUAUUUUGCAGUGCAAUAGUCCAGUGAGGGCAGUGCCCAUCGUAGCACUUGAACAUGUGGUAAAUUUCUGCCAGUCUUUGUAAAAUAAUUUUUAAAUUAUGUAUUAACCAGAUAGCUCAAUGAAAACUAUCGUUCACUAAAUCAUUACUUUAUUUUGUAUAUAUUUAUGGUAAUUGUUGAAAAGAAAAAUGUAAAGUGAGAUUAAUGAACGUUUAUGAAUGUGGAAAUUAACACAACCAGGAUUUAUGAUAAAAUAAUUUUAAGUCAAAUGAGCAUAAAUUUGUAUAAAUAUUUUUUGAAUUGUCAUAUAUAUACAAGUUUGUCACUAAUUCCUUACCUAAAUCAUGUACUAAGCAAACAGCAAAUAAGAUCGAAAAUCUUGUUGAAUAUUCCUAUGUUCCCGAGUCCGCCCAGAUCACUGAAUCUUCUUUACCUCUUAUCAGUCCAUACCAUCUGUAUAAAAAAACCAUCUUCUUUUACUAAAACCAUCAAAACCCUGAUUUCUACCAAACGCCCCUCUCCUAAAGAGUAUAUCCAGUCAUCUAAACUAGAUCAGUGUGCUUUAAUGGCUACUGCAGCUGAACAAUAUGUGACACUUGAGAUACCCCCAGAAGUAAUCUCUACAUGGAAAAGAAAAGGCUAUACACAUCUUCAUCUUGCAGGUGUUCGCCUUAUCCUUACUCUCAAUGGGAGAAAGGGUCUACCCGUCACAGCCCGAAUUGCUUUGCUUGACACCAGGUUUAAGCAAUAUCAGCAUGCCAUUAUUGGCACAGUUCUUACUACUCUCUCUGCCGGAAAUGUUUUGCUUACAUUCUAUCCUAAUUUCAAUCUUUCUCUUCUUGACUCUAAUCUUUUCAAAGUAGGUUUUAAUGGUGUUCAAAAACAUAACAUCACAUUAAGGAAUCAUUCUUUUAUUGUUAUCCCCAAAAAAAGUUCACCUUCACCAACCCCCUCAUUUACCCUUCUUCUCAGCUAUCCUUUGGCGUAUCUCCAUUUUAAUAGGAAGUAUUAGCAUAUCUCCCACUUUUCUCCCCUGCCGUUUGUAUACCGUUUCAUAUUGUUAAUGGACGAAGCUACAAGUCUUCUCUUUCAUCAAAUCGAUCCAUAACAAAUACGAGUCUGCUUCACCUAACCAAAACACACACAUACUCCAUCUCUAAAUGCUUUGAAGAUAAACAAAUCAACGGUAAUCCUGCAACUUUAGCUCAGAGAAUCGGAUAAGAAAAGAACAGGCGAUGAAUCAAGGGUAAUGGCGCCGAGUGAGUGUCGCCUGCGGUCGGCGUUAGAGGCGACUGUCACUCAAUCGCGUACAAGGUUAGUCUUUGAAAAAACUCUUUGCACGUUAGAAAUCAGUGAUUGGGCAUUAUUUUGUUAUUUAAAAUGAAAAUGGGUUUGUUGAUGUGUUGAAGAAGUUUCUCUACUGCUGGUGUUUUUUUAUUAAUUAAAAUGAAAAUGGGUUUGUUAAUUUAUUGAAGCAGCUGCUGGCAUUGUUAUUGUGACUUUAUUUAUCCAAUUGAUGAGCUUAUGAGCUAAUAGUAUUGUUUGAUCAAGCUUGUGUUCUUAAUAGUGGAGUUGAUAUUCUUAAAAUGAAUUUAUGAUUAUGAGAAUAUGAAAAUUGAAUGGCAUCGUAGAGAUCUGGAUUAAUCACCAUCGUAUAUGUUUCUAAAUAAAGGAAUAAGCAGCAACCGAUUUGAAAGUUAAGACUUUAGGGAUAUGUAUGUGCAACUGAAUGAAUCAUCAGUUGCUAUCUUGUAAGUCAGUGCUAGCAUAUUACCUAAUGGCAAGUGAAGCUAUUUUAUGUGUAUUGCUGCCUAUCAAAAUGUUUAUGUUUGAAGUUUUCUCCUUUUGGGAAAUUGAAUGCUUCUGUGAGUUCUCUGGUAAGGGCUAUACAACUAUCUCUAAUAGAUUCCUUCAUGUGCAUUAAUUAGCUUAGUAGUUUAUUGACCUAUAUCCAAUGUCUAUUCUCCUUUUCUGUAGCCGUCUAGUUUUAUGAGUGUGUGAAGUGAACUUUUGUUUUAUGUUUCAGGACUUGGGAUUAGAGUGUAUAACAUUCAAUAUCUUUAUAUCAAAGAACUGAUAUAUGUCAAUGUAGUGCGAUCUGGUCUUUAUUAGCUUCUUGAUUUGCCAGGAUGUUUGACAACCAUCUUUGACCAUGAUUGCCAACAUAUAAGCUGCUACAUAGUGUCUCAGGAAUCACAGCAAAUUAUUAUCAUAAUAUGGUGAUUUUGAAUCCAAAACUUGGUAGUGUCAAGAAAAUAGACCCAUGUUUAUUUAUCUUCAUGUUUUGUAUGCGCCUGCAAUAGACUAUUAUAAGUUACUUUUAGUUUUGUCAAUUUUUUUUCCCUUAAAUGUCAGUUAUUUCAGCGGUUUCUUUUAACUGAGUUAAUAGUGUUGUUAGGUUAAACUAAGUUUGGCUUCAUAAGCUUCAUAGUAGAGUGUAGAAUUGGGUAUAAUUUUGGAUUAGACAAGUCAAAGGUCUUAUCAAGUAAUUGUUCUGCUUACUGAUUUGGUAAUUGCAACAUUGCUAAAUAGUUCAAUUUGUCCUUUUUAUUUUGUUGAAUUUAUUGUAUGUCAUAUUACUUAAUUUAAUUAUUUUCUCAGAUCUUGUAGGUGAAAAUUUCAGCUUCAAAGACCAAAGCUAAUCAUCCAGCAAUUCAGUGAAGAAACCAAGACACAGUGGCUCAUAAAUUGUUGUUGGUGAUCCCAGCCAUUCGGGUGCUCGCCAGUCCUAGAUGAGAAACCUUUCAACGCGGCGCAUAAAUUGUUGUAGAGCUGCUUUAUAUAUUUUGACCUUUGUGAUUUGUGAAUACAUGGUUUGAUUCCAGUGUUUACAACUUUGAAAUUCAAUUAAAAGUUGAGCUGUCAUUGAUUGAUGACAAGAUUGUGUUGUAUAACUUGAGAAGCAAAUGAAACAAACAGGAAAUAUGUUUUUUUAUUUUUUUAAUCUAUCUAUCUAUUUAUUUUUUGUUUGGAAAUGUUACAAUUUAUAGCUGGCAAAGUAAUAGAGUUGUAUACUUGUAUUUAAUUUAUUAUUAUUAUUAUUAUUUUAAUGACUCGGUAAUGUCAUUGUCCGUGGUGUUUUGUCAUUUCGAAAGUACUUAACCCUUCCACGCUAAGGCACAUUACCGCAGCCGAAACUUUGAGCUUUCAGUUCUUGAUUUUAGCGUGAGGGGUAUCUUUGUCUUUUCAGUAGUCAACACACGGUCAACAAAACAGUGUACAAACAAUCGACCUGUGAACUUGGGUCAAAGCUUUCAUCUUUAAAUCACAUAGGUAGAUCAUGAUUCAAGCUUCAGUUAUAAGCCUUUCAUUGUGAUUGAGGUAAUUGUGUUUCACUGCUAUUUGUAUUGCUUAAAUUUAUGCUUCUUGGUAUAGUUUUAACAUAUAUGGGAUUGAAAUCAAUUUCAGUUGUGAAGCAACUCCGGUGGUUCCCAAUAUUAGGCAUUGUAGUAGAUCCAAAAUUAGCUUGUUAAGAAGUGUAGAUACCGUAGAGCCCAAAACUCCGUCUUAUCUUGCAAGAGUCUGUUGUUUUAUUUUGAAAGAGACAAAAGUGAUGAUGAUGGGCAGCGAACUCUAGGAAUCAAUGCUUGCUGACACUGACCCCCAAGAAUCAAUGAGUCUGAAUUUGAUAAGUGCACCUAUCCUAUCACAAAAGCUUUUGCGUUGAGUUUCUAACCAAUUUUCAUUUGGGUAGGUGUCAGUUCAUGCUCUGGCUUGACUGUUCUGUUAUUUAGGUUGUUUUAUCCGUAUUUUCUUCACUCACUUGAUGGUUAGUUCUCUCAUGCUUUCAAGCUCUCAACAGUGAAUGCGAGAGAUUCUAUUUUUCCCGUCCAGUCUAUAACCUAGCAAAUCAUUAAUGCUGUAGAAUAGCAUCUUGUGUAGCCGAGUUUAUGUCUCUGAACAUUGGUCCAUCGGCAUUUAGGUUCAAUAAGCAUCUUGAAUUUUGAAUAUAUUAUUCUGAAUCAAAACCCUAUCUGUCCGUGUAGCAUUUUUUAUAUGCUUUACGAUGUUUACCAAUAAUUACCCACUAUGGGGUAUUUGAAUUUUGAAUAUAUUAUUCUGAAUCAAAACUCUAUCUGUCCGUGUAGCUUUGGCUUCUGAACUUGGUUGAGAAGGCUCUUGUGGAAGAUGUAAUCCCAAUUCUCGUGGCUGCCUUGCAUUGCCAACUGAACCACCUCCGUUCUUUCUGCAUCCAGAGAAUUGCAAAGUCAAAUCUUGACAAUGUUUGUCUCGAGAAAGAGCUUCCUGAUGAAGUUUCAAGUGAAAUCAAAUCACUCCGUGUCAAAUCUAACCAGGAGUCUGAAGCUAAUAUAGCAGAAGUGGAUCCUAUGCAUGCAAAAAUAGUCAGAAGAAUCCACAAGGCGCUGGACUCUGAUGACGUUGAACUGUUGAAGCUUCUUCUGGAUGUAUCUAGUGUCACUCUGGAUGAUGCUUACGCUCUGCACUAUGCUGCUGCCUACUGCAACCCUAAGGUUUUUAAGGAAGUGCUCAAUAUGGGCUCGGCUGGUCUCAAUCUUAAGGAUGCAAGAGGACAGACGGUCCUUCAUGUGGCUGCAAGGCGUAAUGAGCCAGAAGUGAUGGUGACUCUGCUGAGCAAGGGAGCAUGCGCAUCAGAAACUACAUCAGAUGGGCAAACAGCUGUAGCAAUCUGUCGGAGAAUGACAAGGCUAAAGGAUUAUCUUGAAGCUACAAAGCAGGGGCAGGGAACUAACAAAGACCGGUUAUGCAUUGAUGUCCUUGAGAGAGAGAUGAGAAGGAACUCCAUGUCUGAGAACUUGGCAAUGCCAUCAGAGGUGAUGGAUGAUCAUUUCCAAGCGAAGCUGGACUAUCUAGAAAAUACAGGUGAUAUUUCUUUACUGGUAUUAGUUCAUCACCUUCUCAGAGUUUGUGCAUAGCACACUUCUUUCUACUGUUUGUUUGUCCCUUCAUAUGGAAAAUGGAGGUGAUAUUCCUUUACUGGUAUUAGUAAAUCAUCUUCUCAAGAGUUUGUGAGUCCCUUCAUUUUAGCAUCUCAAACACACAUGGGCUCAUUGCUUGGGGCACACUGUUGGCCAGUCAUGUGAUUUGAUCCCCUUUUUUGGAAUGGAGAAUUCUGAAUCCAUCUGAUCUAGGCUUUGUGGUUUGCACUGAACUGGUUUUUGAUGAAUAAUUGUACAAGACUUUGUAAUAAAAAACUUUUUUUUUUUUCCCAAAAAGUAAUGAGCUACCAAAAAAUUUAUGCCUAUCCUGGAUGACUGCCAUAACAGCUUCUUAAUAUUUUGCAGUGGCUUUUGUACGGUUGUUUCCUUCUGAAGCGAGAGUAGCUAUGGAAAUAGCAGGUGCAGAUACCGCCACUGGCCUUUCAGCAUUAGGUCAGAAAGGACUAAGUGGGAACUCAAAGGAGAUUGAUUUGAAUGAAACGCCCUCUAUGCAAGCCAAGAGACGCCAAUUGAGACUGGUAACUCUGCUUAAAACAGGUAUUUAUAUACUUUAUUAACUUUUGCACCUUUCUAUUUACUGAUUAUCUUUAUAAUUAACUAAUACAUGUAUCCAGGUUUCUCCUUCCAAUUGGAAUUUCUUUAUAGUGCUCUGUUAGGUGUAAUCAGAUGUAUCAAAAGAGAAAGGGUAAUUGUUAGUACAUUGAUAUCUCAACAAAAUGGUAGAACCUUUCUUUAUACCAGUUAAGACAUUUGUUGCAGGUAUGCCUACAUAAUCAGUGUCCUUCAAAACUUUCAAGGAGUUAGCUAUGCCUAACCCCUGAAACACUAAAUCUCACGGGAUCAACUCUUUACCUCUAGACCGAAGGUGUGACACCCAGACCCAAUUAGGGCUUAGAACACAUAUCGAAUCUGAGUGAAACUAAAUGCCUGUAAAUCCAAAUCUCCAAAAUAUCAAAAAGUCAUCUACUUUCUCUUUUCAUGUAUUUCACAAAAUUUUGAAAAAUUCAUUCUCAAUCAUAAACUAUGCACAGCUAAUUAUUCAGCAUAUCAGUAUAGAGCAAUACUUCCUCAUAAGCAAAUAAAUCUUACAAUCCUUCUUACAUGAUUUGAAAAAAAUACUAAUAGAAGUCUUCUAGAUACAAACAUAAACAGAAUUCAACUGUUUAAAACUAUGCCAAAACACAAGCUUCAAUCAGUAAUACAUACGACUAAUUAUUAAAAACAUCUAGCCAGAAACCUUACGAAAGCUCAAUCCUUCCGAAGCAUUCUUCAAAUUAAUAAUUGCUACCAUCUGUAAAAAAUAAUUGGUAAGGAGUCAACUGUGAACUCAAUCAGUAGAAACAUUCGUAACGAACAAAAAGAAUUCUUUGUGCAAUAUUUUCAGAAAAUUCAUUUAACCUUUCAAAUGAAACAAAGUAAUUUUUCUAACGCAGUCAGGAUUUAUAUAAAACACAAACGUUUCAGACAGAAGCUAUGUGGAACGUAAAUUUUGCUUCUUUAAACAGAAAGUUAUAUAUUAGUUUGAUUUUAAAGGGAGGUUAUUGGGAAGUUAAAAUUGGCAGUUGUGGGAAAAGGGUAAUAGCAGUUAUAAAAUCUCUUUUAAAGCAAAUUCAAAUCAAGUUUCAAAUUUUAGGAGUACUUAAUUCAAUAAAAUAAGGAAUAAAUAAAGCUUUCAUUGAAACAAAACUAAGUAAAUUCAUUUAAAGCAAAAAAGGAUGGGAACAUUACAUAAGGGUUCUUAUGUUUACCCGCAGUCAGACAUCUGGGAUCUUGUUAUUUGGAGACAGGACUUGAUUGUGCCAUGUUUUCCGCAGCUAGACAUCUGUGGAUAAGAGAACCCUAAGCCUAUUGAGAAUAAAUUCCGUAAUCCAAGACUCUUCAGUUCUUUAAUUUUUGGCUAAUUAGUUAUAAAAUUUGUGAAUUUCAUGCUCCAUGCCCCUUGCAAAAUGUAUUUUAUAUCCUUAAGUUGCCAGUUGUUGAACUGAAAUAAUAAAAAAUGGAAAACAGACUUAAUGCCGAUAGCAUUUCUUAAGAAAAACUUGGGAUGUUUAUAAUUUUCUUAGAGCAUUUGCUGAACUUUCUGUGAUCGCAGUCGAGACAGGUCACCUCUACUUCCCUCAUUGCUCAGAAGUGGUUGUUGAGUUUAUUGAUUGCUAUCAUUGCUCAGAAGUGGUUGAUGAGUUUUUGUAUUGUGAUUGGUCCGAUGCUUCCCUCCUAGAAAAGGGUACUCCUGAAGAGCAGAUACUCAGAAGGGCAUACUUCAUGAAACUUAAAGAAGACAUGCAGGAGGCACUCUGCAAGGACGUGGCUUAUCACCGUCAUUCAGGGCUGCCAUCAUCCUGGUCGGCAUUUUACAAGUACUUGGUGGCUGAGAGCAAUCGUUCAGGUAUGUCGAUUGGUAUAUUUGGCACCUGGGAAACUAAAAGAAUUUAGUGAGCUCGAUUGGUAUUUGUAGUUCUUUUUCCUCUAGUGAUCUGGCAUGUAUCAAUUAGUUAAAUUAUUGUAUUUUCUCAUGUCCAGUGGGACACGCAAACGUUAGUAUGGAUCAAAAACUCAUUUCAUAUAAUAUUUUUUUGUAAAAUUAUAUAAUUUACAGGCUAUGCUCAAAAAAUUAGAGAAAAAGAAUUGUAUUACAAUUGGUAUGAGGCAUGCAUGUGUAUAUCAAUAUCAGCUGCUGAACAAACUUUGCCUUUUAAUUUUGUAGGCAUUACUAUCUCAAAUUUUCUAUUAUCAUAAAUGAGUUUUUUUUUUCUUUUUUUUAAGAAAAUCAUAAAUGAGAUUAAGAUAAUCUUUUUUUUAAAAAAAAAAAAAAGAAAACUGGAGAUUUUUUUUUCCUUAAAAAAAUGAAGAAAAGUUUAGAAAGUAUUGAGAGAUGGAGAAAUAAAGCAAUUAUAUUCAUAAAUAUAAUGUGUUUGGUGCAGUAACAGAAACUAAUAAAUUAUAAUUUAUGAGAUUAGUUUACAGACUCUUACAUAUGAAAUUAUAUCCCCUAAUUAAAAAUCUUCACACCUCUUUUUGCUUCUCAUUUAGAUGCCCUUUCUAGAACUUCUCCAACGGUAAACACAUUUUUAUUAAACAAAACAGAAAAAAUUAUAUAUAAUUGUUCAUAAGGACCAUUUCUUUUGUACAUAAUACAUAAUUGGCCAUUAAAGUUAUUUGAGAAGAAAAUUUACAUGAGAUGGGUACAUCACAUUAUCAGUAUUUUUGUCUAAUUUUGAACAUACGUUCCUUGUACGAAUUUUCCUAGAAUGGUCUCUCAUAAAUUUUUCUCCAAUUUGAGAGAUAGUGGGAAUUGGGUUAAAGUGCAUUUACAUAGAAUUAAUUUAAAAUAAAAUUUAUUUUUUAACUAUUUUAACUAAAAGUAGCACUACAAGAAAAAAGGCCUACAAUGACAGUCCCUUGUGUGACAGUUUUUUAUCUGGAGACCUACAAUGAUGGAUUUGUGUUAAAUUUUAUUUUUAUCAUGCAAUUAUGACAUAAUUGUGAUAUAAAUUUCGUCUAUCAAAAACUUAGGAUAGACUCAUGAUAGAUUUUUUAACUAUCAAGAAUUUAUGACUCAUAUUUAAUUUUGACUUCAGUUAUUCGGGUUUGACUGUAUUUUUUAAAAUUAUUUUAUUACAAAAAAUUACUAUUAAAAGGAAACGCAGUCGUUUCUUUUGCAAGCAAAACGACAACGUCUUUUUGGCAAGCAAAACGACAACGUCUCUUUGUCGAAUAUAAACUUGAUAAUUCUGAAUAAAAGUUGUGACUUUUGGGGGAAAAAAAACAUAAAAUGCAGAGUUUUAAAGAGAUAACUCAUUUUAAGUGUGAGAAAUUCACUCUCACACUCAAAACACACAAAAGACUUCGACAAAUUAAGAGAAAAUGAAGAAACCCACGACAAACCCACAACAAACCAUAAUCAUUCGAAGUCAUUCUCAUUGCCUACCAUUCUCGCCGCUAUUUUCGAUGUCGUUCGUCUGCCAUUCUCACUCAUUCGUCGUUCGAGCUCUGCCGAAACCUGCUUUUGUCAAAGAUUUCACCCUUUCGUUUGAACGCAAUUUCUACUCUGUGCUAGAGAUAUUUGAAGUCCCAGCUUCUGCCAUUGUCAUUGCUUCUGCUUCGGAUUUGUUGAUAAACCCUAACAAUUUCUAUUGUACCUAUCUAUUUCGCCAGCAAAGCCCUAACUGAAGAACUGAUUUCUUUGCACUGUGAAAUCAUCAGUUCAUUGGUAUGAAAUUCAUCAUUACCUUUAAUUUUUGUUUAUUUUUGUUGAUUUUCUGUGUUUGUAUGUUUGUAUAAAAAUGAGACUUCGAAAAAUAUUUUCAAUUUAGGAGCAUUUGUUGGGGACUUGACUUUUGAGGAAGAUACGAGUAAAUAUGUGGAAGUAUUUGUUUAAUUACUUUGAGGUCUGAUCUCUAUUGGACAUUUAGAAUAAAGAUCAAGAAAUUUAUGCCAUUUUUAAGAAAGAGUUGAUUCUUGAUAAACCAGAUUCUUGUUCUUUUUAGAAGGUUAUUUUGUGAAUUCAAUUUGUUUUUAAUUGAAUCUGUUGUUGUUUUUGGUAGCGAUGAUAUAUGGUUUGAAGAACUUAAGGAAGAGCUUGAAGAAUGCAAGAACCAUGAAGUAAGCAGAAGCUUUAAUAUUUGUUCUUUUUAUGCUAAUAUGUAGCCAAUCUUUUAGUGAUUAUAUGUUUAGUUGUUAGUUUAACCACUCAGGCAUGGUGCUACUUUUAACAUUGAUUCAUUCUUUGGGAAAUAAUCAGUUGAGAGAUUGACAUAAAGUACAAGCUUAAGAAUUCAAUUGUUGUUGUUGAUCGGUGCAUUCUUUGAACUGAAAAUUUGAAAACUUGUAAGUGAUUAGGUAGCUGUUUGUUGGAUGUUGAUUAGACCUGUAAGUGUAUAAUACUUCUUGAGCUUACAUUAAUGCAAGUUAUUCAGAUUUCUGGGUUUAGAAAUUAACUUGUUAAAUGGUUGAUGCACAAAUCAGAUGAUUACAUUAUCCAGUUCAAUUUUUUUUUUUUUUGAUAAUACAUUUAUCCAUCAAAUAGAAAGGAAUGAAAAGUGAGUUUAGAGAGUACCACUUGUCAUUGUCUUGUAGUUUGAUGUAGAAUGUGCAUAAGCUAACUGUAACAUCCCAUAUUCCUUUAACUGUGAUUUUAUUAACUCUUAAGUUUAAGCCCAAUAUUAUAUAUUUAGCCAUUUUUAAAAGCCUAUUUUCUCUAUUACUUAACUAAAUAGCUUAAACAAUAUAUUUGCUUGUCAUUCUCAUGUGUAAGAAAUGGAGGCAAAAGACAUUGCCAUUAUCCACCAUUUGAGAAAAAGAAACAGAACCUGAUACAAAGUUUAAAAACUUUUCUGAUUUCACCAAUUGAGCUUCAAUUUCUUUAGUUUCAGUGUCAAUUUGAAACAUAUCUUGCCAAGGCUUUAGAACCAUUCUUGCAUGUUAAAUUAUCCAAGCUUGGCAGCCUCAAAUCCAUCAAAAUUAUAAGUCUACCUUAAAUUGCUUUAUAUGUAUGUUAAUUUACUCUCCUUUCUAUAGUUGGUGUAAGUUUGAAGCCAUUGUGAGCUAUUCUUAUGCUAUCUCAGAACUCUUGACUCACCAUUGUAGUCCAACCACUGAUUUUUCUCCUUUUAUGAUUUAGGGAGAGUAGAACUGGUGUGGGGGAUAAAAAUCUUGUUGUUUUGAGUAGUCUUUUUGGCAGAAGACAAUGGGCUUCCUUUUGUUUUUAGGUAAAACCCCUCGAUUUCUCAAUAACUUCUUAUGACUUUGUUUAAUGGUAGUGUGAUUGAUUAUUAUUUCUUUGAUCUUUUAUGUUUUGAGUAGUCUUUUUGUCAAUUCCAAGGUUGAGGUUAAUACUUGAGAAGGUGGCAGAAAGCUUUAACAGGCUACAAAGUUAAAGCUUGUGAUUUAGGUAGGUAACUUUGGGCAACUAAUGUUCUGGUUUUGUAGUUCACUUACAUAGUGCAUAGAUACUUUUUUACAAUUCAAUUGAAAGACAACAUAUUCUAAUGAUGAAUUAGAUGAAGUUCGUAUUGAGUGGGCAAACCAUGUUUCUGAAUUACUUGCUACUAUGUGAGGUAAGCCUUACCUAUUAUGUUGUUAUAGUGAGUUCAUUGAUGAAACAAAUUAAUUUACCAAACUUUUGUUCAUUGAAAACAAACUUUGCUAGCUAUUAUUCUAUUGCUUAGUAUUCUAAUCUAUAUGAGUUGUCACGGACUUUGAAUUUGUUAUAUUUUACUUGUGCAGUUACCUAGCUUCUUACACUUGCUAUGUUGGAAUUUGAUGAAGAUGGCGGGUACUGCUGGAGUUCGCUACCUUUUUUAUUUGAUGCAAAAACAGGUCCUGAAUAUUGAGGCAACUUUGCACAUUUAGCUUCUUCUUAUAUUGGUAUUUGUUGUAUGCUUCACCAAAACUGUUAGAAUGGAUUUUCUUAGUCUGAUCAGUGUUGUUGGCUUCAUCUUGUGUUGCUGGAAAUGAACUGUGUUCUUGGCUUUCUUUGUGUUGCUCUAAAUGACUAUGUUGUUGGCUUCCUUUUGUUGCUGGAAAUGAACCGAUCAUGGUACAUUAGUCUUGUACAUGUUGCAGGAAUUUGUUUUUAUGUUGUUACAAUACUCUUCUAUUUAUGUUGGACUUGUCACUUGUAUUUGGAUAAAUUAUGUUUGUUCACAAUUAUCAAUAAUUAGCCAAUGUUAUUUAUUUUGUUUUCUUUGUCAAUGAAUUUUUAAUUGCAAUUAAUUUUAAUAAUCUAAUUAAUUAGCUAAAUUAUGAAAUAUUAAUUUCUAAAUCAAUUGUAGGAUUUUUAUUAAAAUGAUAAUAAUUUCAUGGUACAAACAAAAUAGUUAUUUUUAUUAAUUAUAAUUUCAAAUUUCCAAUUAAUUGAAAAAAAUCAAUUAAUUAUAAUUUCCAUUUUCACUGCAAAUUGAACAUUUCCUGCCAAAAUUUAAAAAAUAGCGUGCGAAAUUCAAAAAAGGCAACCCAAAUUCAAAAUUAUUAUAUUUCCCUCUAAUUAAAGUUAUGAUGGUUGUGUGACUGACUAUAUUCAUCAUAGGUUAUGAUUGGUAUUAUUCUGUCAUCAAUUCUUGACGCUGGCUAUAAUGACGGUAUGAACAACUGUCAUCCACCCCCUACUAUGACAAUUUUUGCCUGUCAUCGUAGGUACUUUUUCUUGUAGUGUAGCAGUUAUUCUUUUUAUUAGUGUUAUUCCAAUUAUAUCAAAAUCAAGUGACUGGUGAUCAAAUUAAGUAGUUCAUUAAUUUUUUUAAGCGACGUAUGGUAUGGAGUUUUUAUAAAUCUAUUUAAAUAGUAUAAUAUUUAAUUUUGCUUGUCCUAAAAUUUUAGUUUACGUGGGUUAAAAAAGAAAAAAAGAAAAAAGAAAUUGACUUAUUAAUUAAUUAACAAUUAUACAAAGAAUAAAUAGAAAGUUAUAGUUGGCAAUGGCAUUAUUUUUCUCCUUGUUAAGUUUUUCUUUCCCACAUUAUCCCCCUUGAAGCAGCAUAUUGAAGGAAAGGAGCAUUCUUAUAUAUGCUUUAUGAUGUUCUUAAUGUAUUCUAACUCAAAACUCUAUCUAUCCGUGCAGCGUCGCCUUCUGAACUUUGUUGAGAAGGCCCUUGUGGAAGAUGAAAUUCCAAUUCUUGUGGCUGCCUUCCAUUGCCAACUCAACCCGCUCCGCUCUCACCGUGUCCAGAGAGUAGUAAGGUCAAAUCUUGAUGAUGUCUGUCUCCUGAAAGAGCUUCCUGAUGAAGUUUCAUGUGAAAUCAAGUCACUCAGUGUCAAAUCUAGCCAGGAGUGUGAAGCUAAUAUAGCAGAAGUGGAUCCUAUGCAUGCAAAAAAGAGUCAGAAGAAUCCACAAGGCACUGGACUCUGAUGACGUUGAACUGUUGAAGCUUCUUCUGGAUGAAUCUAAUGUCACUUUAGAUGAUGCCUACGCUCUGCACUAUGCUGCUGCCUACUGAAACCCUAAGGUUUUUAAGGAAGUGCUCAAUAUGGGCUUGGCUGAUCUCAAUCUUAAGGAUGCAAGAGGUCAUACGGUGCUUCAUGUGGCUGCAAGGCGUAAGGAGCCAGCAGUGCUGGUGACUCUGCUAAGCAAGGGAGCAUGCGCCUCAGAAACUACAUCAGAUGGGCAAACAGCUGUAGCAAUCUGUCGGAGAAUGACAAGGCGAAAGGAUUAUAUUGAAGCUACAAAGCAGAGGCAGGAAACUAACAAAGACCGGUUAUGCAUUGAUGUCCUUGAGAGAGAAAUGAGAAGGAACUCCAUGUCUUGGAACGUGGCACUGUCACCAGAGGUGAUGGCUGAUGAUUUCCAAAUGAAGCUGAACUAUCUAGAAAAUAGAGGUGAUAUUUCUUUACUGGUAUUAGUUCAUCACCUUCUCAGAGUUUCUGCAUAGCACACUUCUUUCUACCGUUUGUUUGUCCCUUCAUCUUAGCAUCUCCGACAUUGCUGUAAACGGGAUAACCACACAGUCUACACUUGUGCUAUCAUCAAAGAAUUUUUCUUGAACUGUUAUUUUUGUUAUUUGGAAGUGAAUAUUUUCAGCAACUAGAACUCGGAAGCAUCCGGAAUGAUCCAUUUUUUUUUUUUUUUAUGUCAAAACAUGAAGUAAUUAAAGGAGGUCAAACAACAAUAAACUCAUUCAUUUUGUCCAAAAUUGAAAAAGACUACAUAGUAAUCAUAAUUGAAAACAACUAAGCACAAAAACAAAUAACAUCCUUUUUCAAAAUUAUGUUCCCAUGAAUCUUGUCUCCACACAUUAAAGAAGACUAAAUCUAUAAUUAGGUGCUGAUUCACGCCCAAAAUUACCCUUCAACUCCUUAAGCAGAGGCAGCUGCUCCCUUCUUCCUUGGUGCUGCCUGAGUACCUUCUCUGAAGCCGCUCUUGAACCUGCGAGGGACAUGGCGCAGAUACCUCAUCCUGCCGGUUCCAGUGGUCUUUCUUCGGAUUGCCUUCACACUCCAGUUAUACGUUCUCUUGCGAGCAGCGGGGUAAGCACAAGCAGCGCAACGACUCUUCUGAAGAUGGAAGCUGCGACGGCCACAUCGCACACACAAAGUGUGCGUCUUGUUUCUCCUCUUACCAAAACUCCCUGUGCCCUUACCCAUUGAAGCGUAUGCGAAGUAGAGGAAAGCCUUCUGAUGAGUUCCGGAAUGAUCCAUUUUAUCAUUCUCAAUACCUAUAAAAGAAUGUCAUAGAAAACAGUUUCCAAAGCAAGUUGCAUGUGUUUUGAAUUUGUCUUUGGAAGCCACUAAUUGCUUGGAGCACACUGUUAGCCAGUCGUGAUUCCAUCCACUUUCUUGGAUGGACAAUUGUGCAUCCAUAUGAUCUAGGCAUGUUGGUUUGGACUGAACUAGUUUUAAUAAAUAAUUGCCUUCAGGAUUUAGUCUGUGUGUUACAGUCCAGUCUUUGUUGUGAAUAGUUCUUUUUUCCCCCUCCCGAGGAAAGAAUUGAGAUAAAAAAUAAUUUAUUCCUGCCACGGAUGAGUGCCAUAACAGCUUCUUAAUGCUUUGCGGUGGCUUUUGCGCGGUUGUUGUUGCCUUCUGAAGCUAGAGUAGCUAUGGCUAUAGCAGAUGCAGAUGCCACCAAUUUUUAUGAUGGCCUUUCAGCAUCAAAAUCAAAAGGAUCAAUUGGGAACUUAAAGGAGGUUGAUUUGAAUGAAACACCCUCCAUGCAAGCCAAGAGACUCCAAUUAAGACUGCAAGCUUUGCUUAAAACAGGUAUUUAUAUACCUUAUUAGUUUUUGUAUGUUUAUAAUUACUGAUUUUUAUAUCAAAAGAGAGAGGUUAAUUUUUAGUACAUUGAUAUCUCAACAAAAUGGUAGAUCCUUUAUACCACUAAAGACAUUUUCUUAGUGCACUUACCGAGCUUUCUAUGAUUGCAGUUGAGACGGGCCGACGCUACUUCCCUCAUUGCUCAGAAGUGGUUGAUAAGUUUUUGGACUGUGAUUGGUCUGAUGCUUCCCUCCUAGAAAAUGGUGCUCCUGAAGAGCAGAGACUCAAAAGGGCACGCUUCAUGGAACUUAAAGAAGACGUACAGAAGGCAUUUUACAAGGACGUGGCUGAGAAAAAUCGUUUAGGUUUGUCGUCAUCCUCGUCGUCGUCAUCUUCUCCAAAGGAAGGAGUAAAGUGUAAGGGUAGGAAAAGGUGAUGCUUAGUUACUUGUCUUUUGUUAUUCAUUGCUAGGAGACUAAGAGAGUUUUACUGAGUUUGAUUGUUACUUGUAGAGAGAUACUCUUAGAGCCCAUGUUAUGGCUAUGUUGUAUAAUAGCAGAGGAACUUCAAGCUUGCAUUGUUGUAUUUUCCCACGUAUUUGGCAUGUAAUAUACUAAAUGACAAAGAAUUUUCUAAUUUUAGAGGGAAAAAAUAUGUCAGUUAAUUAUUUUUUUAUUUUAUCUGUUUAAUUCAGUUUAUAAUAUAGCUUUUUUUUAUAUAAAAAAAAAUCUCCAUAUCUUCAUCUGCAAACUCAGUCAUGUGCAACUUCUUUCAGGGAGAAAAGAGGGGGAAAAAAAAAGGGCAUUUGUACCUGUAUUUUACGGUACUGACCCUCAUACAGAAAUUGGUUAAGAUGACAUUAAUGCUCUUCGAAAUAAAUAGAUAUGCAGAAUUUUCAUCGAAAUUGAAAUUAGAAAUGGAUGGAUACGAAUGAUAUAUAUGCAGAACUUUUUAACAGAAUUUUUAUGCAAAAAUUUGUAGCUAAUUACUCCCCCGAAGAAAAAUAAAUUUUCAAUUGUAGAUAUUAAAUUUUAAAUUUAUAAUAUAAUAAAUGUGACUUAAGUUGCACAGCACCCAUAUAAUAAUAAUAAUUAAGAAAAGAAAAUUUAAAUUUUGUAAAUUAUCAAUUUUUUAAAAUUAAUUAUUUUUAUACUCAAAUUCUCAUGCUCGACGGCCGCUGGAAUUGGCUAUUGUAAUUUUGUCAUCCUCAUUAUUCACUAGCCAUUUUUGGACCACGACAUAAUAGAAAUAGCAUAGAUUAUACUAAUAAAUUUCCUUUAAUUAUUUUGUAGUGUGAUGAUCUAGUGAGUACCAGUGUCCAUCAUAGCACCUGAACAUGUAAAUUUCUGAUAUUUUCUGUAAAAUAGUACUUAAAUUGUGUAUUAACUAGACAGUUCUAUGUAGACCACAACUCAUUAAAUCAUUACUUUACUUUGUAUAUAUUUAUGACAAUUGAUGAAGAAAAAUAUAAAGUGAGAUUAAUGAACAUUCAUGAAUGUGGGAAAUUAACACAACUAGGAUUUAUGAUGAAAUAAUUUUAUUUCAAAUGAGUUUAAGUGAAUGGAUGUUAAAAAAACUUAUAGUAUAUAUUUUUUGAAUUGUUAUAUAUACAAGUUUGUCACUAACAGUAAAUUAAAUUAAGAAUAUUUUAAUAAUUCAAAAUCUCAUUCAACCAUCCCUGUUUAUAGUUUUAUUCGGAGUACAAAAUUGUAAACAGCCUCACCCUUAAUAGUAUAAUGCUAAACACUUUUAAAAAUUUAUUCUAUUAUAGUCGUCUUAGUCAGUUAUAUUUAUUUCCAAAUUGAAGAUAGAAAUAGUACUUUAUAUAUCGUACAUUACUUAAAGAAUUUUUUUAAAAAUCAAAUUAUGAGCUAGUGAAAGGAUGCAAUAAAUCACGUCUAAAAUUGUAAAAUUCAUCAAUCACCGAAUAAAUUAAAUAUCAUGUCUCAUGGGCUUAAAAGAUAGGCUUUUGAAUGAUAUAUCGUACUCAAAAAUCUAUUUUUAAUUAAUUAUUAUACGAACGUUUAAAUGUGUCUCUAAGCUAUAUUAUAUAGUUGCUAAUUACUAUUAAGCUUACACUUCUUCCUUCUAAAAAAAGCAUCUUUUGGCUUCUCAGAUCGCGAUUCAAGCUUCAGUUAUAAGCAUUUCGUUUCGAUUGAUAUUGUUGAUGCGAGAUUCUGGCUCUCUGCUCGACCACGACCAGGAUCUCUCCUCAACUAAACGGACCACGACCAGGGUCUUUCCUCGUAACACUUCUUCUCCACAAACUCCUGUGUACACAGAAACAAGUCAGAGCACGCCGGGUGUUUUUCCGGCGUAAACCCUCCGACGCUCAAGUCAGGAAUGUAGGCUUUGCCUUUCUGGGAAAAACGGCCACUAAUCUUAUGGCUCUUUUCUUAGAUCUAUCAAUCGAAAAUUCUCUUUCUCUCCUUUUUUUUCUCAAAAAGUCUAACCCUUUUACCUUCGUUGGCUACCUUUUUAUAGGCUUCUCCUGAGUUCAGACCUUCCCUCAAUUCACGCCCGUUACCUUCCCACCUCUCGGAAGUGGAUGCAUCGUUUCUGUAAUCGUGGGUGGUUGCAUGGCCUUCGUGCCUUGAUUCUCGGGUUGGAGAGCACGUCUCGCCAACUGUCGUUGACCGGGUCUCCUCGCCUCAACCCUUAGCAGGAAUGGCUUUACGCUUCUAAUAGGAGACCGGCCUCGCAGAUGGUGUAUUCACGGACGAGCAGUAUAUUCCUGCUCCUGUUCCCCUACUACCAGACUUCUACAAAAUAUACCUGUUCGUGGAACCCUGCUACCAAAUAUCUGCUCAUCAUGGCUGGUCUUGUCAAAGUACAUCCCCCAAACACCGAUCCCCCAGUUUCUGGUGUUGGGUAACAUAGUGAGCCGACAGUAGAAACUCGACAGUUCUGGCUCGCGCGGGAUAGGAAAAGACUGCCAAGAGUCGUGUCGCAUUUAAUUGCGGAUGAGGUGAUGUGGCAGAAAUCUACCCCUCUAUUUGAAUUUCAAACCGAUGGUUACGAAACUCUUGGGAUUUGUGCCGUUAAAUGCUGGCAGCCCAAGAGUUUGUUCCUCAUUAGGAAAACCCAAAACCCCCAAAAGAGAAACUUGUCAUUUACUCUGUUUCUGUCUCUCCGGCGAACGAGUCCUUCCUCUCCCUCGGCGUAAAAGCUUCCAUCCUUGUCUCUCUCCGACUAAGUCACAACUUCAGGUAUUAUUUCUAUUUCCUCGGUCUUGGAUAGUUGUAGACAAUUUCCUUUCUCUCUGUUUUGUUUGGGUAGUGCUUGGUGAUGCUGCUCUGGUUAUAGUUUAAGGAAUGUCAAAAGGUAAAGAGAAAGUCGUUGAGAUUGAUGACGACGAACUAGACUUCUUGCCUAGUCUGCUCGCCGAUUCUGCCUUUGACCCCGGGAUCCCCUUAGAACCCAUUAGAUCUAGUGUUGGGGCUAGUGCUAGGAAGAUGUCCCCCCCAAUAACCUCCUCAAGCGGCAAUAGCGGCGACGAGGGGUCUUCUGGUUCGGAAGACACUCUGAGUAAGGAUCAGGGAGAUGAUUAUGGUGGAAUGUCCUCACCAGGAAUAUCGCGACCACAUAGGAGGGUCACAGUAGGAGGUAGAGCUUUAUCAAAGCAUUACGCUAUUGAUUUCAUCACGUGCACGACCACAGUAGAGGAGCUCACUAACCUCCGGGUUAGGUAUGAAAUUCCUGAUGAUAUUCCUCUUAGGAUCCCAGGAAAGAAGGAUACUCCUAGUCGGCCUCAUAGGGGAUAUGUUACUCUAUUUUUGGAGAGUUUUAAACUUGGGUUGAGGUACCCCCUGCAACCCUAUUUUGCCCGAAUACUUAAUGGGUUAAAUUUAGCUCCUGGUCAGCUGAACCCCAACGGGUGGAGAGUACUCUCUGGUCUGUUCAUAUUGUGGGAUAGAUGUUGCCAAAGCGAGCCCACAGUUGAUGAGGUGAAGCACCUGUAUCAGCUAAAGAGCUGCCCCAAAGACGCCGGCUGGUAUUACUUCCAAUCAAGUACCAAGACCAGGAAACCCAUAAUUGAUCUUCCAACUGGUGGUGGUGGGAAUUGGAAGAAAAAUUUCUUUUUUGCUGGGGGUCCCUGGGGUCAAGUUGCACAGAUUGAUGGGAAGGAUUAUCGCGUCCCACCCCGUUUCGUGGUCCCAGGUUGCCUGCUCGCUUUAGAUGUCUUGUCUCCAUAGUUGUUCUCACUUUGUUGAUUUGUCUCUAACCCAAUAUUUGUUCGCAUUGCAGGUUCUUGGGGUGUGCAUUACCCUCUUAAACCUGAGCAGCUCAAGCGGGUCGAGGCUGUACUGGCCAAUUCCUGUUCGAACCGAGAGCUGCUAACUACUUACAACUUGGUCGAAUCUCGUUUGGUGUCCACCGGCUAUAAGAUGUAGGAUGCUGUGAUCGGGGCUUUGAAUCGGAAACGUCCUCGACCUCAUGCUGCCAAGCAGGACCAGAAUAAAGAUGCUCCUUUUGCGAAGCGGGUGAACAUUGUUCAGUAGGUUCCCCCCCUGGAGACUCUACCUCCUCCUCCUGCCAAAGCUGGAGAAACUAGUGGAGCAGCCACUUCUUCUCCCCCAGCUGGGUCGAAACCCCGUUUGCCCGACAAUCGAGCGGAGCAUCUGGCCCCCUACAUCAGUGAGUUUUCUAAGCUCAUGAGCAAGAGAGACUUGGAGGAUUUUGACGGCAGCACUCCGGGUGAGCUGGUGGGGGCUAUGCAGUAUAAUGCUUUCCACCUCGGCUGCAUGUCCACCUACUAUAAGGCGAAGGUCGGCCGCUAUGAACAGAAGAUGAAAGAGGACAUUCAAUCGGCAAAAACCAAAGCAGGAGACCUAAAUCUCGAGAAUCUAAAGUUGAUAGAGUGAGAAUCUCUCGCUCAAGCCAAGGCCAUCACUCUUGAGGAAGAGCUGACUAAGGUCAAGGAGGAUCUGCAGGGGCAGAAGGCCACCUAUGAGGCUCAGCUCGAAUCCCUCAAGGACUCUCACCAGGCUCAGGUCGAGAACCUAGAGAAGGAAGCUGACAACCAAUAUGACCAGGGUCUGCGGCAUUCUUAUCGCUGCAUCAUAGCUGUUUUAGGGAAGCAGCAUCCUGAUCUGAAGAUGGAUGACCUUACUGCUGGUGUUGCUCAACACAUGGACGAGGAGGCAGCAAAAGAGGAUGUCGAAGAGGUGGAGCCAAAUGCGGUUGAGGAGGGAAAUUAUCCUCCUCAUUCAGUCCUUGCUGAUGUUGCUGAGGCGAGUACCCCCCGGAUGCAACUAGUGGUACCCCCCUCCAUUUGAGGUGGACCAGCCAACCGAGAAUGCUCGGCUUACUGACCCGCCGUCCUCUUGAAUGUAUCUUGUGUUGUAGCUGUUUUUUUUUUUUUUUUGGAACACUGUAUGUUAUGAGUAGCAGCUUUUCAUGAUUAUUGAUAAAUUAAUAAGAAUGUUCUUAUUUGCUUUCUCGUGCUGUAGUUGCAAAUUAUUUUACGUUUGAGGGUCUACUCGCCUUCACCGGGUCAAGCAAAUCCUGGCACGCUUGGCUUCUGGUGUCGCCAUAAGACAGGCUUUGAGACUUGGUGAGCCUUUGCAUACCUUAGAAAUUUUUAUAACGCUUGGGAGUCUGCUUGCCUUCGCUUGGUCGAGCAGAUCCCGGCACGCUUGGCUUCUGGUCUCGCCAUAAGACAUGCUUUGAGACUUGGUGAGCCUUUGCAUGCCUUAGAAACUUUUUUAUCGCGUCUGGGAGUUUGCUCGCCUUCGCUUGGUCGAGCAGAUCCUGGCACGCUUGGCUUCUGGUCUCGCCAUAAGACAGGCUUUGAGACUUAGCCUUUGCAUGCCUUAGAAACUUUAUAACAUUACACUGACUGAAAUUCAUCAUGGUUUCAUUGAUUAUUGAAUUCGGCUUACACGAGGUUGAUUUAACAUAAAACGAAUAACAACAAAAGCGAACAGAAAUAACUUUAAAUCAGGAACGAGUCUUACUGGAAUUUCCUGAGGUGUGCUGCGUUCCAGGGGCGUUUCACCUCGUGACCAUCCGCACGAACAAGCUUGUAGGCUCCGGGUCCAGCUACCUGCUUGACCCUGUAUGGCCCCUCCCAGUUUGGUCCAAGUACUCCUUGAGUCGAGUCUUUCGUGUUCUGAUUCACCCUCCUUAAAACCCAAUCUCCGACCUUGAACUGCCGUACAUUCACCUUCUGGUUGUAAUAUCGGGCAACCCUCUGCUGGUAGAUGGCUGAUCGUUUCGAUGCUUGCUCCCUCUUCUCGGUUAGCAAAUCCAGAUUCAAGCACAUCUGGUCGUUGUUCUCCUGCUCAUCGAAGUGAUCUGUCCGGUGCGUGCUCGUCCCUAUCUCAACUGGUAUAACUGCUUCAUGUCCGAAGGCCAAGGCGAAUGGAGUUUCGCCAGUUGUUGUUUUGUGGGUUGUCCUGUAUGCCCAUAAUACACAUGAUAACUCAUCAACCCAUGUACCCUUUUUUGCUCCAAGCCUGGUUUUCAACAGCCUCUUGAUUAUCUUGUUGGCUGCUUCUACUUGCCCGUUAGACUGAGGAUGAGCAGGCGAGCAAUACUUAAACUCUAUCCUGAGGUUCUGGCAGAAGUCCCUGAAGUUCUGGUUAUCAAACUGCCUGCCAUUAUCUGUUAUCAAAGCAUAAGGGAUCCCGUACCGGCAGACCAGGUUUCUCUAUACGAAGUCAGUUGUCUUUUUCUCUGUGAUCCUGCUAAGGACUUCUACCUCUACCCACUUCGUGAAAUAGUCUAUUGCUACUAUUGCAUGUGUUGCUGCUCCUCGUCCCUUUGGCAAUGGCCCAAUCAAAUCAAUUCCCCAUUGAGCAAAUGGCCAUGGGGAAGCCAUAGAAGUGAGCUUCUCUGGUGGUUGGGUAGAGAAAUUUACAAAACUCUGGCAACUUACGCAGCUCCUGGUCUUCUCAUGCACGUCCUGGUGCAUUGUCGGCCAGAAAUAUCCCUGCCUUAGGACCUUGUGGGCAAGGGAUCUUGCACCAGAAUGGUUUCCGCAAACUCCUUCAUGUACUUCUCUCAGCAUGUAAUCUGCGUCGUCCUCGUCUAAACACCGAAGGAACGGUAAGGUAUAUCCCCUCCGAUAUAAUACCCCAUCAAUCAUUGUAUACCUCGACGCUUGGGCUCUAGUCUUCCGAGCUCGUAACUUAUCUGGUGGCAGUACCCCAUUCCGGAUGUACGAGAUUAUCGGGUCCAUCCACGAGCAUUUCUGCUCUAUCUGUAGCACCUCCAGAUUCUGCUCGAUGUUGGGGCUGGACUUCACCUCCAGAGGGACUGACUUUGGCAUUUUCGGAUCUGCUACCGCUGCCAUCCUGGCCAGAAUAUCUGCUCGACUAUUCUCUUCCCUUGGGAUUUGUAUCACCUCAACCGCUUCAAACUUCCCAAUCAUCUGCUUGACUUUCUUCAGGUACUGCUCUAUCGUCCCAUCUCUUGGUUGAAAUCUUUCACUGACAUGAUUUGCAACCAGCUGAGAAUCAGUUCAGAUUUUCACCCUAUCCGCUUUCACUGCCUUAGCCAAUCCCAAGCCCGCUAUUAAAGCUUCAUAUUCUGCCUAGUUAUUUGUGGUUGUGAACUCUAACUUUACAGCAUCAGAGAUUUCCUCCCCUUCUAGGCCUUCCAAAACAAUCCCUGCUCCAGACCCCUGCUCCCCUGAUGAUCCAUCUACAUACAUCUGCCAUACUCGAGUUUCGUUGUUGGCUGUAGCAGUAUCCAGCUGGUCGAAACAUACUUCGGGCUCUGCGAAUUCUGCCACGAAAUCAGCCAUUGCUUGGGCCUUUAUUGCUGCUCGGGGUUUGUAAUCUAUGUCGAACUCACUCAACUCUAUGGCCCACUUCACGAGCCGACCAGAAGCAUCCGGCUUGUGUAGAGUCUGCCGCAAUGGUUGGUUUGUUAUUACCGAGACGGGGAAUGCCUGAAAGUAUGACCUCAGCUUUCGAGCAGCAACCACAAGGGCGAGUGCCCAUUUCUCCAACGGUGGGUAUCUGGUUUCGGCAUCGAGCAAAGCCUUGCUGGUGUAGUAUAUCGGAUACUGAACCCCUUCUUCCUCUCUUACUAGAACAGAACUUGUGGCAUGAUCCAAUACUGCCACAUACAGGAACAGCACGUCCCCAUCUCGCGGCGUGGACAACAGAGGUGCUUGCUGCAAAUAUUGCUUCAAAUUCUGGAAGGCUUUUUCGCAUUCUGGGGUCCAUUCUGUUUUCUUUCCUCUCCUUAUCACUUGAAAGAAUGGCUGGCACUUAUCUGUUGCCUUGGAUAUGAAUCGGCUCAAUGCUGCCAACCUCCCUGUAAGGCUCUGCGUCUCCUUCAGGUUAUGAGGAGACCCCAUAUGCACGAUCGCCUGAAUCUUCUCAGGAUUCGCCUCGAUCCCCCUAUGACUCACCAUGAAUCCGAGGAAUUUGCCCGACUCGACCCCAAAAGCACACUUCUCCGAGUUGAGCUUCAUCUUAUACUUCCUCAGAAGUCCAAAUGUCUCCUCGAGGUGCUCGACAUGUUCCUUCGGGAUUUUUGACUUGGUUAUCAUGUCGUCCACAUACACCUCCAUUGUUCUCCCAAUCAGCGGCUUAAAGAUUUUGUUCACCAGUCUCUGGUAUGUGGCCCCCGUAUUUUUAAGACCGAACGGCAUUACCCUGUAACAGAACAAACCCUGGUUAGUAAUAAAUGUCGUGCUCUCCUCAUCCUGCUCGAACAUGGGGAUUUGGUUGUAUCCCGAAAAUGCGUCCAUGAAGCUGAGCAGGUCAUGUUCGGCUGUUGAGUCUACAAGCUGGUCGAUCUUGGGUACGGGAAAGCUGUCUUUCGGGCACGCCUUAUUGAGAUCCGUGAAAUCUACACACAUCCUCCAUUUGCCAUUAGCAUUUUUCACUAACACCACGUUCGAUAUCCAUUCAGGAUAGUUAACUUCCCAAAUGAACCAUGCCUUCAAGAGCUUCUCCACCUCGCCAUUUAUAGCCUCAUACCUUUCCUGAUUGAAGUACCUUCUUUUCUGCCUUACUACCCGAGCACCUUUCUUUAUUGCCAGCCUAUGACAUGCGACCUCAGGGUCGAUUCCCGGCAUGUCCUCAUGCGUCCAAGCAAACACAUCUGCAUGAGCUCGUAGGCAUUGCACCAACUCCCGCUUCUGCUCUUCUUUAAGCCUCGACCCGAUUCAGAUCGUUUUUCCUGGAUCAUUUUGUUCCAGGCUUACUGUUUCCAGCUCCUCUACAGGUUCCUGUCUACCAUUCUUGGCUCCCACUCGUGUAUCAAGGGAUGUAAUAUGCAUUGCUUCCCUUGCUGCUGUGGAGUAACAGCUUCGGGCGAUCCUCUGAUCUCCUCGUACCACUCCAACUACCCCAUUCACUCGGUACUUGAGAGCUAGAUAAUUGUUGGAAAGUACCGCUGUGCUCAUACUCAGAAAGGGACGACCUAAGAUCAUCUGGUACGGACCCUCUUCAUCGACCACCACAAAAUCCAGUAUUAUGGUCUUUUCUGUCGGGGAAUUACCAAUUGUGAUGGGCAACUCGACCACGCCUAGGGGAACCAGCUUUCCUCCUCCAAAUCCCUUCAAGGAGGUAUUGGUAUGCUCCAACCUCAAGUCCGUUAUUCCCAUCUCCUCCAGAGUUGACUUGAACAAAACAUCGACCGAGCUUCCCGUGUCUACCAGAACUCGGUCAAACUUCUUGCUAGCAGCGGUGACUUUAAUAACUAAAGCAUCCUCAUGUGGAUAUAGAAUUCCCUCUUCAUCCUCAUUUGUCCACAUGAUUGGAACUUACCUGACUCUUGCUCGCUUAGCUGCUGGGGUGUUGAAAAAUACUUCUUUGCUAGUCAUGGCAUACUUGGCAUAAUUCUUCCUCGACCUGUUGGAAUCUCCUGCCAAUGUUGGGCCCCCAGCAAUCACUCUUAUUAUAGGCUGCUCGUGGUUCAAGUUCCUAUCUCUCUGCUCCCCUUCACCCGGCGAGGGCACCAUCGGGAAAGUCUCAUCAAUAAAUUCGUCCAUGUAUCGAUUUCUCACCAAAUCUUCAACCUAGGUCUUGAGAUCUCUGCAUUCUGUUGCGGUAUGGCUAUGAGUGCCAUAGAACUUGCAAUAGCGUCCCCUAUCCCUCCUGCUGGGUAGCUUUGUUAUUGGGGCAAGGAGGUACAGUAAUCUCUGGUCCUUUAUGGCCUCGUACACCUCAUCCAGCGGCAUCUUUAAGGAAGUAUACCGCCCAUAGUCCUGGUUAUGGUCGAUCAUGUGCACUGCCCUUUCCCCGUUUGUGUUGUUCUGAACUGGAGGAGGUGGCAGCGCUUCCGGCCUGCUUCCUCUACCACCAGGGGGGUGUGGUUGAGGAUGACUAUAUGUCGAGCCAUGCCUUCUCCAAAACUCCCUGGCUGGUGAACGAGGAGGUUGUGCCCUGCUGCGCUGAUACUGUGGUGGCCUCUGAUGAGGCUGGUAGGCGGUGACUCGACCUCCUAUACCACUGCCUGAGGCAUGUUGGUCCCUCCUCUUGAUCGGUCUAUUUCCUGGUAAGGCUCUCUUCUUUUUCAUUCUCAACCCUUCUAGCUGGUCUGUCUUGAUCUGUGCUGCCUUUUCCUCAUCAAUCUCUAUAUCCCUCUUAGCCUGCUCGUAAGCAGCUGCAUACGUUUGAAUAGCUGGGCUCCUCAAAUUGUACCACAGCCUUCCUAUCUUCACUCCUUCUUUCAAUCCCCUUAAUGUCUGAGGAUGGUUGAAGGCUCCCAAGUCGAGGACAGCGCGAUGGAACCUCUUGAUGAAUUCCCGAAGGGUUUCUUCCUCCCCCUACUUCAUGUUUUUCAACUCCAUCAUGUCAUCUUCCGGUGCCAUUGCCACACGAAACUGCUCUGCAAAUUCCUGGCACAUCUGCUCGAAAGAUUUAACGCUUCCUCGAGGAAGUUUUCGGUACCACUCACGUGCUCGUCCCUCUAGAGACAGCGGGAACAUCCUGCAUCUUUGAGCUUGGGAUAAUCCUUGCACCCCAGUUAUGUCGUUAAAGCGCUCUAUGUGCACCAACGGAUCGGUUCAUUCCGAGUACUUGAGGUCUGGGAGGCGAAAAUCCCUUGGAAUGACUGCUCUCAUGAUCUCUGCCGAGAGUGGGGAUUCUCCGUCCAGCAUUAUCCUCCAACCAGGUGCUCUGUUCCUUCCUUGCAUGUCAUCAAUUACCUGCACUAAUCUGCGCACUUCUUCCUCCAGCUGUACUGCAUGAUCAGGGUCACGUGCUGCAACUUGAUCCCGCUCUUGCUCUACAUCAUGUAGGUGUUGCCUGAGCUCUGUUUCCUAUGCAUUCUCCACCUCGUCGUCAUUAUCAAAAAUCUGCCUUCCUGGGGAUUGGUCUUCUCUUCUAUGGACUUCUCCCCGUAGAGAUGAGUUACCUCCCUCACCACCAAAUCUCCUGGUGGUCCGACUUCUCAUCAUAUUAUCGUGCCCUGGUGCCAUUCCGCCACUUCUCACCCUUUCCUCAUGGAUUCCCCUCCGUUCACUCCUCAGCUCAUGUAGGAUGGUGGUCAGGGUCUCCAUCUGCUUUUCCAUCUGUUUCAUCCGGUCAUACAUGAUUUUUUCCCGUGUUUCAUUGGCUAUCUCCCUCAACGUCACGGAUUCGUUAAGCCUCAUAUCACCUCCUUGUGCACUACUUCGUCCUACAUCUAUUGUUUCUUCACUUGCUGUAUUCCUCCUCUUUCUGUCAACAGAGCUUUUUUAUCAGCUCCCCACAGACGGCGCCAAAAUGUUGAUGCGAGAUUCUGGCUCUCUGCUCAACCACGACCAGGAUCUCUCCUCAACUAAACGGACCACGACCAGGGUCUUUCCUCGUAACACUUAUUCUCCACAAACUCCUGCGUACACAGAAACAAGUCAGAGCAUGCCGGGUGUUUUCCCGGCGUAAACCCUCCGACGCUCAAGUCAAGAAUGCAGGCUUUGCCUUUCUGGGAAAAACGUCCACUAAUCUUAUGGCUCUUUUCUUAGAUCUAUCAAUCGAAAAUUCUCUUUCUCUCUUUUUUUUCUCAAAAAGUCUAACCCUUUUACCUUCGUUGGCUACCUUUUUAUAGGCUUCUCCUGAGUUCAGACCUUCCCUCAAUUCACGCCCGUUACCUUCCCACCUCUCGGAAGUGGAUGCUCCGUUUCCGUAAUCGUGGGUGGUUGCAUGGCCUUCAUGCCUUGAUUCUCGGGUUGGAGAGCACGUCUCGCCAACUGUCGUUGACCGAGUCUCCUCGCCUCAACCCUUAGCAGGAAUGGCUUUACGCUUCUAAUAGGAGACCGGCCUCGCGGAUGGUGUAUUCGUGGACGAGCAGUAUAUUCCUGCUCCUGUUCCCCUGCGACCAGACUUCUACAAAAUAUACCUGUUUGUGGAACCAUGCUACCAGAUAUCUGCUCUUCAUGGCUGGUCUUGUCAAAGUACAUCCCCCAAACAGAUAUUAUUCUUUCUUGAUAGUAUCAUGGAAACUGCAAACGAAAAGUCAGCAUCUUUGAGUUUUCUUUCAUCAUAUCUGACUUGUUGGUCUACUAAUCAAUCAACAGGCCCUUCUGAUCUUGAUAAUUUGAACUUAAGGAGGGAAAGCAGCAAUCCUGAAGGGCCAUUGCUUGAUGCCGAGAUCAUUGUUGAGGGCAAAUCAGUGGCAGUUAAUCGCAGAAUAUUGUCAAAGUCUGCAAGCAAUCCGUUUUUCCGUCGGCUUUUUAAAUUGAGCAGUGAUGCUUCUGUGAGUGAGGGGAAACCCAAGUAUCUUAUGACUGAUUUGGUGCCUUAUGGGAAGGUUGGAUUUGAAGCUUUCAAUGAUAUCUUGCAUUGUCUUUACACUGGAAAGACAAAGGCAACUCCUCCAGAAAUGUCCACGUGUGUUGAUGAUGCUUGUGCUCAUGAUGCCUGCCCUCCUGCUAUUAAUUAUGUUAUUGAGUUAAUGUAUGCUUCUGCUGCUUUUCAGAUGACACAUCUCGUUUCGGUUUAUGAGGUAGUUGCGCUUCCUCGCUAUUUGUAUUGCUUAAAUUUAUGCUUGUUGGUAUAAUUUUAACAUUUAUAGAAUUGAAAUCAAUUUCAGUUGUGACUUGCAAAGAGCCAAAGAAUCGAAUCUAGUAAAUCCAAAAUUAUUUUGAAAGAGACAAAAAUUAUAUGGCAACUUCGGUGGUUCGCAAUAUUAGGCAUUGUAGUAUAUCCAAAAUUAGCUUGUUAACCUAGCAAAUCAUUAAUGUUGUAGAAUAACAUCUUGUGUAGGUGAGCUUAUGUCUCUGUUCAUUGGUCCACCGGCAUUUAGGUUCGAUAAGCAUGGCACUGAUUUUCCCCCUCAUUAUUAUUUUCAUGCACAAAUUAUCCCCAUUAAGUAUUUGAACUUUGAAUAUAUUAUUCUGAAUCAAAACUCUAUCUGUCCGUGUAGCAUUUUAUAUAUGCUUUUUGAUGUUUGCCAAUAAUUACCCACUAUGGGGUAUUUGAAUUUUGAAUAUAUUACACUGAAUAAAAACUUUGUCUGUCAAUCUUAAAGAUGCAAGAGGACGCACGGUGCUUCAUGUGGCUGCAAGGCGUAAUGAGCGAUCAGUUCUGGUGACUCUGCUGAGCAAGGGAGGAUGCGCAUCAGAAACUACAUCAGAUGGGCAAACAGCUGUAGCAAUCUGUCGGAGAAUGACAAGGUGAAAGGAUUAUAUUCAAGCUACAAAGCAGGGGCAGGAAACUAACAAAGAUUGGUUAUGCAUUGAUGUCCUUGAGAGAGAGAUGAGAAGGAACUCCACGUCUGGGAACUUGGCAAUGCCAGCACAGGUGAUGGAUGAUGUUUUCCAAAUGAAGCUGGACUAUCUGGAAAAUAUAGGUGAUAUUUCUUUACUGGUAUUAGUUCAUCACCUUCUCAGAGUUUGUUCAUAACACACUUCUUUCUACUGUUUGUUUGUCCCUUCAUCUGGAAAAUAGAGGUGAUAUUCUUUUACUAGUAUUAGUAAGUCAUCUUCUCAGAGUUUGUGAGUCCCUUCAUCUUGGCAUCUCAAACACACAUGGGCUUAUUGCUUGGAGGGCACUGUUGGCCAGUCAUGUGAUUUGAUCCCCUUUUUUGGAAUAGACAAUUCUGAAUCCAUCUGAUCUAAGCUUGGUGGUUUCCUCUGAACUGGUUUUUGAUGAAUAAUUGUACAAGACUUUGUAAUAAAAAACUUUUUUUCCCCCAAAAGUAAUGAGGUACCAAAAACUUUAUGCCCAUCCUGGAUGACUGCCAUAACAGCUUCUUAAUAUUUUGCAGUGGCUUUUGUACGGUUGUUUCCUUCUGAAGCUAGAGUAGCUAUGGAAAUAGUAGGUGCAGAUACCGCCCCUGGCCUUUCAGCAUUAGGUCGGAAAGUACUAAGUGGGAACUUAAAGGAGAUUGAUUUGAAUGAAACGCCCUCUAUGCAAGCCAAGAGACGCCAAUUGAGACUGCUAACUCUGCUUAAAAAAGAUAUUUAUAUGCUUUAUUAACUUUUGCACCUUUCUAUUUACUGAUUAUCUUUAUAAUUAAAUAAUACAUGUAUCCAGGUUUCUCCUUCCAUUUCAUUAGAAGUAAAUUGGAAUCUCUUUAUAGUGCUCUGUUAGGUGUAAUCAGAUGUAUCAAAAGAGAAAGGGUAAUUGUUAGUACAUUGAUAUCUCAACAAAAUGGUAGAACCUUUCUUUAUACCACUAAAGACAUUUGUUGCAGGGAUGCCUGCAUAAUCAGUGUCCUUUAAAACUUUCAAGGAGUUAGCAAUGCCUAACCCUUGAAACACUAAAUCUCACUGGAUCAACUCUUUACCUCUGGACCGAAGGUGUGACACCCAAACCCAAUUAGGGCUUAGAACGCAUAUUGAAUUUGAGAGAAACUAAGUGCUUGUAAAUCCAAGUCUCCAAAAUAUCAAAAGGUUAUCUACUUUCUCUUUUCAUGUAUUUCACAAAAUUUUGAAAAAUUCAUCCUCAAUCAUAAACUAGGCACAGCUAAUUAAUCAGCAUAUCAGUAUACAUCAAUACUUCCUCAUAAGCAAAUAAAUCUUACAAUCCUUCCUACAUGAUUUAAAAAAAAUACUUCUAGAACUCUUCUAGAUACAAACAUAAACAGAAUUCAACUGCUAAAACUUGUUGAAAAUUGAUUAAAAAAAAAAGUGUCAAAAUGGUGGGUGGUUGAGCAACCAUCUUUGAAUUCAAAGAUGGUGGGUGGCUAGCCAUUGAACAAGGAAAAUGGGUAGGUGCCGCCCAUGGAAAGAAGAAAAAAAAUGAAGAAAAGGAAGCCAUAAUUUGGCUAUAAAUAGAGGAGUGCUCCUCCUUAUUUUUGUAUCCCAAAUCCCAGAGAAGCGAUCCAAGUUUUGGUGAGAAAUUGAGAGAGAGAAAUGUUCUUAAGCAUGUAGUUAUAUUGUAGGAGUAUUUGACUCCUCAAUAUAUGUGUUACGGGUUUACUUUGUUAAAGGAUAUUUCUCAGGAUUAUGUAUUUGGGGAUUGGGUGAGAGAAAAUUAUUUCUCAGAGUGUGGUUGUAAUAAUUUUCCACAUAGUGAAUAUUUUUUCUCUGGUUGGCUUUUGACAACGGCAGUGGUUUUUCUCCAGAUUUAGAGUUUUCCACGUAAAUCUUGUGUUGUGUGAUUGGUGUAUUCUCUAUUUAAUUUUUUCUGUUAAUUUGUUGCUUGACAAAUUGCUUAGAGUGAUCUUGGGAGGAAACUCAAUUUCCUAACAAAACUAUGCCAAAACACAAGCUUCAAUCAGUAAUACAUACGACUAAUUAUUAAAAACAUAGAGCCAGAAACCUUACGAAAGCUCAGUCCUUCAGAAGCAUUCUUCGAAUUAAUAAUUGCUACUAUCUGUGAAAAAUAAUUGACACGGGUUCAGCUGUUAACUCAAUCAGUAGAAACAUUCAUAACCAACAAAAAGAAUUCUUUGUGCAAUAUUUUCAGAAAAUUCAUUUAACCUUUCAAAUGAAACAAAGUAAUUUUUCAAACACUGUCAGGAUUUAUAUAAAACAUAAAUGUUUCCGACGGAAGCUUUUUGGAACGUAAAGUUUGCUUCUUUAAACAGAAAGUUAUACAUUAGUUUGAUUUUAAAGGGUGGUUAUUGGGAAGUUAAAAUUGGCUGUUGUGGUAAAAGGGUAAUAGCAGUUAUAAUCUCUUUUAAAACAACUUCAAAUCAAGUUUCAAAUUUUAGGAGUACUUAAUUCAAUAACAUAAAGAAUAAAUAAAGCUUUAAUUGAAACAAAACUAAGUAAAUUCAUUUAAAGCAAAACAGGAUGCGAGCAUUACGUAAGGGUUCUUGACCAUACCAUGUUUACCCGCAGUCGGAUAUCUGGGACUUUGUUAUUUGGAGACAAGACUUGAUUUUGCCAUGUUUUCCGCAGCUAGACAUCUGUGGAUAAGAGAACCCUAAGCCUAUUGAGAAUAAAUUCUGUAAUCUAAGACUCUUCAGUUCUUUCAUUUGUGGCUAAUUAGUUAUAAAAUUUGUGAAUUUCAUGCCCCAUGCCCCUUGCAAAAUGUAUUUUAUAUCCUUAAGAUGCUAGUGGAUGAACUGAAAUAAUAAAAAAUGGAAAACAGACUUGAUGCCGACAGCAUUUCUCAAGAAAAACUUGGGAUGUUUAUAAUUUUCUUAGAGCAUUUGCUGAGCUUUCUGUGAUCGCAGUCGAGACAGGUCAACGCUACUUCCCUCAUUGCUCAGAAGUGGCUUUUAAGUUUAUGGAUAUCAACUCCCCUCAUUGCUCAGAAGUGGUUAAUGAGGUUUUGGAUUGUGAUUGGUCCAAUGCUUCCCUCCUACAAAAGGGUACUCCUGAAGAGCAGAAACUCAAAAGGGCAAGCUUCAUGAAACUUAAAGUAGACACGGGGGAGGCAUUCUGCAAGGACGUGGCUUAUCCCCGUCGUUUAGGGCUGCCAUCAUCCUGGUCGGCAUUUUACAAUUACAUGGCUGAGAGCAAUCGUUCAGGUAUGCCGACAUCCUCGGCAUCGAGCAAUUAAGCAUCACCUUUCCCUAAAAGUUAUUUUUGACACAUGGGAAACUAAAAGAGUUUAGUGAGCUCGAUUGGCAUUUGUAGUUUUUUUUGCCUCAAGUGAUCUGGUAUGUAUCAAUUAGUUUGUGAAAUUAUUGUACUGUAUCAAUUAGUUUGUGAUAUGUACACAUGCAUGGAUCACAAACUCAUUUCAUUGAAUAUUUUUUUUUUUAAUUAUACAAUUUAUAGGCUAUGCUUAAAAAUUAGAAAAAAAGAAUUGUAUUACAGUUGGUAUGAGACAUGCAUGUGUGCAUAUCAGUUGCUGAACAAACUUUGCCUUUUAAUUUUGUAGGCAUUACUUUCUGCAAUUUGAGAGAUAGUGGAUUAGUGGGGAGUGGAUUAAAGUGCAUCUACAUAGAAUUAAUCAAAAUAAAAUUGAUUUUUUAACUAUUUUUACUCAAAGUAGUAGUUAUUCUUUUUAUUAGUGUUAUUCCAAUUAUAUCAAAAUCAGUUGACUGGUGAUCAAAUUAAGUGAUAUAUGGUAUGGAGUUUUUAUAAAUCUAUGUAAAUAGUAAAAUAUUUAAUUUUUCUUGUCGUACAAUUUUAAUUUAUAUGGUUUAAAAAAAGAAAUUGACUUAUUAAUUAAUUAACAAUUAUAGAAAGAAUAAAUAGAAAAUUAUAGUUGUGGGAGAAAACUCUCGCGAAAAGGGCUCUAGAUUGGCUUCGUGCGUUGCCCCUGGCCCUUUCGAGCACGAAUUCGAAUCCAAUGCUUUAUAAUAAAGAUAUAAUAUUAUUAUAAUACUAAUAAUUAACAUUAAAAUAUUAAAAAAUAAGGAAAAAAAAAUCCAAAUUUUUACUGGGGUUUUUAAUUAAAUACCCUUUAAUAAUUUCAAAAUUAUUUAAAUACCCCCUCCCUUUUUGGUUUUCAUGGAUACCCUAACAAAUGUGAGCAAAGUCAGAAAUACCCUUAAUGAAUGCAUCAAACUCACUCAAGGAAUUGUCUUCAUAUUUCUUUCCUCAUUUCUUUCACCCAAAUCUAUUUUUGCUGCCGAUUCUUUCAAAAUCUCUUAGCAUCUCUCAAAAUCUCUCAUAACUUCUUACACAAAUACAAUUAUGUAUUCAUUUCUUUAACACCCACUCUUUCUUUAAAGGUGCAUUGCUUAUUAAACAACCAAAUAAGGUAUGUUAAUGUUGUUGGGUUUUAAAUUUUUAAUUUUUAGGAAAAUUUAGAAAUUUUCCUCACAUUACAAUGUUUUAUUUUCACCAUUUUUUCUUAUACGUAGAAAUAUAUGCAAUGUAGGUUGUUUAAUUAUUUUUUUCAGCAAUAUAACUUAUUUAUGGCGAAAAUGUUUCGAGUCGUGCAUUCUUUUGAUACCGUGUACGUCAUAUAAUUAGUCAUGUAGGUCAUGUAAGUAAUAUAGUCGUGUAAGUCGUGUAGGUCAUGUAAGAAAUAUAGUCGUGUAGGUCGUGUAAGAAAUAUAGUCGUGUAAGUCGUGUAAGUAAUAUAGUUGUGUAGGUCAUGUAAGUCGUGUAGUUAAUUGUAUAUGAAAUUUAAUAUUAUUGUUUUUAUUGUAUCAUCAGAUAUGGUUUUGGUACGUGUGCCUAUUCUCUUCAAUGGUGAAUGGAUUGAGCAAAAUGACGAGUAUAAGUUCAAAGGUUCAAAGGCUAAAGGGAUAAUGAUACCACGAUCGACAACAUAUGCCGAAUUGGUGGAGAAGAUAACUGAAGUUAUUGAUAUAGAUACUUCGGAAUUCGAAAUCACAAUGAAGUUCAAACUUAAGACAUCUGAUCCUAUGCCACUCGUUACAAUUCAAACCAAUGAUAAUGUGGAAUUUUUUUAGAUUCUAAUUUAAUUUCACUUCUUCUUUUUUAAUAAUUUUCGUUGACAUUUUCUGCAUAGCAGCAAAUAUAAAUUCUUAGCACAAAUUAAGUCUUUAAAGAACUAAAUUAAUCUAAUGAGUAAUAGAAAAAUUCGUGUAAUUUUAAAGUUGCAAUUAAACAUAUUACCGCCAUUUAAAAAGUUUUUUUUUUUUUUAUCUUCAAAGUGCUUUCUUCCUCUGGCCAAGCAUACAAGCAUACAUGAGGAAUGUCUGCAUAUAAUUAAUCCAUGAAAUCAAUUAAGAAAAAAAAAUAUCAACCAUAGGAAAUUAAUGUAAUGUUAUACACAUAAGAACACCAUUCGCAGUGAUAAAAUAUUUCCACUCAUAACUAGACAUAUCAUGACUUACCAUGGCUUAUAAUUGGAAAUUAAGAAUCUCUCUAACUAAUGACAUUUCACAAGGUAAAGGUAUAUGCACCAUUCCAAUUUAUUGUGAGCCUAAUUAAACUAAAUGUAAUGUGUAGAUUCUAUUGACAAGAAACAAAAUGUGGAAUUGAAGGUCGUGUAAUUGUGUAAUACAAGAAGAUCGUGUAAUUGUAUAAUACAUGAAGGUCGUAUAAACAUGCAAUACAUGAAGGUCGUGUAAACGUGCAAUACAUGAAGGUCGUAUAAUCGUGCAAUACAUGAAGGUCGUGUAAUCGUGCAAUACAUGAAGGUCGUGUAAUACACAACCUUGAAUCUUACAUAACCUUACACGACCAAAUCUUAUGUUACAUAACAAAAUUAUAAUCAGCACAAUCCAUUAAUUUUUCACAAUUUGCAUGCAGCAAAACAACUAGAAAUUUGUUUUCGAACAUGUUAUGAGAGACCCACAACUAAUUAAUCUAUUUUUUCAAUAUAAAACCCUAACUUUUUGUUUUUUUCCCUUGAAUAUUAACAAGAAAACUAAUUAUACGGAAUUACUUGUCUCAACUAGUGAUAUUCUGACAAUUUUACAGUAAAUGAUCAACUCUCUCCGGCGAUUAUGUAGUGACGAACUAUGCUUCACUUUCUCAGUUGUGGCAGCUUCCCCUUCUCAGGCUUAGUUUGCUCGUGUUGAAGUUCGAUUUACCAUGUAUGGAGAAUGAAUGUUUGUUUCGGUAGAGGUGAUGCUGGUGAGGGAAUUACAGAGGUGAUGUCGGUGAGGGAAUUGCAGUGUUUGUUUGUUUGAGUUUGAUAAUGGAGGGAAUUGCGGUAGAUGAGUGUUUGUUUGCUUCAGUAGAGAAGGGAGAUGUAUUGUCCGUUGAGUUGAAAUGUUUUAAAAUGAGGAUAGCUUAGUAAUUUCCUAUCAGUUUUUAAAGGGUAUCGAUGAAAAUUUUGGCAAAAACAGAUUUUAGGGUAUUGAGAUAAUUUUUGAAGUACGAAGGUGUACCGGGCGCAAUUGGCUCAUUUUUACUGGUAUAUAAUAUAACGCAGGGCCAAAACGAUAGCGAAACAUCAAAUUGUUUUUAUUUCAAUCUUCGCGCAACCUCCGGUGACAUAAUUUUUCUCUGUUUCAGGUACAUACAUACCCAAAACUAAACUUUGCAUGUAUCGUUCUUGUUUUUUUGUUAUUCAUUCACACAUCCUUCUUUUCUUUUCUUUUCUUUUCUUUUUUGCUGUAAGUUUUUAUGAGACGCUCUGUUUCAGUUUAAUAUUAUUGUUUGGGUUCUGUUCUGCUCUGUUCUCUGUUGUAUGUAUAUAUGUAUAUAUUUUUGGCCUCGAAUUGCUUUGAUCACCGGAAUUUUUAUUCAUUUAUCGUGAAUUUUAGAUGACUUGUUUGGCCAUGUAUUCAUUUGAUUGUUACAUUCAGCUGCCAUCUUCAUGGUGGGUUUGUAAGAUAGUCUCUGACUAACAUAUGGCAUUCAUUAUGAAUGAUGGUUUUGUGAGAUACAUCAUACAGACGUUAACUUGUAUUAACAUGUACUUGCUUCAUCUAAAAGAUUAGUGUUUUUCUGGCUUUUUUUUUUUUUUUCCUUUUUGAAAUGCCCUUUUUGCAUUUUAUAGGUGAAAGGAAAAAACAUAAUAUCGCAGCUCUAGAACAAAGGAGCCUAUUCUGGUACCUAUUGUCCAAGGAAGCUUCUGUAUAUUCGGUAGGCACUACCAUGGAAGUGAAAUCUUACCAGAGCCAGGCGGAGUCAUUGCUGAAGGAAUAUAUAUUAGCAGAUCCAUUUGUCCCGUACACUUCAAUUGUUGGUAGCAUUUUUGCUUGCAAGAUGGUAUGUUUUUCAUCGUUACUGCAUGGUGGUAUUUACUAGAAAAUAUUUUGAAUGCAUAGUUUUUAUUUAAUUAGUUAUAAAUUUUUAUACCCACUGCUUUCUAUAAGAACGUGUUCAUUUUCAGGUCUAUAAUCUUGCCCAAUUGAUUAGUGCGGUUCACUUUAAAAGUUAUUCCAGUUUCUCCAACAUACAGCGGGUUGAGUGGAGUAACAGGUGAUUGAAUAUUUUCAUUUAGUUCAAUUGACAUUUCUUUUUCAAUCGGUAAAGUUUAAUCGUUUCUCUUAAAUCGACAACUUAUGCAGGGCCAUAUCAACCGUCCAUGCCAUUUUUAUUACAGCUAUGUCUUUGUAUUUCGUGUUUUGGUCAGAUCUCAGAGUUUGUGCAUAGCACACUUGUUUCUACUGUUUGUUUGUCCCUUCAUAGACAUUUCGACAAACUGUUAUUUUUGUUCUUUGGAAGUGAAUAUUUUCAGCAACUAGAACUCCAAAGCAUCUGGAAUGAUCCAUUUUAUCAUUCUCAAUACCUAUAAAAGAAUGUCAUAGAAAACAGUUUCCAUAGCAAGUUGCAUGUGUUUUGAAUUUGUCUUUGCAAGCCACUAAUUGCUUAGAGCACACUGUUAGUCAGUCGUGAUUCCAUCCACUUUUUUUGAUAGACAAUUGUGCAUCCAUAUGAUCUGGACUAAACUAGUUUUUAAUUAAUAAUUGCCCAGGGUUUUAGUCUCAGUGUUACAGCCCAGUCUUUGUUGUCAAUACUCUUUCCCCCGUUGUGGAUGAGCACCAUUACAGCUUCUUAAUGUUUUGCAGUGGCUUUCGCACGGUUGUUUUUUCCUUCUGAAGCUAGGGUAGCUAUGGAUGUAGCAGAUGCAGAUGCCACCAAUUUUUAUACUGGCCUUUCAGCAUCAAAAUCAAAAGGAUCAAGUGGGAGCUUAAAGGAGGUUGAUUUGAAUGAAACACCCUCUAUGAAAGCCAAGAGACUCCAAUUAAGACUGCAAGCUCUGCUUAAAACAGGUAUUUAUAUACCUUAUUAGUUUUUGUACCUUUACAAUUAGUGAUUUUUGCAUCAAAAGAGAGAGGUUAAUUUUUAGUACAUUGAUAUCUCAACAAAAUGUUAGAACCUUUGGAGCACUACAGACAUUUUCUUAGAGCAUUUACUGAACUUUCUUUGAUUGCAGUGGAGACAGGUCGACGCUACUUCCCUCGUUGCUCAGAAGUGGUUGAUAAAUUUUAGGAUUGUGAUUGGUCCGAUGCUUCCCUCCUAGAAAAGGGUACUCCUGAAAAGCAGAAACUCAAAAGGGCACGCUUCAUGGAACUUAAAGAAGACCUGAAGGAGGCAUUUUACAAUGACAUGGCUGAGAAAAAUCGCUCAGGUUUGUAGUCAUACUCGUCGUCGUCAUCUUCUCCGAAGGAAGGAGUAAAGUGUAAGGGUAGGAAAAGGUGAUGCUUAGCUGCUUGUCUUUGUUAUUCAUUUAUAGGCAACUAAAAGAGUUUUAGUGAGUUGGAUUGUUACUUGUAAGCAGAUACUCUUCGAGCCUAUGUUAUGGCCAUGUUGUAUAAUAGCAGAGGAACUUCAAGCUUGCGUUGUUGUAUUUUCCCCAGUAUUUGGCAUGUAAUGCACUAGAUGACAAAGAAUUUUCUAAUUUUAGAGGGGAAAGUUAUGUCAGUUAAUUAUUUAUUUAUUUAUUUUGUCUGUUUAAUUCAGUUUGCAUUAGGGAUGGCAAAAUAACCUGAACCCGGACGAACCCGGAUAAUCCAGGCCGGGUUGAACCCGUACCGGAAUGUAAAAAAAUUCGGGUCCGGAAUAAAUUUUAAUAACCCGGAUAUAUCCGGGUCCGGGUCCGGGUUUAGGUUAACCCGAACAUUCGGAACCCGGACCCGGAUAUCUAAUUUUAAUAUUAUUUUUUAAUUAAUUUUAUUGAUUAAUUUAGAUGUGUUAUUGCUUGGAAAUGUAUUAAUUUUUUAUUUUUAGAAUUUUAGAAAUUGAUAUUGAUUCAUUGAUCCGGGUUCAAAACCCAGAAUCCGGAAACCCGGAUUUUUCCGGGUUGAACCCGGACCCGGGUGAAAAAAUCCGGGUUAAAAUCCGGGUCCGGGAAAAGAAAAUGGUAUCCGGGUCCGGAUCCGAAAAGGCUAAACCCGGACCCGGAUUUUGCCAUCCCUAGUUUGCAUAGCUUUUUUUUUUUUUUCUUUCCAAAAAAAUCUUCAUUUCUUCAUCUGCAAUUUAAGUCAUUUGUAACUUCUUUUAGGGAGGAGAGAGAGAAAAAAAAGAAAAGAGUAUAUUUUACAGUAGUGAUUUUCCUACGGAAAUUGGUUAAGAUGACAUUAAUGUUCUUUGAGAUGGACGGAUAUGCAGAUUUUUCGUCGAAAUUGAAAUUAGAAAUGGAUGGAUAUGAAUGACAUAUAUGCAGAAUUUUAAUAAAAUUUUUAUACAAAAAUUUGUAGCUCAUUACUCUCUAGAAGGAAAAAAUAAGUUUUUAAUUGUAAAUAUUAAAUAUUAAAUAUUAAAUUUAUAAUAUAAUAAAUGUGUGACUUAAGGUGCACAAUACCCAUAUAAUAAUAAUUAAGAAAAGAAAAAAUCAAAAUUUGCAAAUUACCAAUUUUCUCUUGAAAUUUGAUAUUCUAUAUUAACGUAGGUGUUGCAUGGACUGGGUUAGUACAACUGAAAGAAACAAAAUAUCAUAAAAAUGAGUGUAAGUUUGUAUAUAUAUUUUUUGAAUUGUCAUAUAUAUACAAGUUUGUCACUAACGGUAAAUUUAAUUAUGAAUAUUUUAAUAAUUCAAAAUCUCAUUCAACCAUCGGUGUUUAUAGUGUUUUUCGAAAUACAAAAUUGUAAUUUAUAAACAGUCUCACCCUUAAUAGUACAAUGCUAAAUCUUUUCAAAAAAUUAUUCUAUUAUAGUCGUCUUAGUCAGUUAUAUUUAUUUUCAAAUUGAAGAUAAAAAUCGUACUUCAUAUGUCAAACAUUACUUAAAGACUUUAGGGAUAUGUACGUGAAACUGAAUGAAUCAUCAGUUGCAUAUUACUUAAUGGCAAGUGAAGCUAUUUUAUGUGUAUUGCUUGUCACGGGAUGAGUGUUUUGCGCAGCUAACCCGUGUGGCACUUAGACAACUUUGCCGAAUGUUGCUAAGUAAGCCUUGAGCUUCUCGAACUAGAGAAGAGAGCAAUGGAGCCGAAUAAGAAAACUUGUAUUGCACAAAAGAGAGAUUACAAGAAUGCUUGAGUUGCUUGCUCUAAGCUUGUUGUUGUUGUUUUUUAACAAAUGCCUAAUGACAUCCCAUAUUUAUAGGGGAUGCUUGCCAAGCUCUAGGGAUUCUAGAGAAUUCUACCACUUCCUAGCUAUUUACAUGUGCUGGAAUUGUAAAGAGAAUUCUAGAGUAUUUACAAGCUCAAUGUGCUAGAGUUGCCUAGAACUUUCCGGAAUUUGGGCCAAGCUAGCACUCUUGGCUUUGUCUUGGGCUCUUGGUGGCCAAAUUGGGCUAGCGAAUUGGGUGGUCCACAACAUCCUCCCCCACCUAAGCUCGCGGCGUCCUCGUCGCGCUCUCGUGCUUGAAGCGUUGGAUGUGCUCAGCGAAUUGCCACAAAUCAUCUUCACGUUCCCAUGUGGCCUCGCUCUCGGGGAGGUUUUUCCACUUCACCAAGUACUCGCUAUGCGCUGGUACGCCUCUCCUCGAAACCACAUGAUCCGCAAGGAUGUAGUCCACAUCUUUGUCGAACGCGGUGACAACGGCAGUUGGCGCGCCCCUUGAUUCUCCACGACUUGGAUCUUCCACAUCUCGGUGGUAUGGCUUGAGAAGGCUCACAUGGAAGACCGGAUGGAUCUUGAGUCUUGGCGGAAGUUGAAGUUGAUACGAGACGUUGCCCACACGUCGUACAACUCGGAAGGGUCCCUUGUAGCGCCUCACUAACCCCUUGUGGACUUUCCGCAACGUCUUGAAUUGUUGGGGUAGGAGCUUGAUCAUGACUUGAUCACCUUCUUUGUACUCCACAUGCCGUCUCCUUGUAUCUGCCCAUUUCUUCAUUUUCCUUGCGGCUUUAUCGAGGUAGGCUCGCGUGAUGUCCGCUUCCUCGUGCCAUUCGCGGGCGAGCUUAUGUGCCGCGGGGCUCUUCCCUCCGUAAGUUGAGGCUAUGGCGUUGGGAGUCAUAGGCUGGAAUCCCAUGAUGAUUUCGAACGGACUCUUGCCCGUAGCCUCACUUCGCUGCAAGUUAUAAGAAAAUUGGACGAUGUCAAGUAACUUCGCCCAAUCCCGCUGAUGAGCGUUCACAUAAUGCCUCAAGUACAUCUCGAGGAGACCAUUGAUGCGCUCGGUCUGCCCAUCCGUUUGGGGAUGGAAGCUUGUCGAGAACUUGAGAUCGGUCCCCAACAUCUUGAAGAGCUCCGUCCAAAAACGCCCAGUGAACCGAGGGUCUCGGUCGCUCACAAUGCUCCUUGGAACUCCCCAAAGCUUCACAAUGUGCUUGACGAAUAGGCGGGCUGCCUCGUCCACUUUGCAAUCGACUGGUGCGGCAAUGAAUGUGGCGUACUUGCUGUAUCGGUCGACAACGACCAUGAUGCUUUCGCUACGUUGUGUUUGAAAGUAGCUCGUCGCUACGUUGUCCGUCAUAAUCGUGAAGUGAGAGCCGAGCAAGUAGUGUCGCCACACCCGCAAGCAAUGUAUUAUUGCAGUCAUCUCCUUCUCUUGCACCAUGUAGCGGCGUUCCGUAUCGUUUAGCCUUCGACUCUCGAACGCUAUGGGGUGGCCUUCUUGCAUGAUCACUCCACCUAUGGCGAAAUCCGAGGCAUCCGUUUGAACUUCGAAGGGUUUAGUGUGGUCCGGAAGAGCGAGGACUGGUUCCUCCGAAAUUGCCUUCUUCAAUUCCUCAAAUGCGCAUUGGCACUCUUCGGACCAAUGCUACGUUAUGUUUUUCUUAAGCAAAUCCGUCAAGGGGGCCCCUUUGGCUGAAUAGCUCUUGAUGAAACGGCGGUAGUAAUUCACCAGCCCAAGGAAUGAGCGAAGCUCAGGCACUUUCGAGGGAGGCUCCCAUUCGAGGAUGGCCUUCACUUUAGCAUUCUCCAUCAUGAGCUUCCCGCCCGCAAUCUUGUGGCCAAGGAACUCCACUUCUUGUUGGGAAAACGAGCACUUCUCCAACUUGAGGAAGAGCUCGUUGUCUCGGAGUACUUGGAGGACUUGUCGCAAGUGUUGGGCAUGCUCCUCGAGUGUGGUGCUAUACACCACGAUGUCAUCCAAGUACACGACCACAAAGUGGUCGAGGAAUGGUUGGAGUACCUUGUUCAUGAGCGUGCAAAAUGUGGCGGGUGCAUUAGUAAGGCCAAAAGGCAUCACAAGGAAUUCGAAAGACCCCGUACCUUGUUGUGCACGCCGUCUUCGGUUCGUCUCCCUUGGCGAUGCACACUUGAUAGUACCCAGAGCGCAAGUCAAGUUUAGUGAAGUACCGUGCUUUGCCAAGCUGGUCGAACAAGUCCGCGAUCAAGGGAAUCAGAUACUUGUUUUUUAUGGUGAUCUUGUUGAGCGCCCUAUAGUCGAUGCACAUCCGCAGCGAUCCAUCCUUUUUUCUUUUGGAAGAGGAUCGGUGCGCCAAAUGGGGCCUUUGAGGGGCGAAUGUAGCCUGCAUCCAACAAGUCUUUGAGUUGUCUCCGCAAUUCCUCUAGUUCGGGUGGCGCCAUGCGGUAGGGCGCCAAGGCUGGUGGUUUCACGCCUUAUUCCAACUCAAUUGCAUGAUCGACCUCUCGUCGAGGUGGGAGCUUCUUCGGAAGUUCCGGAGGCAUUACGUCCUUGUACUCAUUGAGGACGGCUUGAAUUCGCGGAGGGACUUGCCUUGGCGAGAUUCCGCUAUUUCCUUCCUCGUUUAGUUCCCGAAUGGAGACCAAGAAGCUUGGGUCCUUCUUGAAAGUCCUUUUGAAUUGCAUAGCGGAGAGUGUCUUCUCCUCGGACUUGCCUCCUUCCGUGGGAACCAUGCAUGCCUUACUCCCGUCGAGGAUGCUUAGGGAGUUCGUAGCGGGCAGCCGGAAGGCAUGGACUUGGUCGAAGAAUUCCAUGCCGAGGACCAUCUUGAAGUCAUCCAUGGGGACGAUGGAGAAGUCAAGCUUUUCGCUCCACGUACUGAGUGUAAUGUGCACACCUUGUGCGAUUCCCGCAAUUGGCUUAGUGGGUGAGUUCACAGCCUUCAUCGUGCCUCCUUCCUUGGUGGCCUUGAGGCCUAAGCGCUUGGCCUCGUCUACGGACACGAAAUUGUGUGUUGCUCCCGUGUCUAGCAGCGUGCGAACGGACUGGCCGUUUAUUUUCGCGCUUACAUACAUGAGCCCUUUCUUGACAAGUGUGGGCUAUUGGCGAUUGAGUGUGCCGAGGCGUUGGAGAGAACCCAUGCUGAGUUGGGGUUCUUCCGUGGACAUUGUGGGGUUGCUCUUAAGCUGGGCUGCGAGAGCAUUAAGCGACCUCUUCUCCGGACAAGUCGCGUACCCAAUGAGGACUGUUGCAUAUGAAGCAUGGGCUUCGCGGCUUUGGCGCCUCGUUCUUGCCCUCCGAUUUUCCUUGCCCGCUCUUGUUGCUAGGCGGCUUUUUCUACCCCCAAUCUUUGCGGUUGUUGCCCUUGUCCUUGCGACUCUCUUCCCCACCUUUGCCUUGGUUGGCCUUUUUGUCCUUGGAUUGGUGAGCGAUUCCGCAACGGCGAUGGCGUCGUCAAGUGUUUGAACACCCCGCCUAUCGAGCUCGGUCUUGGCCUAAUCCUUGAGGCCAUCUUGGAAGUAGAAGAGCGAAUCCUUGUCGGACAUGUCGCUUAUCUCCAACAUAAGGGUAGUGAACUCGUUGAUGUAGUCCUGAAUGCUACUCGUUUUCUUGAGGCGACGUAAGCGCGCUCGCGCUUCCUUCUCCACAUUGCUUGGGGCGAACUGCUUUCGGAGUUCUUGCUUGAAAUCGGCCCAAGUGUCGAUGGUGCAAAUGCCCUUGCCCAUCUCGCCAUGCUUGCGACGCCACCCUAGUUGUGCAGCGCCUCGAAGAUAAGUGGGUGCUGUGCCCACUUUCGAUGCAUCAUCUCGGACACCCAUGGCAUCGAAGUAUUGAUCAAGCCCAAAUAGGAAGUUGUCCACGAUUGUGGCAUUGCGUGUGCCAUCGUAUGUGUCGGGCUUUGGCACGUCAAUGCGGCGCGCAUCACUCGUGCUUGUGGAAGCUGGACUAGCGGAGAGUGUGCACUUGUGCCAUGCCCAAUCCGAGCGGACUUCAUCCACUUCCGCACGGACAGUGCGUAGUUCAUCCUGAACAAAGCUACGAAGUUUAAGCAACUCAUCAUGAAAAGAAUGAAACUCACCUCGAAGAGUGUUCGCUUGCUCUUGGAUGAGGGCUUUCGUUGCCACCGUGAACUCGGCGUAUUCACCCUCGAGACCGUCCACUCGUUCCUCUAAUCCCUCGAGGCUGUCUUGAGCGGCGGACAAUGCGAUUUCGAGAGUAGUCACUCGAGGCUCCAACACAUCCACGGAUGGGGCCUUGGACUUGCCGCGAGUUUUGCCUUGGGCGCGUUCUCCCUCUCGGCCGCGGCUUGGUUCCGGUGGAACAUCCACACCAACAACACCCUCUUGUGCUACGUUCAAAGGGUUGGCCAUUGCUCGUGAGCUAACUUGCGUGCGUGCAAACCUUAGCUCUGAUACCACUUGUCACGGGAUGAGUGUUUUACGCAGCUAACCCGUGCGGCACUUAGACAACUUUGCCGAAUGUUGCUCAGUAAGCCUUGAGCUUCUCGAACUAGAGAAGAGAGCAAUGGAGCCGAAUAAGAAAACUUGUAUUGCACAAAAGAGAGAUUACAAGAAUGCUUGAGUUGCUUGCUCUAAGCUUGUUGUUGUUGUUUUUUUACAAAUGCCUAAUGCCAUCCCAUAUUUAUAGGGGAGGCUUGCCAAGCUCUAGGGAUUCUAGAGAAUUCUACCACUUCCUAGCUAUUUACAUGUGCUGGAAUUGUAAAGAGAAUUCUAGAGUAUUUACAAGCUCAAUGUGCUAGAGUUGCCUAGAACUUUCCGGAAUUGGGCCAAGCUAGCACUCUUGGCUUUGUCUUGGGCUCUUGGUGGGCAAAUUAGGCUAGCGAAUUGGGCGGUCCGCAACAUGCUUCCUAUCAAAAUGUUUAUGUUUGAAUGCUUCUGUGAGUUCUCUGGUAAGGGCUAUACAACUAGCUCUAACAGAUUCCUUCAUGUGCAUUAAUUAGCUUAAUAGCUUAUUGACCUAUAUCCAAUGUCUAUUCUCCUUUUCUGUAGCCGUCUAGCUUUAUGAGUGCGUGAAGUGAACUUUUGUUUUUUGUUUCAGGACUUGGGAUUAGAGUGUAUAACAUUCAAUAUCUUUAUAUCAAACAACUGAUAUAUGUUAAUGUAGUGCGAUCUGGUCUUUAUUAGCUUCUUGAUUUGCGAGGAUGUUUGACAACCAUCUUUGACUGUGUUUGCCAGCGUAUAAGCUACUACAUAUUGUGUCUGAGGAAUCACAACAAAUUAUUAUCAUAAUAUGGUGAUUUUGAAUCCAAAACUUGGUAGUGUCAAGAAAAUAGACCCAUGUUUAUUUAGCUUCACGUUUUGUAUGCGGCUGCAAUAGACUAUUAUAAGUUACUUUUAGUUUUAUCAAGUUCCCCCCCGCCCCCUUAAAUUUCAGUUAUUUCAGCAGUUUCUUUUAACUGAGUUAAUAGUGUUGUUAGGUUAAACUAAGUUUGGCUUCAUAAGCUUCAUAGUAGAGUGUAGAAUUAGGUACAAUUUUGGGUUAGACAAGUCAAAGGUCUUAUCAAGUAAUUGUCCUGCUUACUGAUUUGGUAAUUGCAACAUUGCUAAAUAGUUCAAUUUGUCCUUUUUAUUUUGUUGAAUUUAUUGUAUGUCAUAUUACUUGAUUUAAUUAUUUUCUCAGAUCUUGUAGGUGAAAAUUUGAGCUUCAAAGACCAAAGCUAAUCAUCCAGCAAUUCAGUGAAGAAACCAAGACACACGCGGCGCAUAAAAAUUGUUGUUGAUCUGCUUUAUAUAUUUUGAGCUUUGUGAUUUGUGAAUACAUGGUUUGAUUCCAGUGUUUAAAACUUUGAAAUUCAAUUAAAAGUUGAGCUGUGAAAGAGUGUGUUGUAUAACUUGAGAAGCCAAACAGGAAAUGUGUUUUUUUGUUUUUAAUCUAUCUAUCUAUUUAUUUUUUGUUUGGAAAUGUAACAAUUUAUAGCUGGCAAAGUAAUAGAGUUGUAUACUUACUUGUAUUUAAUUUAUUAUUAUUAUUAUUAUUAUUAUUAUUAUUAUUUUAAUGACUCGGUAAUGUCAUUGUCCGUGGCGUUGUCAUUUCGAAAGUACUUAACCCUUCCACGCUAAGGCACAUCACAGCAGCCGAAAUUUUGAGCUUUCAGUUCUUGAUUUAGCGUGAGGGGUAUCUUUGUCUUUUCAGUAGUCAACAAACGGUCAACAAAACAGUCUACAAGCAAUCAGGGGGGAAAUCGGAUCUUUGAGUUUUCAGUAGUCAACAAAACAGUCAACAUACAGAAUCAGUUUGAAUAUGGUUCUUGAUGGUAUCAUGGAAAAUGCGAACGAAAAGUCAGCAUCUUUGAGUUUUGUCUCAUCAUAUCCGACUUGUUGGUCCACUAAUCAAUCAACAGGCACUUGUGAUCUUGAUAGUUUGAACUUAAGGAGGCAAAGCACCAAUCCUGAAGAGCCGUUCCUUGACGCUGAGAUUGUUGUUGAGGGCAAAUCAGUGGCAGUUAAUCGCAGCAUAUUGUCUGAGCGCAGUCAAUUUUUUCAUCGGCUUUUUAAUUUGAGAAAUGAUGCUUCUGUCGGUGAGGGGAAACCCAAGUAUCUUUUGACUGAUUUGGUGCCUCAUGGGAAGGUUGGAUAUGAAGCUUUCAAUGAUACCUUGUAUUAUCUUUACUUUGGACGGGUUAAGACAUCUCCUCCAGAAGGGUCCACGUGUGUUGAUGAUGCUUGUGCUCAUGAUGCUUGCCCUCCUGCUAUUAAUUAUGCUAUUGAGUUGAUGUAUGCUUCCGCUGCUUUUCAGAUGAAAAACCGCGUUGUUUAUUUUGGGGUAAUUGUGCUUCCCUGCUAUUUGUAUUGCUUAAAUUUAUGCACAUAUAUGGGAUUGAAAUCAAUUUCAGUUGUGAAGCAACUUCGGUGGUUCCCAAUAUUAGGAAUUGUAGUAGAUCCAAAAUUAGCUUAUUAAAAAGUGUAGAUACCGUAGAGCCCAAAACUUCGUCUUAUCUUGCAAGAGUCUGUCGUUAUAUUUUGAAAGAGACAAAAGUGAUGAUGAUGGGCGGCGAACUCUAGGAAUCAAUGCUUGCUGACACUCACUCCCAUGAAUGAUAAAAACUAACCAAAAAGGUAUAGAUUACAUGAGUCUGAAUUUGAUAAGUGCACCUAUCCUAUCACAAAAAGCUUUCGCGUUGAGUUUCUAACCAAUGAAAAUUGUCACUUCUGUCUGUAGCCUUCAUAGAUUUGUUCAAGCCUUCAAGGAUGUCUAGCUGUUACUUACCGUCCAACAAUGGUGCUACAUUUCUAGUGAAUGAUAUGUUAUUCUACAUCUGUAUAUUGCAACUUUGACAAACUUCGCCUUUCCUUUGUUGCCCGAUUAUGAAAUGGUCUAUUGGAGACUAGCAUUGGAAGGUUUCUUCUGGAAAAAAUUUUACUUGACCACCAAUUUUCAUUUGGGUGGGUGUCAGUUCAUGCUCUGGCUUGACUGUUCUGUUAUUUAGGUUGUUUUAUCUGUAUUUUCUCACUCACUUGAUACUGAGUUUUCUCAUGCUUUCAAGCUCAACAGUGAAUGCGAAUACUAGAGAUUCUCUUUUUUCCCGUCCAGGCUACAACCUAGCAAAUUGUUAAUGCUGUAGAAUAACAUCUUUUGUAGGCGAGCUUAUGUCUCUGAACAUUGGUCCAUCGGCAUUUAGGUUCAAUAAGCAUGCCACUGAUUUUCCCCCUCAUUAUUAUUUUCCUGCACAGGUUAUCCCCUUUAAGUAUUUGAAUUUUGAAUAUAUUAUUCUGAAUCAAUACUCUAUCUGUCCGUGUAGCAUUUUAUAUAUGCUUUAUGAUGUUUACCAAUAAUUACCCACUAUGGGGUAUUUGAAUUCUGAAUAUAUUAUUCUGAAUCAAAACUCUAUCUGUCCGUGUAGGAUUUGUUUUGGGACAUGACUGAGGAUGCUCCUGUGGAAGAUGUAAUCCCAAUUCUCGUGGCUGCCUUCCAUUGCCAACUGAACAAGCUUCGUUUUUUCUGCAUCCAGAGAAUUGCAAGGUCAAAUCUUGACAAUGUUUGUCUCGAGAAAGAGCUUCCCGAUGAAGUUUCAAGAGAAAUCAAAUCACUCCGUGUCAAAUCUAACCAGGAGUCUGAAGCUAUUAUAGCAGAAGUGGAUCCCAUGCAUGCAAAAAUAGUCAGUAGAAUCCACAAGGCGCUGGACUCUGAUGACGUUGAACUGUUGAAGCUUCUUCUGGAUGUAUCUAAUGUCACUCUGGAUGAUGCUUACGCUCUGCACUAUGCUGCUGCCUACUGCAACCCUAAGGUUUUUAAGGAAGUGCUCAAUAUGGGCUUGGCUGACCUCAAUCUUAGGGAUGCAAGAGGACGUACGGUGCUUCAUGUGGCUGCAAGGCGUAAUGAGCCAGAAGUGAUGGUGACUCUGCUGAGCAAGGGAGCAUGCGCAUCAGAAACUACAUCAGAUGGGCAAACCGCUGUAGCAAUCUGUCGGAGAAUGACAAGGCGAAAGGAUUAUCUUGAAGCUACAAAGCAGGGGCAGGGAACUAACAAAGACCGGUUAUGCAUUGAUGUCCUUGAGAGAGAGAUGAGAAGGAACUCCAUGUCUGAGAACUUGGCAAUGUCAUCAGAGGUGAUGGAUGAUGAUUUCCAAAGGAAGCUGGACUAUCUGGAAAAUAGAGGUGAUAAUUUCUUUACUGGUAUUAGUUCAUCACCUUCUCAGAGUUUGUGCAUAGCACACUUCUUUCUACUGUUUGUUUGUCCAUUCAUCUGGAAAAUAGAGGUGAUAUUCCUUUGCUGGUAUUAGUAAAUCAUCUUCUCAGAGUUUGUGAGUCCCUUCAUCUUAGGAUCUCAAACACACAUGGGCUCAUUGCUUGGAGCACACUGUUGGCCAGUCGUGUGAUUUGAUCCCUUUUUUGGAAUAGACAACUCUGAAUCCAUCUGAUCUAGGCUUGGCGGUUUGCACUGAACUGGUUUUUGAUGAAUAAUUGCACAAGACUUUGUCAUCAAAACUUUUAUUUUUUGGUUUUUUUGCCCCAAAAGUAAUGAGGUACAAAAAAAAUCUAUGCCUAUCCUGGAUGACUGCCAUAACAGCUUCUUAAUAUUUUGCAGUGGCUUUUGUACGGUUGUUUCCUUCUGAAGCUAGAGUAGCUAUGGAAAUAGCAGGUGCAGAUACCGCCACUGGCCUUUCAGCAUUAGGUCAGAAAGGACUAAGUGGGAACUUAAAGGAGAUUGAUUUGAAUGAAACGCCCUCUAUGCAAGCCAAGAGACGCCAAUUGAGACUGCUAACUCUGCUUAAAACAGGUAUUUAUAUACUUUAUUAACUUUUGCACCUUUCUAUUUACUGAUUAUCUUUAUAAUUAACUAAUACAUGUAUCCAGGUUUCUCCUUCCAUUUCUAAAAGGUUUCUCCUUCCAUUUCAUUAGAAGUAAAUUGGAAUUUCUUUAUAGUGCUCUGUUAGGUGUAAUCAGAUGUAUCAAAAGAGAAAGGGUAAUUGUUAGUACAUUGAUAUCUCAACAAAAUGGUAGAACCUUUCUUUAUACCAGUAAGACAUUUGUUGCAGGUAUGCCUACAUAAUCAGUGUCCUUCAAAACUUUCAAGGAGUUAGCAAUGCCUAACCCCUGAAACACUAAAUCUCACGGGAUCAACUCUUUACCUCUAGACCGAAGGUGUGACACCCAGACCCAAUUAGGGCUUAGAACACAUAUCGAAUCUGAGUGAAACUAAAUGCCUGUAAAUCCAAAUCUCCAAAAUAUCAUAAAGUCAUCUACUUUCUCUUUUCAUGUAUUUCACAAAAUUUUGAAAAAUUCAUUCUCAAUCAUAAACUAUGCACAGCUAAUUAUUCAGCAUAUCAGUAUAGAGCAAUACUUCCUCAUAAGCAAAUAAAUCUUACAAUCCUUCUUAAAUGAUUUGAAAAAAAUACUAAUAGAAGUCUUCUAGAUACAAACAUAAACAGAAUUCAACUGUUUAAAACUAUGCCAAAACACAAGCUUCAAUCAGUAAUGCAUACGACUAAUUAUUAAAAACAUCUAGCCAGAAACCUUACGAAAGCUCAAUCCUUUCGAAGCAUUCUUCAAAUUAAUAAUUGCUACCAUCUGUGAAAAAUAAUUGACAAGGAGUCACCUGUGAACUCAAUCAGUAGAAACAUUCGUAACGAACAAAAAGAAUUCUUUGUGCAAUAUUUUCAGAAAAUUCAUUUAACCUUUCAAAUGAAACAGAGUAAUUUUUCUAACGCAGUCAGGAUUUAUAUAAAACACAAACGUUUCAGACAAAAGCUGUGUGGAAUGUAAAUUUUGUUUCUUUAAACAGAAAGUUAUAUAUUAGUUUGAUUUUAAAGGGAGGUUAUUGGGAAGUUAAAAUUGGCAGUUGCGGGAAAAGGGUAAUAGCAGUUAUAAAAUCUCUUUUAAAGCAAAUUCAAAUCAAGUUUCAAAUUUUAGGAGUACUUAAUUCAAUAAAAUAAGGAAUAAAUAAAGCUUUCAUUGAAAUAAAACUAAGUAAAUUCAUUUAAAGCAAAAAAGGAUGGGAGCAUUACUAUGGGUUCUUAUGUUUACCCGCAGUCAGACAUCUGGGACCUUGUUAUUUGGAGACAAGACUUGAUUGUGCCAUGUUUUCCGCAGCUAGACAUCUGUGGAUAAGAGAACCCUAAGCGUAUUGAGAAUAAAUUCCAUAAUCCAAGUCUCUUCAGUUCUUUCAUUUGUGGCUAAUUAGUUAUAAAAUUUGUGAAUUUCAUGCCCCAUGCCCCUUGCAAAAAUGUAUUUUAUAUCCUUAAGAUGCCAGUUGUUGAACUGAAAUAAUAAAAAAUGGAAAACAGACUUAAUGCCGAUAGCAUUUCUUAAGAAAAACUUGGGAUGUUUAUAAGUUUCUUAGAGCAUUUGCUGAACUUUCUGUGAUGGCAGUCGAGACGGGUGACCGCUACUUCCCUCAUUGCUCAGAAGUGGUUGAUCGCUUUUUGGAUUUGAACAAUCCUUCCACCCCAGAAAUGGACGACGAGAAACUUAAAGUAGACGUGCAGGAGGCAUUCUGCAAGGACGUGGCUUAUCACCGUCGUUUAGGGCUGCCAUCAUCCUGGCCGGCAUUUUACCAGUACAUGGCUAGGAGCAAUCAGUCGGCAUUUUACAAGUACGUGGCUGAGAGCAAUGGUUCACGAAUGUCGACAUCCUGGGCAGCGAGCAAUUAAGCAUCACCUUUCCCUAAAAGUUAUAUUUGACACCUGGAAAACUAAAGUAGUUGAGUGAGCUCGAUUGGUAUUUGUAGUUUCUUUUUUUUUUACUCAAGUGAUCUGGCAUAAUUAAAAGUUAUUUGUUUGUCUUCAAAGUUAUUGUAUUGUCUCAAGUCCGGUGAGAUGCGCGAACGUAUAGCAUGCAUCACAAACUCAUUUCAUAGAAUAUUUUUUUGUAUAAUUAUAUAAUUUAUAGGCUUUGCUUAAAAAAUUAAAAAAGAAAAAAAGAAUUGUAUUACAAUUGGUAUGAGGCAUGCUCGUGUGUUAUAUCAGUUGCAUGCGUGUGUUAUAUCAGUUGCUGAACAAACUUUGCCUUUUAGUUUUGUAGGCACUACCAUCUCAAAUUCUCUGUUAUCAUGAAUGAGUAUUUUUUUUCUUUUUUCUUUUUUAAGAAAUCAUAAAUGAGAUUCAGAUAAUCUUUUUAAAAAAAAAAGAAAAAAAAAUGGAGAUUUCUUUUAUUUUUCCUUAAAAAACUGAAGAAAAAUUUAGAAGGUAGUGAGAGACGGAGAAUUAAAGCAAUUUUAUUCACAAAUGUAAUGUGUUUGGUCUAGCAAUACAAACUAAUAAAUUAUAAUUUAUGAGAUUAGUUUACAUAAUCUUAUAUAUAAAAUUAUAUCCUCUGAAUAAAAAUCUUCUCACCUCUUUUGACUUCUCAUUUAGAUGCCCUCUCUAGAAUCUCUCCAGCCAUAAACACAUUUUUAUAAAACAAAACACAAAAAAAAAUUAUAUAUAGUUGUCACAAGGACUAUUUCAUUUGCACAUAAUACGCAAUUGGUCAUUAAAGUUAUUAGAGGAGAAACUUUACAUGACAUGGGUACAUCAUAUUAUUAGUAUUUUAGUUUAAAUUUUUACAUACUAGAACAGUCUCUUUUUCUCCGAUUUGAGAGAUAAUGGGGAAUGGGGUUAAAGUGCAUCUACAUAGAAUUAAUUAUAAUUAAAUUUAUUUUUUAAAACUAUUUUAACUAGAAGUAGUAGUAAUUCUUUUUACUAUUGUUAUUCCAAUUAUAUCAAAAUCUCGUGACUGGUGAUCAAAAUAAGUGGUUCAUUAAAUUUUUUUAGGUGACGUAUGGUAUGGAGUUGUUAUAAAUCUAUAUAAAAAGUAAAAUAUUUAAUUUUGCUUGUCGUAAACUUUUAAUUUGCAUGGGUUAAAAAAGAAAAAAAGAAAUUGACUUAUUAAUUAAUUAACAAUUAUAGAAAGAAUAAAUAGAAAAUUAUAGUUGCGUGAGAAAACCCUCGUGAAAAGGGCUCCGGAUUUCCUUUCCCUGGCUUCGUGCGUUUCCUUUUGCCCUUUUCGAGCACGAAUUCGAAUCCAGUACUUUAUAAUAAAGAUAUAAUAUUAAAAAAUAAGAAAAAGAAUCCCAAUUUUUACUGGUAUAUAACGCAGAGCCUGCAUUAUGAAACACUCUUUUGCUAUUGUUUUCUUUUCUUUUCUCUUUUGCUGUAAUUUUUUAUGAAACACUCUGUUUCAGUUCUGUUUCUGGUUUUGUUUCGGUUUAAUAUUAUUGGUUCCGUUUGGUUCUGUUCUGCUCUGUUCUACGUCGUAUGUAUAUAUGUAUAUAUUUUUGGCCUCGAAUUGCUUUCAUCACCGGUUUUGUUAUUCAUUUAUCGUGAAUUUUAGAUGACUUGUUCGGCCAUGUUACAUUCAGCUACCAUUUUCAUGGUGGGUUUGUAAGAUAGUCUCUGACUAACACAUGGCAUUGAUUAUGAAUGAUGGUUUUGUGAGAUACAUCAUACAGACGUUAACUCGUGUUAAUUUGUACUUACAUCAUUCAAAAGAUUACUGUUUUUCUCUCUUUUUUUUAAAAAAAAAAAAAAUUGAAAUGCCCUUUUUCGCAUUUUAUAGAUGAAAGGAAGAAACAUAAUAUCGCAGAACUAGAAUAAAGGAGCCUAUUCUGUUACCUAUUGUCCGAGGAACCUUCUGUAUAUUCGGUAGGAACUACCAUGGGAAGUCAAAUCUUACCAGAGCCAGGCGGAGUCGUUGCUGAAGGAAUAUAUAUUAGCAGAUCCAUUUGUCCCGUACACUUCAAUUGUUGGUAGCAUUUUUGCUUGCACGAUGGUAUGUUUGUCAUCGUUACUGCGUGGUGGUAUUUACUAGAAAAUAUUUUGAAUGCAUAGUUUUUAUUUAAUUAGUUAUAAAAUUUUUAUACCCUCUGUUUUCCAUAAGAAUGUGUUCCUUUUCAGGUCUAUGAUCUUGCCCAAUUGAUUAGUGUGCUGUUCACUUUAAAUCUGAUUCCAGUUUCUCCAACAUACAGCGGGUCGAGUGGAGUAACAGGUGAUUGAAAAUUUUCAUUUAGUCCAAUUGUCAUUUCUUUCUCAAUCGGUAAAGUUUAAUCAUUUUUCUUAAAUCGACAACUCAUGCAGGGCCAUAUCAACCGUCCAUGACAUUUUUAUUACAGCGAUGUCUUUGUACUUUGUGUUUUGGUCGGAUCUCAGAGUUUGUGCAUAGCACACUUGGUUCUACUGUUUGUUUGUCCCUUCAUAGACAUUUCGAUAAACUGUUAUUUUUGUUCUUUGGAAGUGAAUAUUUUCAGCAACUAGAACUCCGAAGCAUCUGGAGUGAUCCAUUUUGUCAUUCUCAAUACCUAUAAAAGAAUGUCAUAGAAAACAGUUUCCAAAGCAAGUUGCAUGUGUUUUGAAUUUGUCUUUGCAAGCCACUAAUUGCUUGGAGCGCACUGUUAGCCAGUCGUGGUUCCAUCCACUUUUUUGGAUAGACAAUUGUGCAUCCAUAUGAUCUGGACUAAACUAGUUUCUAAUAAAUAAUUGCCCAGGGUUUUAGUCUCAGUGUUACAGCCCAGUCUUUGUUGUCAAUACUCUUUCCCCUGUCGUGGAUGAGCGACAUAACAGCUUCUUAAUGUUUUGCAGUGGCUUUUGCACGGUUGUUGUUUCCUUCUGAAGCUAGAGUAGCUACGGAUAGAGCGGAUGCAGAUGCCACCAAUUUUUAUACUGGCCUUUCAGCAUCAAAAUCAAAAGGAUCAAGUGGGAACUUAAAGGAGGUUGAUUUGAAUGAAACACCCUCUAUGCAAGCCAAGAGACUCCAAUUAAGAUUGCAAGCUCUGCUUAAAACAAGUAUUCAUAUACCUUAUUAGUUUUUGUACCUUUACAAUUUGUGAUUUUUGUAUCAAAAGAGAGAGGUUAAUUUUUAGUACAUUGAUAUCUCGACAAACUGUUAGAACCUUUGCACCACUAGAGACAUUUUCUUAGAGCAUUUACUGAACCUUCUAUGAUUGCAGUGGAGACAGGUCGACGCUACUUCCCUCGUUGCUCAGAAGUGGUUGAUAAAUUUUAGGAUUGUGAUUGGGCCGAUGCUUCCCUCCUAGAAAAAGGGUACUCCUGAAGAGCAGAGACUCAAAAGGGCACGCUUCAUGGAACUUAAAGAAGACAUGAAGAAGGCAUUUUACAAGGACAUGGCUGAGAAAAAAUGGCUCAGGUUUGUAGUCAUCCUCGUCAUCGUCAUCUUCUCCGAAGGACGGAGUAAAGUGUAAGGGUAGGAAAAUGUGAUGCUUAGCUGCAUGUCUUUGUUAUUCAUUUAUUGGCAACUAAAAGAGUUUUAGUGAGUUGGCUUGUUACUUGUAGAGAGAUACUCUUAGAGCCUAUGUUAUGGCUAUGUUGUAUAAUAGCAGAGGAACUUCAAGCUUGUGUUGUUGUAUUUUCCCUGGUAUUUGGCAUGUAAUGCACUAAAUGACAAAGAAUUUUCUAAUUUUAGAGGGGAAUGUUAUGUCAGUUAAUUAUUUAUUUAUUUUGUCUGUUUAAUUCAGUUUACAUAGCUUUUUUUUUUUCUCCAAAAAAAUCUUCAUAUCUCCAUCUGCAAUUUAAGUCAUUUGUAACUUCUUUCAGGGAGGAAGGAAAAGGGAAAAAAAAGAAGCAUUUGUAAGUAUAUUUACAGUACUGAUUUUCCUACAGAAAUUGGUUAAGGUGACAUUAAUGUUCUUAGUAACAGAUGGAUAUGCAGAAUUUUCGUUGAAAUUGAAAUUAGAAAUGGAUGGAUAUGAAUGACAUAUAUUCAGAAUUUUUUAGUAGAAUGUUUAAACAAAAUUUUUUAGCUCAUUACUCUCUAGAAGGAAAAUAAAUUUUUUAUUGUAAAUAUUAAAUAUUAAAUUUAUAAUAUAAUAAAUGUGUGACUUAAGGUGCACAAUACCUAUAUAAUAAUAAUAAUUAGGACAAGAAAAAUCAAAUUUUGUAAAUUACCAAAUUUCCCUUGGAAUUUGAUAUUCUAUAUCAACGUAGGUGUUGCAUCCACUGGGUUAGUACAACUAAAAGAAACUAACUAAAGUAAAACAAAAUAUCAGAAAAAUAUGGCGAGCUUCUCAUUUUUUUUUAAGUGAAAAAAAAAGAAAACUGAAAUUAAUUAUUUUUAUACCCAAAUUCUCAUGCUCGAAGGCCGCUGGAAUUGGUCAUUGUAAUUUUGUCAUCCUCGUUAUUCACUGGCCAUCGUAGCCUUCCUCCCUUAGAAUGAGAGUCGUUUUUUGGACCACGACAUAAUAAAAAUAGUAUUGAUUAAUACUAAUAAAUUUCUUUUUGAUUAUUUUGCAGUGUAAUAGUCUAGUGCGUGCCAGUGCCCAUCAGAUCACUUGAACAUGUGGUAAAAUUCUGCGAGUCUUUGUAAAAUAAUUUUUAAAUUGUGUAUUAACCAAAUAGCUCAAUGAAGACUAUCGACUCAUUAUUUUAUUUUGUAUAUAUUUAUGAUAAUUGUUGAAAAGAAAAUUGUAAAGUGAGAUUAAUGAACAUUUAUGAAUGUGGAAAUUAACACAACCAGAAUUUAUGAUGAAAUAAUUUUAAGUCAAACGAAUGUAAGUUUGUAUAUAUAUUUUUUGAAUUGUCAUAUAUAUACAAGUUUGUCACUAACAGUAAAUUAAAUUAUGAAUAUUUUAAUAAUUCAAAAUCUCAUUUAACCAUCAGCGUUUAUAGGGUGCGUUUGGCACAUUGUAUUGUAUUAUAUUGUAUUAUAUUAUUUUAAUGCAUGUGUAUUAUAUUAUAUUGUAUUACAUUAACAUUGUAUUAUAAUAAUACUAUACAAUGUUUGGUACUACAUUGUAUUAAUUUUUAAUAAAUAUAUAAUAUUACACUGUAUUAUAUUAAUUUUUUAAUAAGUACUUUAAAUUAUAUAUUUAGAAAAUAACAUUUAUUAGUCGUUAAAAAAUACUAAAUAUAAAAUUCUUAAAUUUUAGAAAUUUAAUAUUAUCUUUCUGGUAUAAACGUUGAAAAAAAAAAUCAUAAUUCUUCGUAAAAAUCGAAAUAAAUAAUUCAAUCAAAUAACCUUCAAAUAAUAUUAUAACAUAAAUAAAUAAUUAAAAUGUACAAGAUUAAGUUAAAAAUCAUUUUAAGAUAAUAAAAUAAAAAUUUAUACAUAGUAUAAAAUAAUAUAGUAACUGUAGUAUAAUAACUAACAAAAUAGACUGUACUAAAUAAUUUAAGUAAUACAACAAUAUUUACAAGUACCGUUUUUGCUAUCUUUCUCUUUUAAAGGCCCCUUUUUUGUUUUAUUCUUAGAACUUCAUAGUUCUUUUGUUUUUUCUUUUUCUUUUUCUUUUUCUUUGCCCCUUUUUUGUUUUCUUCAUAUUUCUUUUGGCUUCAUAAGUUUCUUUUAACUGAGUUAAUAGUGUUGUUAGGUUAAACUAAGUUUGGCUUCAUAAACUUAAAUCUCGUUAAGUUUUCCUUCGAAUAGCUCUCUCUCUUUUAGAGAGGCUUGAAUGGAAAAAUAUUAAGGGGUCGUAAGGACUCAGGUGGUCACUCCUAGUGAGUGGAAAGUAAUCUAAACCAGCAAGCUGUUGGGAUUGAUGUGCUGGUGGAGAAAGUUUCGAAGAGCCAAAGGUAGUGUAAAGCGUUGGGGUACGAGUCAAAGCAAGCAAGUUGAAAGAACUCACUAUCGGCUCUAGCGUUAUUUGCCAUGGACACUGAAGAGCUAAUUCGCAAGUGUCAAGCAAUAAAUAUUAGAGAGGAAGACAAAGCCAAAAUAACACUGGAGGUGAAUCUGGAAAAAAAGAAAGAACUAAUGAUGGCAGGCUGCUUAGUGGGUAAAGUAAUGCUCGCGAAGGGAGUAAAUAAAGAGGGUCUCAAGGCUGCGUUACAGCAGGUGUGGAGGACUUUCAAAGAAGUCAAAAUCGAAAGCGUGGGAAACAACAUCUUCAUGUUUAAAUUUGCUGAGGAAGCAGACAAGAAAAGAGUGUUAAAAUGGGGACCAUGGCACUUCGACAGGGCAUUGAUUGUACUCGCUGAGCCAAGGGGGAUUGGGGAAGUCGCAAAACAAUCCUUUACUCAUACAUCCUUUUGGGUGCAGAUUCGUAAUGUUCCACUAGCGUGUAUGGAUAAAGAUUUUCUCCGGGAGCUGGGUGAGAAGCUAGGAUCAGUUGAAGAGGUCCAAACUGAUGAUAAUGGAGAUUGUAUUGGGGAAUAUGCCAGAAUAAGAGUUUCAAUUAAUAUAACACUGCCGCUAGAGAGGAUUCUAUUUCUAAAGCGAGAAGGUGAAACUGAUAUCCCAAUGCCAGUGGUCUAUGAACGUUUGCCGGAUUUUUGUUAUUGCUGCGGCAUCAUAGGACAUCAAUACAAAGAGUGUGGCAAAUACCAAGACCAACCAAGAGAAGAUUUACCAUAUGGGAGCUGGAUGAAAGCGAUUACGGUAGGGGGCUUCACAAAGAGGAAUCAGAACCAGGGAAGGUGGAACUAUGGGGCUGGAAAAUCGGAUGAAAAAUCAGCAAGCUCAGAAAAUCACAGCUUCCAGCAACAGCAAGGGCAAAACAAAGAAAACCCGAUAGAGGCAAACGGGUCGGUACAAAAUGAGAAGGAAAUGGGGCAAACCAUGGAGCAUGCUAAGAAUGAUGUGAUAGGAGGAGUAGCUGAGCAACAAUUAAUGCAAGGAGUGUCACAGUCAGCGGACAAAAAACAAACUGACGGCCACAAGCAAGCUAAGAAAAGUGGCAAUGCAACAGUCCCAAGGAAAAUGGGCACACAAGCGGGAAAUGGUAUCCUAAACGAGGGGGAAAAAAUGCAAAUAAGUCAUGAAAAGGAAGCUGGAAAAAAUGAUGGGCCGGAAGUCUCUCAGCUACAGCCCAAUAAGAGAAAGUGGAAGAGAUUACUUAGAGAGCUAAGUGAAGGGGGGGAAGAAAUGGAGGUACAAACUCGGAAAAGGCCAAGGGGGAAAAAACUCGGGCAAAGCCCAAGGAAAAAAACAAAACUCUCCAACUCAAACCAGCUCGAGACAAAAAAUCUGAUGCAUGUUUCUUCAACAGCAAGUCUUCAGCUGGGGUGGGAACCGCUGAUGCUGGAAGAGGUGGUAGUUAUGGAAGCAAACAACAUGGAGAUAUCGGCGGAGGCUGGUGGCCAGCCCCGCCGAAAACCAUGAAUAUCCUCAGCUGGAAUGUUCGGGGUUUGGGGAAUCCCCGAGCAUUUCAAGCCUUAAGAAAAAUCCUCCAGUUGCAUGGUGCUCAGCUGGUGUUCUUGUGUGAAACAAAGGUAUCAACCAUGCAAAUGAAUGUAAUUGCAAGUAAGCUGAGCUUCGAGAAUUGCCUUGCGGUAAACGGUAAUGGAAGAGGAGGCGGAAUAGCAAUGCUCUGGAAGUCAGAUAUUGAGGUGCAAAUCAAAUCAUACAGCCAGCACCACAUUGAUGCCGAAACUCAAAUGCCAAAUGGGAAUCAAAUGCGAAUUACAGGAGUGUAUGGGCAUCCGGAAAUAAGCCAGAAAAAGCACACUUGGACGCUCCUCAGACGGCUGGCGGUUUUAUCUUCUAGUCCUUGGUUGUGUUGUGGAGAUUUUAACGAAAUUUUACAUCCAAAUGAGAAGAGGGGCGGCAAUGAUAGAAAUGUGAAUUUAAUUAAUGAGUUUAGAGAAGUCUUGAGAGAUUGUGGCUUAAAGGAUGUCGGGUUUCGGGGGUAUGCUUUUACUUGGAAUAAUGGAAGAUAUGGGGAGGGUUUUGUGGAAGAAAGGUUGGACAGAUUUGUUUGCUCUAAAGCUUGGAGUGAUAGAUUUGUGGACUGUGCAGCAAGUAAUCUGGACUCCUGGACUUCGGAUCAUUGUCCCGUGCUGAUGGUUGUUCAAGAGAGAAGGGAGGGUAUGAUCCAAAGGGGUAGACAUUCCUCGCGAAUCCAUUAUGAGGAUAUGUGGAGUUCGUAUGACGGAUGCAAAGAGAUAAUUAAGGAGGAAUGGGGGCUGUAUAGAAACUGGAGCAGUGAAAAUUCAGCCCAAUCCUUUCGACAAGCAACAAAAACUUCGAUGGGUAGGCUGCUGGGGUGGAGCAAGAGGGAAUUUAGAAAGCGUGACAGAAAAUUAGAGAAGCUGAAGGUUCAGCUGAGGGAGUUAAAACAAAGAAGGGUGCAAUUUGUAGAUGGUGAGGAAAUUCGGAAGGUGGAGAAGCAAAUUCAAAAUAUUCUUAUGGAUGAAGAAAUCUACUGGAAGCAACGUUCAAGAGCAGAUUGGCUCAAGGAGGGGGACAAAAACACAAAAUUUUUUCACGGCAAAGCGACGGCAAGAAGGAAAAAAAACAGAAUUUGGGGGAUUGAAGAUAAUUUUGGGAAAUGGAUUGAGGAGCCAAUCAAAGUAGAGCAUGAGUUUUGCAACUAUUUCACCAAGCUUUUUACAUCAACCCAGCCGAGACAAGAUCAAAUUGCAGCAGCUUUGGAAGGAAUAACUCCAAGAGUUUCAGCCAGUAUGAAUGAGAGUCUGGGGGCACCUUUUACAGCCGAGGAAGUGUUGGAAGCGCUGAGCCAAAUGUGCCCAACAAAGGCUCCGGGGCCGGAUGGUUUGCCAGCCGUGUUUUACCAAAAGCAUUGGCAUUCGGUCAAGGAGGGAGUGCUCACCACUUGUCUGCAUAUCCUUAAUUCACAAGGUACCAUCGGCCCUCUAAACCACACUUACAUUGCUUUGAUACCAAAAAUCGGAAAGCCUAGGAAAGUGACAGAUUUUAGGCCUAUUAGUUUGUGCAAUGUCAGCUAUAGAAUUGUUGCUAAAACAGUUGCUAAUAGAUUUAAGCAAGUUUUGCACAAAAUCAUCUCUCCAUCGCAAAGUGCAUUCAUUCCCAAUAGGCUGAUCACUGACAAUAUAAUAGUUGGCUAUGAAUGUUUGCACAAAAUUAGGCAUUGUAAAAGCAAGCGAAAUGGAUUAAUUGCCUUAAAGCUUGAUGUUAGUAAAGCUUAUGAUAGAUUGGAAUGGAAUUUCUUAGAGCAAACUUUAGAAAAAUUAGGCUUCUCGCAGCAAUGGAUUAGCUUGAUUAUGAGGUGCAUUAGUUCGGUUUCAUUUUCAGUGUUAAUAAAUGGUGCAGUGAAAGGCUUAAUUAAACCUCAAAGGGGCUUACGUCAAGGAUGCCCCCUCUCCCCAUAUUUGUUUAUUACAUGUGCAGAGGCCUUUUCAUCUUUGCUGCAGCAAGCUGAGCAACAACAACUCAUUCAUGGGUUAUCUUUUGGAAGCAAUCUGAAGAUUUCGCACCUCCUUUUUGCCGAUGACAGCCUGGUCUUCAGCAGAGCCUCCAUGGCCGACUGUCACAACUUGAAGAUGAUCCUUGAGUGUUACUCCACAGCUUCGGGCCAAAUUUUUAACUUCGAGAAAUCUUCCCUUUUUAUCAGUGGCAAUGUACAGCAAGAUCAAACUGAGGCUCUUGGGAAUCUAUUUCAGCUCAAUAUUGUGUCGAGACAUGAGAAAUAUCUAGGCUUGCCAUCGAUGAUUGGGAGAAAGAGAAGCAGUUUUUUCAAUGACAUCAAGCUGAAGGUUGCUAAUAAGAUCUCAAGCUGGCAGCAUAAAUUCUUUUCUUGCGGAGGGAAAGAAGUCUUAAUCAAAGCGGCUGUUCAAGCUAUCCCAGCCUACGCAAUGAGCGUCUUUAAAAUUCCAGGGGGUGUUUGUGAUGAUAUUCAAAAGAUGGUGGCAAAGUUUUGGUGGGGCUCCAAGAGGGAAGGGCGGAGUAUUCACUGGGCGCAGUGGGAAAAACUGAGCCAAGCCAAGUGUUUGGGAGGGAUGGGAUUUCGUGACUUCUCAAGUUUUAACCGAGCUCUUCUAGCAAAGCAAGGCUGGAGGAUUCAGCAAUGUCCAGAUUCGCUGGUGGCAAGGGUCCUGCAAGCUAGAUAUUUCCAGUCAACCAAUUUCUUGGCUGCUAAACUCGGCUCAAACCCCUCAUAUAUUUGGAGAAGUCUUCUGUGGGGGAGGAAAAUUAUUUGCGCGGGCUCUAGGUGGAGAGUUGGUAAUGGUCAGAAAAUUCAUGUUCAUAAGGCUAAUUGGAUCCCACGGGCUUCAACUUUCCAGCCAAUAGUUAAGCCAUCUCUGCCCCCUGAUGCUAUGGUCUCGGAAUUAAUCACUGAGGCAAACUGUUGGGAUGAAAAGAGGAUUUAUGAGCAUUUUGACCAUAUGGAUGCUGAUUUAAUUGCUAAGAUUCCCCUGCCUCGAAGUCCAAGGGAGGAUGAGCUGAUUUGGCAUUAUGGAAAAAAUGGCCAAUUCUCGGUUAGAAGUGGAUACCAGACAGCUCUCCAAAUGAAAUUUCCAGCCAUGGCUUCAAGCUCAGUGGUUUCCAAAAAUGAGUGGAAUAUUAUUUGGUCCCUUGCUUUGCCUCAAAAGAUCAGAAUCUUUGCUUGGAGAGCAGCCAAAAACCAACUCCCAUCAGCUGAGAAUCUGUGGAGGAAAAAAAUAAUCCAGAAUCCCAUGUGCCAAGUCUGUAAAAUAGGAACAAAAAAUGUCUUUCAUGCUCUAGUAGCCUGCAAAUCGGCUGAGAAGGUGUGGAAGCUAAUCCAUUUUGAUGAUGACAUUCGUGCAGCUCACAGUCAAGACAUUCUAAGCAUACUGCAUGCUAUGAAAAGGAUGAGAAACAGAGACGACCUGGAGCUGUUGGUAACAAUUUUCUGGGUUAAAUGGAAUGCUAGAAAUCAGAUGAUCUUCAAAGGGAAAAGGGAAACCCCCCAGAUCAUGGUAGCUAAAGCUGAAGCCUUGAUUGCUGCUUAUAAGAGGGUGCAUUCUCCAGAUGAGGCCUGCAGUGAAACAGAGCAGAAAGCACCUCCCCAGAAAUGGAACCCCCCUCAAGCUGGUUUUGUAAAAGUAAACACUGAUGCAGCCAUUUGCUUUGAAAAGAACAUUGUAGGGCUGGGGGUAGUAAUAAAAAAUGUUUUGGGGCAUGUUACAGCAGUUGCUAUCAAGGUUGCUAAGUUUCAUGGAGAUGUUUCUUAUGCGGAAGCAGAAGCCAUGGAAUGGGGUAUGUUAGUGGCGAGAGAGGCCAACAUGAAAGCUGUCAUCAUGGAAUCAGAUUCUCAAGGUGUGGUCAAUUUAGUUAACAACAAGCAGGGCAGCAGAUCAGAGAUCUAUUGGGUUGUGUCAGAAAUUCAGAAUCUAGCGGAAAGUUUCGAUCGUGUUAGCUUUAAAUACACGCCUAGAUCUUGUAAUGUUAUUGCCCACUCUUUAGCUAAACUAGCUUUAGAGAAGUGCGAGAAUGUUGUGUGGAAAGGGUCAUACCCUUCACAAGUGAUGUAUCUCUUUUCUUCUUUAGUUUAAUGGAAAUCUCUUUUCAAAAAAAAAAAAAAAAAAGUUUGGCUUCAUAAGCUUCAUAGUAGAGUGUAGAAUUAGGUACAAUUUUGGAUUAGACAAGUCAAAGGUCUUAUCAAGUAAUUGUUCUGCUUACUGAUUUGGUAAUUGCAACAUUGCUAAAUUGUUCAAUUUGUCCUUUUUAUUUUGUUGAAUUUAUUGUAUGUCAUAUUACUUGAUUUAAUUAUUUUCUCAGAUCUUGUAGGUGAAAAUUUCAGCUUCAAAGACCAAAGCUAAUCAAUCAUCCAGCAAUUCAGUGAAGAAACCAAGACACAGUGGCUCAUAAAUUGUUGUUGGUGAUUGAUCCCAGCCAUUCGGGUGCUCGCCAGUCCUAGAUUAGAAAACUUUCAACGCGGCGCAUAAAUUGCUGUUGAUCUGCUUUAUAUAUUUUGACGUUUGUGAUUUGUGAAUACAUGGUCUGAUUCCAGUGUUUACAACUUUGAAAUUCAAUUAAAAGUUGAGCUGUGAAAGAGUGUGUUGUAUAACUUGAGAAGCAAAUGAAACAAACAGAAAAUGUGUUUUUAUUUUUUUAAUCUAUCUAUGUAACAAUUUAUAGCUGGCAAAGUAAUAGAGUUGUAUACUUGUAUUUAAUUAUUUAUUAUUAUUAUUAUUAUUAUUUUUUUGUAUCCAUGGUGUUUUGUCAUUUCGAAAGUACUUGACCCUUUCACGCUAAGGCACACUCCAGCAGCCGAAACUUUGAGCUUUCAGUUCUUGAUUUUAGCGUGAGGGGUAUCUUUGUCUUUUCAGUAGUCAACACACGGUCAACAAAACAGUCUACAAACAAUCGACCUGUGAACUUGGGUCAAAGCUUUCAUCUUUAAAUCACAUAGGUAGAUCAUGAUUCAAGCUUCAGUUAUAAGCCUUUCAUUGUGAUUGAUAGUAUUCUUUCUUUGAUAUAUAUAUAUAUAUAUAUAUAUAUAGAUUCAUGGUUCUUGAUGGUAUCAUGGAAAAUGCGAACGAAAAGUCAGCAUCUUUGAGUUUUGACUCAUCUUAUCAAACUUGUUGGUCCACUAAUCAAUCAACAGGCACUUGUGAUCUUGAUUAUUUCAACUUAAGGAUGCAAAGCAGCAAUGCCAAAGAGACAUGGCAUGACGCUGAGAUUGUUGUUGAGGGCAAAUCAGUGGCGGUUAAUCGCAGCAUAUUGUCUGAGCGCAGUCAAUUUUUUCGUCGGCUUUUUAAUUUGAGAAAUGAUGGUUCUGUCAGUGAGGAGAAACCCAAGUAUCUUAUGACUGAUUUGGUGCCUCAUGGGAAGGUUGGAUAUGAAGCUUUCAAUGAUAUCCUGCUUUAUAUUUACACUGGGAAGACAAAGGCAUCUCCUCCAGAAGCGUCCACGUGUGUUGAUGACGCUUGUACUCAUGGUGCUUGCCCUCCUGCUAUUAAUUAUGUUAUUGAGUUGAUGUAUGCUUCUGCUGCUUUUCAGAUGACACAUCUCGUUUCGGUUUAUGAGGUAGUUGCGCUUCCCCGCUAUUUGCAUUGCUUAAAUUUAUGCUUGUUGGUAUAGUUUUAACAUAUAUGGAAUUGAAAUCAAUUUCGGUUGUGAAGCAACUUCGGUGGUUCCCAAUAUUAGGCAUUGUAGUAGAUCCAAAAUUAGCUUGUUGAGAAGUGUAGAUACUGUAGAGCCCAAAACUUCGUCUUAUCUUGCAAGAGUCUGUUGUUUUAUUUUGAAAGAGACAAAAGUGAUGAUGAUGGGCAGCGAACUCUAGGAAUCAAUGCUUGCUGACACUGACCCCCAAGAAUCAAUGAGUCUGAAUUUGAUAAGUGCACCUAUCCUAUCACAAAAGCUUUUGCGUUGAGUUUCUAACCAAUUUUCAUUUGUGUAGGUGUCAGUUCAUGCUCUGGCUUGACUGUUCUGUUAUUUAGGUUGUUUUAUCCGUAUUUUCUUCACUCACUUGAUGGUUAGUUCUCUCAUGCUUUCAAGCUCUCAACAGUGAAUGCGGGAGAUUCUAUUUUUCCCGUCCAGUCUAUAACCUAGCAAAUCAUUAAUGCUGUAGAAUAACAUCUUGUGUAGCCGAGUUUAUGUCUCUGAACAUUGGUCCAUCGGCAUUUAGGAUCAAUAUUAUUUUUCCCCCUCAUUAUUAUUUUCCUCCACAGAUUAUCCCCUUUGAGUAUUUGAAUUUUGAAUAUAUUAUUCUGAAUCAAAACUCUAUCUGUCCGUGUAGCAUUUUUUAUAUGCUUUACGAUGUUUACCAAUAAUUACCCACUAUGGGGUAUUUGAAUUUUGAAUAUAUUAUUCUGAAUCAAAACUCUAUCUGUCCGUGCAGCAUUGGCUUCUGAACUUGGCUGAGGAUGCGCGUGUGGAAGAUGUAAUCCCAAUUCUCGUGGCUGCCUUCCAUUGCCAACAGAACAUGCUCUGUUCUUACUGCAUCCAGAGAAUUGCAGGAUCAAAUCUUGACAAUGUUUGUCUCGAGAAAGAGCUUCCUGAUGAAGUUUCAAGAGAAAUCAAAUCACUCCGUGUCAAAUCUAACCAGGAGUCUGAAGCUAAUAUAGCAGAAGUGGAUCCUAUGCAUGCAAAAAUAGUCAGAAGAAUCCAUAAGGCGCUGGACUCUGAUGACUUUGAACUGUUGAAGCUUCUUCUGGAUGUAUCUAAUGUCACUCUGGAUGAUGCUUAUGCUCUGCACUAUGCUGCUGCCUACUGCAACCCUAAGGUUUUUAAGGAAGUGCUCAAUAUGGACUUGGCUGGUCUCAAUCUUAAGAAUGCAAGAGGUCGUACGGUGCUUCAUGUGGCUGCAAGGCGUAAUGAGCCAGAAGUGAUGGUGACUCUGCUGAGCAAGGGAGCAUGCGCAUCAGAAACUACAUCAGAUGGGCAAACAGCUGUAGCAAUCUGUCGGAGAAUGACAAGGCGAAAGGAUUAUAUUGAAGCUUCAAAGCAGGGGCAGGAAACUAACAAAGACCGGUUAUGCAUUGACGUCCUUGAGAGAGAGAUGAGAAGGAACUCCAUGUCUGAGAACUUGGCAAUGUCAUCAGAGGUGAUGUAUGAUCAUUUCCAAGCGGAGCUGGACUAUCUAGAAAAUACAGGUGAUAUUUCUUUACUGGUAUUAGUUCAUCACCUUCUCAGAGUUUGUGCAUAGCACACUUCUUUCUACUGUUUGUUUGUCCCUUCAUAUGGAAAAUAGAGGUGAUAUUCCUUUACUGGUAUUAGUAAAUCAUCUUCUCAAGAGUUUGUGAGUCCCUUCAUUUUAGCAUCUCAAACACACAUGGGCUCAUUGCUUGGGGCACACUGUUGGCCAGUCAUGUGAUUUGAUCCCCUUUUUUGGAAUAGAGAAUUAUGAAUCCAUCUGAUCUAGGCUUGGUGGUUUGCACCGAAGUGGUUUUUGAUAAAUAAUUGUACAAGACUUUGUCAUCAAAAACUUUUUUUUUUGUUUUCCAAAAGUAAUGAGGUACAAAAAUAUUUAUGCCUAUCCUGGAUGAGUGCCAUAACAGCUUCUUAAUAUUUUGCAGUGGCUUUUGUACGGUUGUUUCCUUCUGAAGCUAGAGUAGCUAUGGAAAUAGCUGGUGCAGAUACCGCCACUGGCCUUUCAGCAUUAGGUCAGAAAGGACUAAGUGGGAACUUAAAGGAGAUUGAUUUGAAUGAAACGCCCUCUAUGCAAGCCAAGAGACGCCAAUUGAGACUGCUAACUCUGCUUAAAACAGGUAUUUAUAUACUUUAUUAACUUUUGCACCUUUCUAUUUACUGAUUAUCUUUAUAAUUAACUAAUACAUGUAUCCAGGUUUCUCCUUCCAUUUCAUUAGAAGUAAAUUGGAAUCUCUUUAUAGUGCUCUGUUAGGUGUAAUCAGAUGUAUCAAAAGAGAAAGAGUAAUUGUUAGUACAUUGAUAUCUCAACAAAAUGGUGGAACCUUUCUUUAUACCACUAAAGACAUUUGUUGCAGGAUGCCUACAGAAUCAGUGUGCUUUAAAACUUUCAAGGAGUUCGCAAUGCCUAACCCUUGAAACACUAAAUCUCACGGGAUCAACUCUUUACCUCUAGACCGAAGGUGUGACACCCAGACCCAAUUAGUGCUUAGAACACAUAUCGAAUCUGAGUGAAACUAAAUGCCUGUAAAUCCAAAUCUCCAAAAUAUCAAAAAGUCAUCUACUUUCUCUUUUCAUGUAUUUCACAAAAUUUUGAAAAAUUCAUUUUCAAUCAUAAACUAUGCACAGCUAAAUAUUCAGCAUAUCAGUAUAGAGCAAUACUUCCUCAUAAGCAAAUAAAUCUUACAAUCCUUCUUACAUGAUUUUAAAAAAAUACUAAUAGAAGUCUUCUAGAUACAAACAUAAACAGAAUUCAACUGUUUAAAACUAUGCCAAAACACAAGCUUCAAUCAGUAAUACAUACGACUAAUUAUUAAAAACAUCUAGGCAGAAACCUUACGAAAGCUCAAUCCUUCCGAAGCAUUCUUCAAAUUAAUAAUUGCUACCAUCUGUGAAAAAUAAUUGACAAGGAGUCAGCUGUGAAUUCAAUCAAUAGAAACAUUUGUAACGAACAAAAAUAAUUCUUUGCGCAAUAUUUUCAGAAAAUUCAUUUAACCUUUCAAAUGAAACAGAGUAAUUUUUCUAACGCAGUCAGGAUUUAUAUAAAACACAAACGUUUCAAACAGAAGCUGUGUGGAAUGUAAAUUUUGCUUCUUUAAACAGAAAGUUAUAUAUUAGUUUGAUUUUAAAGGGAGGUUAUUGGGAAGUUAAAAUUGGCAGUUGUGGGAAAAGGGUAAUAGCAGUUAUAAAAUCUCUUUUAAAGCAAAUUCAAAUCAAGUUUCAAAUUUUAGGAGUACUUAAUUCAAUAAAAUAAGGAAUAAAUAAAGCUUUCAUUGAAACAAAACUAAGUAAAUUCAUUUAAAGCAAAAAAGGAUGGGAGCAUUACUAUGGGUUCUUAUGUUUACCCGCAGUCAGGCAUCUGGGACCUUGUUAUUUGGAGACAAGACUUGAUUGUGCCAUGUUUUCCACAGCCAGAUAUAUUUUACUUCAUUAGUUCCUAGACAUCUGUGGAUAAGAGAACCCUAAGCAUAUUGAGAAUAAAUUCCGUAAUCCAAGACUCUUCAGUUCUUUCAUUUGUGGCUAAUUAGUUAUAAAAUUUGUGAAUUUCAUGCCCCAUGCUCCUUGCAAAAUGUAUUUUAUAUCCUUAAGAUGCCAGUGGAUGAACUGAAAUAAUAAAAAAUGGAAGACAGAUUUAAUGCCGACAACAUUUCUUAAGAAAAACUUGGGAUGUUUAUAAUUUUCUUAGAGCAUUUGCUGAACUUUCUGUGAUCGCAGUCGAGACGGGUCAACGCUACUUCCCUCAUUGCUCAGAAGUGGUUGAUCACUUUAUGGAUUGGCCCUAUGCUUCCACCCCAAAAAUGGACGACGAGAAACUUAAAGUAGACGUGCAGGAGGCAUUCUGCAAGGACGUGGCUUAUCACCGUCGUAUAGGGCUGCCAUCAUCCUGGCCGGCAUUUUACCAGUACAUGGCUGAGGGCAAUCAGUCGGCAUUUUACAAGUACGUGGCUGAGAGCAAUCGUUCAGGAAUGGCGACAUCCUCGGCAGCGAGCAAUUAAGCAUCACCUUUCCCUAAAAGUUAUAUUUGACACCUGGAAAACUAAAGGAGUUGAGUGAGCUCUGCUCGAUUGGUAUUUGUAGUUUCUUUUUUUUUUCCUCAAGUGAUCUGGCAUGUAUCAAUUAGUUUGUAAAGUUAAUUGUAUUGUCUCAAGUCCGGUGAGAUGCGCGAACGUAUAGCAUGGAUCACAAACUAAUUGUAUUGUCUCAAGUGAUCACAAAAAGAAUUGUAUUACAAUUGGUAUGAGGCAUGCAUGUGUGUGUCAUAUCAGUUGCUGAACAAACUUUGCCUUUUAGUUUUGUAGGCACUACCAUCUCAAAUUCUCUGUUAUCAUGAAUGAGUAUUUUUUUUUUCUUUUUUUUCUUUUUAACAAAUCAUAAAUGAGAUUAAGAUAAUCUUUUUUUUAAAAAAAAAAAAAAUAGAGAUUUCUUUUAUUUUUCCUUAAAAAACUGAAGAAAAAUUUAGAAGGUAGUGAGAGACGGAGAAUUAAAGAAAUUUUAUUCACAAAUGUAAUGUGUUUGGUGCAGCAAUACAAACUAAUAAAUUAUAAUUUAUGAGACUAGUUUGCAAAAUCUUAUAUAUAAAAUUAUAUCAUCUGAAUAAAAAUCUUCUCACCUCUUUUGACUUCUCAUUUAGAUGUCCUCUCUAGAAUCUCUCUGGCCAUAAACACAUUUUUACAAAACAAAACAGAAGAAAUUAUAUAUAAUUCUCACAAAGACUAUUUCAUUUGCACAUAGUACGCAAUUGGUCACUAAAGUUAUUUGAGGAGAAAAUUUACAUGAGAUGGGUACAUCCUAUUAUCAGUAUUGUAAUUUAAAUUUGAACAUACUAGAAUGGUCUCUCAUAAAUUUUUCUCCAAUUUGAGAGAUGGUGGGGAAGUGGGGUUAAAGUGCAUCUGCAUAGAAUUAAUUAUAAUUAUAUUUAUUUUUUAAAACUAUUUUAACUAGAAGUAGUAGUAAUUCUUUUUAUUAUUGUUAUUCCAAUUAUAUCAAAAUCUCGUGACUCGUGAUCAAAUUAAGUAGUUCAUUAAAUUUUUUUAGGUGACGUACGGUAUGGAGUUUUUAUAAAUCUAUAUAAAUAGUAAAAUAUUUAAUUUUGUUUGUCGUAAACUUUUAAUUUGCAUGGGUUAAAAAAGAAAAAAAGAAAUUGACUUAUUAAUUAAUUAACAAUUAUAGAAAGAAUAAAAAGCAAAUUAGAGUUGCGUGAGAAAACUCUCGUGAAAAGGGUUCCAGAUUUCCUUUCCCUGGCUUCGUGCGUUUCCUGUUUGCCCUUUCGAGCACAAUUCGAAUCCAAUACUUAAUAAUAAAGAUAUAAUAUUAAAAAAUACGAAAAAGAAUCCAAAUUUUUACUGGUAUAUAAGGCAGAGCCAGUUAGAAUUCACAAACCUUAAGCAUACAAUCUGUUUGGCUAGCAGGAAAGUGACGAAGGAAGAAAGAAAAAUAAACUGAAUAAGAGAAUUUUAUUAAUCUCGAAUCACACCCUUACAUUCAAGCUUUCAUCAACUUAUAUUGCUGAUUAACAGAAGUAACAACCUCUGUAACAGCUGUCAAAUAACUAUUGGUUAAGCUAAGCUAAACAAUAACAAUCUAACUAAUUUGUCCAGCUCAGCUAUCCAGCUCAUCAAUCCUAGUCAAGUGAAUCUCAGCCAUUGAUCUGCUGCUGUUGAUUAAGCAUCUCAACACCCCUUCUCAAGCUUAAUGGUCGUGGAACAACAUUAAGCUUGUCUCUAUAGUAAUUAAAAAAAGAGUAAGCCAUAGGCUUUGUAAGCACAUCUGCAAUAUUCCACUCACUUGGUACAUACUUGAUCUCCACUUGUUUGCCCGUUACCUUUUCCCUUAUGAAAUGCACAUCCAACUCUAUGUGCUUGGUUUUGGCAUGAUAUACUGGAUUUGUUGCUAGUGCAGCUGCACCAUUGUUGUCACACCAGAUUAUUGGUAUUUGGCUACACUUCAGUUUAAGCUCUCCAAGUAAAGCUUGAAUCCAAACAAUUUCUGCACAAGCUGUUGACAAUGCUCUAUACUCUGACUCUGUGCUAGACCUUGCUACAGUUUGUUGCUUCUUGGAGGACCAUGAAACCAGAUUCUGCCCAAGAUAUACACAAUAUGCUCCAACUGACUUUCUGUCAUCCACAUCACACGCCCAAUCUGCAUCUGUAUAUGCUGUCAGACUAAUUCCAUCUCCUGCUUUAAACAUCAAUCCAUAAUCUUCAGUUGCCUUUAAGUAUCUUAGAAUUUUCUUACAAGCAACCCAGUGUUUCUCAGUUGGUGCAGCAAGAAAUUGGCUCAACUUAUUAACUGAAAAGGCAAGUUCUGGUCUUGUAAGUACCAAAUACUGUAAAGCACCUAUUAUGCUUUUAUACUCAGUGACAUUAACAAUCAAGUUAUCAUCAUUCCCUGCUCUUCUUAGUUUCUGUCCUGUACUCAUUGGAGUAUCACUUUCUCUGCAAUUUUCCAUAUCAGUUCUUGUAAGCAAAUCUCUUACAUAUUUUGCCUGUGAAAGAUGUAAGCUACCCUUUGCAUCAUGUGUAACCUCAAUACCAAGGAAGUAACUGAACUCACCAAGAUCUUUUAAAGCAAAGGUAUCUCCAAGGUAUUGGAUAAAUGUUUCAAUUACUGUAUUGUUAUCACCAGUAAUUAAUAUAUCAUCUACAUAUACUAACACAGCCACAAUACCUCCAAGUUCAUGUUUGAUGAACAAAGAUGAGUCUGCUUUGGAGUUCUGAAACCCCCACUGCAACAGUGCUUUCCUUAGCCUGUCAAACCAGGCUCUGGGAGCCUGUUUCAAACCGUAAAGAGCCUUAUGCAACUGACAAACAUGACCAGAUGGAGACUGAACAAAACCCUCAGGUUGAAACAUGUAGACAUCUUCAUUGAGCUCUCCAUUAAGGAAAGCAUUGUUGAUGUCGAUUUGUCUUAUUUUCCAGCCCUUCAUCACAGCAAGACUAAGGAUAAUUCUCACAGUUGACUGUUUAACUACUGGACUAAAGGUCUCAAAGUAGUCAAUACCAGCUGUUUGAUGAAACCCUUUUGCCACCAGCCGUGCUUUAUACUUAGAAACAGAACCAUCUGCAUUAUACUUAAUGCGAAAAACCCAUUUACACCCAACAAUUUUAGUAGCUUGAGAAGGUGGUACAAGAAUCCAAGUCUUAUUUUCCAUAAGUGCAUUAUACUCUGCCUGCAUGGCUGCUUUCCAUUUGGAAUCUGAAAGAGCUUGAGAAACUGUGGCAGGCUCUUGUUCUCCAAGAACAGAGGAAUAGGCAUGAAAUUUUGGCUUAAAUACACCUGCUUUGGCUCUUGUAAUCAUUGGGUGAUUUGGCAGUGAAACUUGAGUAGAGGAUGGUUGUUGAUUUGAAGUAUUUUGGGAUACAUAAGGAGAGGUGUGGGAGGGUGGAUGAUUUGAUUGAGAUGGUUGAAAUGGUUGAGAAGAAGGUGAUAAAGAACUAGAUGAGGAGGAAGAAGCUGAAGCUGCAGACAACUGAAAUGGUUGUAUAAUGGUGUUACUUGAGCCUGAAGGGUCAUGAAGUGGAACUGACACUGAAGAUACCUUAAACAUAGGAUAUCUAUAUUCAGAAGCAGAGGAAGAAGGUUGUUUAGAGAAAAGAGAGUCAGUAGAGAAAGGAAAUUCUGACUCAUUAAACACAACAUGCCUAGCAACAUAUACAACACCUUUUGAGCUUAGGCAUUUAUACCCUUUGUGAUCUGAGCUAUAACCAAUAAACAAACAUUUUGUAGUGUGAUAGUUGAAUUUGUGUUUGUUAUAGAAUCUCAGGUAUGGAAAACAGGAGCAGCCAAAAAACUUUAGAAAAUCAUAGUCAGGCUUGUGUUUGAAAAGAAUCUCAUAGGGAGAUUUAUUUGAUGGUAGAACAGAAGUUGGCAAUCGAUUGAUAAGAAAAGCAGAAGUUGAGAAUGCUUCCCACCAGAAACUGAGAGGUAAUUUAGCUUGUGCAAGAAGAGUCAAACCCAUCUCAACAAGAUGUCUAUGUUUCCUCUCUACUGUCCCAUUCUGGUGAUGUGUGUGAGGACAUGGAUGUCUGAAUAAAAUGCCAUGUUUUUGAAGAUAAGGCACAAAGGAUCUGAAUUCACCCUCCCAAUCUGACUGUAGGACCUUAAUGACUGUUUCAAAUUGUUUUUCAACUUGAGUUCGAAAAAUGGCAAAAACAGAUAAAGCUUGAGACUUGGUUUUCAAAGGAUAAACCCAGGCAUAUCUACUAUAAUCAUCAAUGAAACUGAUAUAGUAUCUAUAACCAUUGAGAGAAGUAAUGGGUGCUGGACCCCAUAAGUCAGUAUGGAUGAGUUCUAGAGGUGAGGUUGUUUUGUGUUCAGUUGCUCCAAAAUGCAGUUUAUGAACUUUGCCAUAUUGGCAGGCAUCACAAAAAUCAGGAAUUUGAAUUUUAUUGCUUAACUGCAAAUGUUUACAACUGGUGAGUACUUGUUUCAAGACUUUUGAACUAGGAUGACCAAGUUGCCUAUGUAGGAUAUUUAUUGAAGCACUGGAAACUCUACUGGAAUGAGACAACAGACACUGUUGAGAGGAGUGCUGAACAACUUUAGCUUGAAUAUUUGAAAAAGAACAAGACUGCAAACCAUCUGAGCAAUGUGACACCAUAGACAUAGGAACAAAACAUGACUCUUUAUUUACAGUUGAAAAUAAAGCUUGAUGAGUUUUACUUCCAGGCUCAAGUUUCAGCUUAUACAGACCCUUCAUAGCUACACCCUCCAGCAAAACUGUCCUCUUCUUCUUGUCCUUGAGAAAGCAAGUAUUUCCACAAAAUUCAAUGAUCAAGGAAUUAUCAGAAGUAAGCUUAGAAAUGCUUAAAAGAUUUUUAGUGAUGUGUGGCACAAAUAAAAGAUUUUUGAGCAAUAAUCUAUGAUUUCCAACUGCUAAAUAAGUGCUUCCUAUAUGAGAAAUAGUAAGGCCAUGUCCAUUACCAAUUAAAAGCUUUUCAUUACCUUCAUAAGGCUCACUGAUGCUGAGAUUAUUGAGAUCAUUGGUUAGGUGGUGAGUUGCUCCACUAUCCAGGUACCAGUCAUCAUCCAUUACUGCUUCUGGUGUUGCCAUAUAAGCUGACAUAUUUCUUUGAUUGUAGCCUUGAUUAAAAACUUGAUUUUGAUGUGGAUACCUUGUGACUGGAAUGAAAUCCUUGUUGAACCUAUCCUUGCAGGUAGCAGCAGUGUGUCCUAUAAUGAAGCACACUUGGUAUCUAGGUUGAUAUGGCUGUGAAAAAUGACCAGGCACAUGACUAGGCAUUUGAGUUCUCCCACCUUGAUUCCAAGAUCUUCCUCCAUGCAUGUUAUUUCCUCUUCCACCUUUCCUUCCUCGAUAGAAAUUUCCACCUUGAUUCCCUCUAAAAUUUCCUUGCAUCAUGUAUCCAGAAUUUUCAGAUCUUGAUGCAUUUUGAUUGAAACUAGAUCUUGAGUUGUAUGUUCCAAAACCUUUCUUAUUAUUGUUCCCUUUCUUAACAAAAUUUGCAGCAAACGCCAUAUUUGCAUCCAUAGUUUCAGCUAAAGCUUGUUGUUCUAACAUUCCCUCAUGUGUCAUUAACAUAGAGAGUGAUUCUGAUAAAUCGAGAUCUAAUCCUCUUCCUGUGAUCAAAACUGCUACAGGAUUGAAUUCUGAACCAAUUCCUCCUAACACACUCAUCAUAAAGUCAUAGUCACUCAUUGGUGCUCCUGCUGCUGCCAUGUUAUCUGCUAUGCCUUUCAUUUUGUGAAAAUAGUCAUAAACACUCAAAUCGUUCUUCUUUGUCAACAUCAUUUGAUUCUUCAGUUGCAAUGCUCUGGUUUUGUUUUGUGAGCCAGAAAGUUUUUCCAGAGCUUUCCAAACUUCAAAGGAAGUUUUGUAUCCGAGAACAAUUCCGAGAACACUCUCAGUCAUGGAAGAGAGUAGCCAACCUAGCAACUGCUGAUCAGUUCGCUUCCACAUCACAAACUCAGAGUUCGGAAUCCUCUGAUCUGUGCAUGGUGCUGUGAUUGAACCAUCAAUAUAUCCUUCUAAUCCAUUUCCCUGAAUGGAUGCCAAUACUUGCAUUUUCCAGAUCAAAUAAUUUGAUCUGUCGAGCUUAAUUGGUGUAGGAAAGGUAUAGGAAACAGUUGUGGUUUGAUUUAAGCUUGAUGAUGCCAUCUGGCUCUGAUACCAAGUUAGAAUUCACAAACCUUAAGCAUACAAUCUGUUUGGCUAGCAGGAAAGUGACGAAGGAAGAAAGAAAAAUAAACUGAAUAAGAGAAUUUUAUUAAUCUCGAAUCACACCCUUACAUUCAAGCUUUCAUCAACUUAUAUUGCUGAUUAAUAGAAGUAACAACCUCUGUAACAGCUGUCAAAUAACUAUUGGUUAAGCUAAGCUAAACAAUAACAAUCUAACUAAUUUGUCCAGCUCAGCUAUCCAGCUCAUCAAUCCUGGUCAAGUGAAUCUCAGCCAUUGAUCUGCUGCUGUUGAUUAAGCAUCUCAAAAGAGCCAAAGCGAUAGCGAAACAUCAAAUUGUUUUUAUUUCAACCUUCGCGCAACUUCCGGUGACAUAAUUUUUCUCUGUUUCAGGUACAUACCCAACACUAAACUUUGCAUGUAUCAUUCUUGUACUUUUGUUAUUCUUUUCUUUUCUUUUCUUUUCUCUUUUGCUGUAAUUUUUUAUGAAGCACUCUGUUUCAGUUCUGUUUCUGGUUUUGUUUCGGUUUAAUAUUAUUGGUUCGGUUCUGUUCUGCUCUGUUCUACGUCGUAUGUAUAUAUGUAUAUAUUUUUGGCCUCGAAUUGCUUUCAUCACCGGUUUUGUUAUUCAUUUAUCGUGAAAUUUAGAUGACUUGUUCGGCCAUGUUAUAUUCAGCUACCAUCUUCAUGGUGGGUUUGUAAGAUAGUCUCUGACUAACACAUGGCAUUGAUUAUGAAUGAUGGUUUUGUGAGAUACAUCAUACAGACGUUAACUCGUGUUAAUUUGUACUUACAUCAUUCAAAAGAUUACUGUUUUUCUCUCUUUUUUUUUUAAAAAAAAAAAAAAUUGAAAUGCCCCUUUUCGCAUUUUAUAGAUGAAAGGAAGAAACAUAAUAUCGCAGAACUAGAAUAAAGGAGCCUAUUCUGGUACCUAUUGUCCGAGGAACCUUCUGUAUAUUCGGUAGGAACUACCAUGGGAAGUCAAAUCUUACCAGAGCCAGGCGGAGUCGUUGCUGAAGGAAUAUAUAUUAGCAGAUCCAUUUGUCCCGUACACUUCAAUUGUUGGUAGCAUUUUUGCUUGCACGAUGGUAUGUUUGUCAUCGUUACUGCGUGGUGGUAUAUACUAGAAAAUAUUUUGAAUGCAUAGUUUUUAUUUAAUUAGUUAUAAAUUUUAUACCCUCUGUUUUCCAUAAGAAUGUGUUCCUUUUCAGGUCUAUGAUCUUGCCCAAUUGAUUAGUGUGCUGUUCACUUUAAAUCUGAUUCCAGUUUCUCCAACAUACAGCGGGUCGAGUGGAGUUUAAUCAUUUUUCUUAAAUCGACAACUUAUGCAGGGCCAUAUCAACUGUCCAUGACAUUUUUAUUACAACAAUGUCUUUGUACUUUGUGUUUUGGUCGGAUCUCAGAGUUUGUGCAUAGCACACUUGGUUCUACUGUUUGUUUGUCCCUUCAUAGACAUUUUGAUAAACUGUUAUUUUUGUUCUUUGGAAGUGAAUAUUUUCAGCAACUAGAACUCCGAAGCAUCUGGAGUGAUCCAUUUUGUCAUUCUCAAUACCUAUAAAAGAAUGUCAUAGAAAACAGUUUCCAAAGCAAGUUGCAUGUGUUUUGAAUUUGUCUUUGCAAGCCACUAAUUGCUUGGAGCACACUGUUAACCUGUCGCGAUCCCAUCCACUUUUUUGGAUAGACAAUUGUGCAUCCAUAUGAUCUGGACUAAACUAGUUUCUAAUAAAUAAUUGCCCAAGGAUUUAGUCUCAGUGUUACAGCCCAGUCUUUGUUGUCAAUACUCUUUCCCCUGUCGUGGAUGAGCGCCAUAACAGCUUCUUAAUGUUUUGCAGUGGCUUUUGCACGGUUGUUGUUUCCUUCUGAAGCUAGAGUAGCUACGGAUAGAGCGGAUGCAGAUGCCACCAAUUUUUAUACUGGCCUUUCAGCAUCAAAAUCAAAAGGAUCAAGUGGGAACUUAAAGGAGGUUGAUUUGAAUGAAACACCCUCUAUGCAAGCCAAGAGACUCCAAUUAAGAUUGCAAGCUCUGCUUAAAACAAGUAUUCAUAUACCUUAUUAGUUUUUGUACCUUUACAAUUUGUGAUUUUUGUAUCAAAAGAGAGGUUAAUUUUUAGUGCAUUUACUGAACUUUCUAUGAUUGCAGUGGAGACAGGUCGACGCUACUUCCCUCGUUGCUCAGAAAUGGUUGAUAAAUUUUAGGAUUGUGAUUGGUCCGAUGCUUCCUUCCUAGAAAAGGGUACUCCUGAAGAGCAGAGACUCAAAAGGGCACGCUUCAUGGAACUUAAAGAAGGCGUGAAGAAGGCAUUUUACAAAGACAUGGCUGAGAAAAUAUGGCUCAGGUUUGUAGUCAUCCUCGUCGUCGUCAUCUUCUCCCAAGGAAGGAGUAAAGUGUAAGGGUAGGAAAAGGUGAUGCUUAGCUGCUUGUCUUUGUUAUUCAUUUAUAGGCAACUAAAAGAGUUUUAGUGAGUUGGAUUGUUACGUUGUACAGAGAUACUCUUAGAGCCUAUGUUAUGGCUUAUGUUGUAUAAUAGCAGAGGAACUUCAAGCUUGCGUUGUUGUAUUUUCCCUGGUAUUUGGCAUGUAAUGCACUAAAUGACAAAGAAUUUUCUAAUUUUAGAGGGAAAAGUUAUGUCAGUUAAUUAUUUAUUUAUUUUGUCUGUUUAAUUCAGUUUAUAAUAUAGCUUUUUUUUUUUCUUUCCAAAAAAAUCUUCAUUUCUUCAUCUGCAAUUUAAGUCAUUUGUAACUUCUUUCAGGGAGGAGAGAGAGAAAAAAAGAAAAAGAAAAAGAAAAAGAAAAGAGUUUAUUUUACAGUACUGAUUUUCCUACAGAAAUUGGUUAAGGUGACAUUAAUGUUCUUUGAGGUGGACGGAUAUGCAGAUUUUUCGUCGAAAUUGAAAUUAGAAAUGGAUGGAUAUGCAGAAUUUUUUAAUAGAAUUUUUAUACAAAAAUUUGUAGCUCAUUACUCUCUAAAAGGAAAAAAUAAAUUUUUGAUGGUAAAUAUUAAAUUUUAAAUUUAUAAUAUAAUAACUUUGUGAGUUAAGGUGCACAAUACCCAUAUAUUAAUAAUUAAGAAAAGAAAAAAAAAUUAAAAUUUGUAAAUUACCAAUUUUUUCUUGAAAUUUGAUAUUCUAUAUUAACGUAGGUGUUGCAUGGACUGGGUUAGUACAAUUGAAAGAAACUAACUAAAGUAAAACAAAAUAUCAUUAAAAAUAUGGCAAGCUUCUCGUAUUUUUUAAGUGAAAAAGAGAAGAAAACUAAAAUUAAUUAUUGUUAUACCCAAAUUCUAGUGCUUGAAGGCCGCUGGAAUUGACCAUUGCAGUUUUGUCAUCCUCAUUAUUCACCGGCCAUCGUGGCCUUCCUCCAUUAAAAAAAUAAAUGACCAUUUUUUUGGACCACGACAUAUUAAAAAUAGUAUUGAUUAAUACUAAUAAAUCUCUUUUUUGAUUAUUUUGCAGUGCGAUAGUCCAGUGAGGGCAGUGCCCAUCGUAGCACUUCAACAUGUGGUAAAUUUCUGCCAAUCUUUGUAAAAUAAUUUUUAAAUUAUGUAUUAACCAGAUAGCUCAAUGAAAACUAUCGUUCACUAAAUCAUUACUUUAUUUUGUAUAUAUUUAUGGUAAUUGUUGAAAAGAAAAAUGUAAAGUGAGAUUAAUGAACGUUUAUGAAUGUGGAAAUUAACACAACCAGGAUUUAUGAUAAAAUAAUUUUAAGUCAAAUGAGCAUAAAUUUGUAUAAAUAUUUUUUGAAUUGUCAUAUAUAUACAAGUUUGUCACUAAUAGUAAACUUAAUUAUGAAUAUUUUAAUAAUUCAAAAUUUUAUUUAACAAUUGGUGUUUAUAGUGUUUUUCAUAAUACAAAAUUGUAAACAGUCUCAUCCUGAAUAGUAUAAUGCCAAACCUUUUCAAAAAUUUAUUCUAUUAUAGUCGUCUUAGUCAAUUAUAUUUAUUUUCAAAUUGAAGAUAAAAAUAGUACUUCAUAUAUCAUACAUUACUUAUAGUUUUUUUUUUUCAAUCAAAUUACGACUAAAAUUGAAAAAUUUACCAAUGGCUAUAUACAAAGUCUGAUUCUCAUGAGCUUAAAAGAUGGGCUUUGAAUGAUGUAUGGUACUCAAAACUCUACUUUUAUUAAUAUGAUUGCCCUGCUUCCUUCAUGACGGGUAAUUUUUAGUUUCUUCCCCUGAAGUUUGGCGUAUCUCCAUUUUAAUAGGAAGUAUUAGCGUAUCUCCCACUUUUCUCCCCUACCGUUUGUAUACCGUUUCAUAUUGUUAAUGGACGAAGCUACAAGUCUUCUCUUUCAUCAAAUCGAUCCAUAACAAAUACGAGUCUGCUUCACCUAACCAAAACACACGCAUACUCCAUCUCUAAAUGCUUUGAAGAUAAACAAAUCAACGGUAAUCCUGCAACUUUAGCUCAGAGAAUCGGAUAAGAAAAGAACAGGUGAUGAAUCAAGGGUAAUGGCGCCGAGUGAGUGUCGCCUGCGGUCGGCGUUAGAGGCGACUGUCACUCAAUCGCGUACAAGGUUAGUCUUUGAAAAAACUCUUUGCACGUUAGAAAUCAGUGAUUGGGCAUUAUUUUGUUAUUUAAAAAUGAAAAUGGGUUUAUUAGUUUGUCGAAGAAUCUGCUCUGUUGCCGGUGUUGUUUGUUGAUUAAAAUGAAAAUGGGUUUGUUGAUGUGUUGAAGAAGUUGCUCUACUGCUGGUGUUUUUUUAUUAAUUAAAAUGAAAAUGGGUUUGUUAAUUUAUUGAAGCAGCUGCUGGCAUUGUUAUUGCGACUUUAUUUAUCCAAUUGAUGAGCUUAUGAGCUAAUAGUAUUGUUUGAUCAAGCUUGUGUUCUUAAUAGUGGAGUUGAUAUUCUUAAAAAUGAAUUUAUGAUUAUGAGAAUAUGAAAAUUGAAUGGCAUCGUAGAGAUCUAGAUUAAUCACCAUCGUAUAUGUUUCUAAAUAAAGGAAUAAGCAGCAAUCUGAUUUGAAAGUUAAGACUUUAGGGAUAUGUAUGUGCAACUGAAUGAAUCAUCAGUUGCUAUCUUGUAAGUCAAUACUAGCAUAUUACUUAAUGGCAAGUGAAGCUAUUUUAUGUGUAUUGCUGCCUAUCAAAAUGUUUAUGUUUGAAGUUAUCUCCUUUUAGGAAAUUGAAUGCUUCUGUGAGUUCUCUGGUAAGGGCUAUACAACUAGCUCUAAUAGAUUCCUUCAUGUGCAUUAAUUAGCUUAGUAGUUUAUUGACCUAUAUCCAAUGUCUAUUCUUCUUUUCUGUAGCCGUCUAGUUUUAUGAGUGUGUGAAGUGAACUUUUGUUUUAUGUUUCAGGACUUGGGAUUAGAGUGUAUAACAUUCAAUAUCUUUUUAUCAAAGAACUGAUAUAUGUCAAUGUAGUGCGAUCUGGUCUUUAUUAGCUUCUUGAUUUGCCAGGAUGUUUGACAACCAUCUUUGACCAUGAUUGCCAACAUAUAAGCUGCUACAUAGUGUCUCAGGAAUCACAGCAAAUUAUUAUCAUAAUAUGGUGAUUUUGAAUCCAAAACUUGGUAGUGUCAAGAAAAUAGACCCAUGUUUAUUUAUCUUCAUGUUUUGUAUGCGGCUGCAAUAGACUAUUAUAAGUUACUUUUAGUUUUAUCAAGUUUUUUUUUCCUUAAAUUUCAUCGAGUCUUGGAGUCUUUGUAAUAUAGAGUCUAAGUGAAGAAUACUUGGGUGAAAUCUUGUAUUCUCUCUUCCAGUAAUAUAAUCAUCCUUUGUGUUUUUAUCUUUUUAUUUUGGUAUCAGAGCAUACUUUAUUAUAGAAGGACUUAGACUCUAUAUUACAAAGACUCAGCGGUUUCUUUUAACUGAGUUAAUAGUGUUGUUAUGUUAAACUAAGUUUGGCUUCAUAAGAUUCAUAGUAGAGUGUAGAACUGGGUACAAUUUUGGGUUAGACAAGUCAAAAGUCUUCUCAAGUAAUUGUUCUGCUUACUGAUUUGGUAAUUGCAACAUUGCUAAAUAGUUCAAUUUGUCCUUUUAUCUUGUUGAAUUUAUUGUAUGUCAUAUUACUUCAUUUAAUUAUUUUCUCAGAUCUUGUAGGUGAAAAUUUCAGCUUCAAAGGCCAAGCUAAUCAUCCAGCAAUUCAGUGAAACCAAGACACAGUGGCUCAUAAAUUGUUGUUGGUGAUCCAGCCAUUCGGGUGCUUGCCAGUCCUAGAUGAGAGAACUUUCAACGCGGCGCAUAAAUUGUUGUUGAUCUGUUUUAUAUAUUUUGACCUUUGUGAUUUGUGAAUACAUGGUUUGAUUCCAGUGUUUACAACUUUGAUACUGUGUAUAACUUGAGAAGCAAAUGAAACAAAUAGGAAAUGUGUUUUUAUUUUUUUUAUUCUAUCUAUCUAUUUAUUUUUUUGUUUCGAAAUGUAACAAUUUAUAGCUGGCAAAGUACUAGAGUUGUAUACUUGUAUUUAAUUCAUUAUUAUUAUUUUUUUAAUGACUCAGUAACGUCAUUGUCC